ACUUUUUUUUUUUUUUUUUUUUGUGAAACAGGGAUAACAGUUGUUGUGGUUGGAACUUUAUGGACCACUUUAGUACAUACUUGGACUUCAGGGACAAAAGUUGCAUUUUUUUUCACAUAGUGCGUUAGCCGUUAAGAGACUAUCUAACAAUCAUUGAGAGCUGUAUAAAAUUCGUAUCAGAAAAAAGAAAUAUAAAGAAGGAAAAUUUUAAGAUGACAAAAAAAAUACAGAAAUUGCCAAUUAUUUUUGAGACGUAUGUAAUCGUGUUACUCAAUUAUAGAUAGGGUGGAGUCUACACCUAAUUCCGCCCCUCUAAGGUGGUUUAAUUUUGAUUAAAAAAAAAAAGGAAUUUCACAUGACUCCUGCCAAUAGGAAUUUGUAGAUUUGUCAAUUACGCUUUCCUGUUUCGAAUUGGAAACAAUAGGAGAGUCCAAUUCGAACUGUUUUGGGUUAUGGAAACUGGGAACCAAUGGCGGUGACAAAUUACUCCAUAGUGCAUAAAAGGAGCAGUAUCUUCAGAUUUCCCUAGUGCAAAUUGCUCUGCUUCAUCAAUUCACGCUGACAACAGUACUCUAGCGUAUAACCUAAAAAGUUGUCUAUUACAAUGGUGGAGACAGAAGCUUUAGAAGAUUGCACGGCGAAAUUGCCUCAACAUAUUAUGCAUCACAUACUCUCUUUUCUCCAAAUCCCAGAACAGGCAGCACCAAUGAGUUUGUUGUCGAAGGCAUGGUUGCAGGCAUGGCGCACGCGCCCCAAUUUGGAGCUUUUGUACAAUAUAUAUUCAGAACCGACUGAUAAAGGCAUUCAAAAAAGGCGAAGUGAUUUCGUAAAUUGCAUCAACACCACCUUGCAACGGUACCGUGAGCACAAGAAUGGUAUUGAUCGUUUAAAUCUUUGUAGCCCUCCAUCUGUAUCGCCUGAGGAUUUCAAUAGAUGGAUCCAAAUUGCUGUGGAAAACGGAGUCAAAAGUCUUGAUAUUGCUGCCCCUUCUGGUUCUGAAUAUUUUGUUUUGGCUCCAACUGUUUUUGAAGCUAAGUCGAUUGCAGAAUUGGAUCUUUGCCAUUUCCAGUUGAAGCCCCAAGUGAUUAAGACGAUAAGGUGUCACAAUCUCCACAAACUUCGGCUUAUGCAUGUGAAAUUAGACGAGGUAUUGUUCCAAAGAAUAUUGUCCAGCUGCCCGUUGAUUCAUUUGUUGACAAUUGUUAACUGUGCGGGUCUUGCCAACGUUAAGGUGACCAAGCUUCAGAAGCUUGAGCAUCUUGAUAUUGUAGUAAAGGGAAGUUGUUCUGUUGAAGUCGAAGCACCAAGUCUUCUGUACUUUAAGUAUGGCAAACUACUUUCCUUCGAGAUAGAACGAACAUCAAGACAUCGCAAGCUUCGGAUGCAUGCCUGUCCAAAUCUAAAGCAUUUGCUGUUGGACGAAAUUGGCAUCACUGACGAGUUUUUCUUAGAUUUCGCAGAAAAAUUCCCACAUCUCGAAGAGUUAGAAAUCACAAGCUGGGGCGGCGAUUUGGAAAGAAUCAAUAUUUCCAGCCGCUCCAUUAAGCACAUAAGUUUGGAAUUGCACUUGGAACCAGUAGAAGAGGUCCAAAUUGAUGUUCCAAGCCUUGAUUGGUUUGAAUACACAGGAAAAUCCAUAAACCUGUUUUCUUUCACAGCUCCCUCUGGUCCUUGUGUUUCUACAAUUAAAUUGCAGUGUCGGGAAUGGCCCUUACCAGUGGCUUCGUGGUUCUCCAAAUUGAAGGACAUGUUGACAAAGCUAAGUCAAUCUAAAGUUUCACUCCAUUUAGACAUUGAUCAACUUGUGUCCAGGUCCACUGUUUUUGAGGUAAGAAAUAGAUCCAUUCUUCCACUGCCUCAAGUUCAAAAGUUGUCCUUAUGUUUUCACAAUAGAUGUUUAGAUACUGCAGACUCAAUUUUAGAUGCUAUCUUCUGGACUUGUCGUCCUAAAACCAUUGCUCAAAAGUGGAACAAGUGCCUGAAGCCAAACAAGAUUCACCUCGCAAAGGUAAUCUAUGAGACGUUCCUUCUGGGAGGAGAAAAUAUUAAGCACACCAACGUGCAGAAAAGGAAGCUUUGGCAGAAUGAUCUGAGGGAUGUAAAACUCGUGAGAUUUAAAAAGGGCCAAAGAGUGCACUUGUCUAGUUCUCUGGACUGGGAUACUUUUUUGGAAGUAUUCCCGCGUAAAGGGGACUGUCGACGUUUUCGCUAUGAGCUAGAGUGGGAACCAAUAGACGUGGAUCGGAAGCAAAAAGUUUCAAACCCAAAAAGAAGGAAAUUAGAGGAGAGCAGGAAAUAGCAGAAAGCGGUAUCAAGAAGCUGAUGAAUAUGAUGUUCAAGGGCUUUCCGAAUGCAUUUAAUCGUCUUAGUGACAGGCUCAAAUAGUUCCUGGGCAGGAGUUAAGUAUUUUGAUCCUGAUAUUCCAUGCCAAAAUUGAAGAUGAAUACCUAGACAUUAUUUAGAGUUUAAAUACCCUUUUACGAUCAUUAUUCACCAAAAUAUUGACCCUUUUGUCAAAAUUAAAAAAUCUUGACAUUUUUGUCGGCAAUCCAUAACUAUAUAAAGAAAUUUAUUUGUAGAAAAUUGACGUCUUAUAUAUAUAUGUCAAACUUUUCAUGGGGUCGAUCUUCCACUUAACGUCUGAACAAAACCAAUACAGAGUCCUACAAUCCAGAACAGCCGUGGCUUUUCCUUUUGCUCCCUUGCCAUGUUUUCAAAUUCUUUAAGAAUUUCUUCAUGCAGCAGAAGGAUGAUUUAUGAUGUUCCUGCUUUCACAUAAAUUUAACAGUAAAGAUACAAGAUAUGUUGUUCCUUCUCUUUGUAUUUAACUCUCUUCUCUAUGAACACACAUGAUCAUGAUACAGUUCUCGUUCCUACGUCCUUGCACAUGUAUCUUGUGCUUGUACAUUGGAAAUAUCAAACAGUAGGAGGAGCCAAAAAAAGAGCAAGAGAGGGCUAAGAAUUCCUUCGUGUGCUUCCCAGACAUUUUGAUACUAUCCAACAUUUUUGACAAAAAAAAAAAAAAAAUCCACGAGGCCAAGUCCCUGUGCGAUUGUUCGACAGUCAACAUGUUUUAUCUCUUGUUUACCAGUCCAAGGCUUGUUUCAGCGAGUAAUUCUCUACUAUCAAUCUUGGAAGAACUCAUGCUCAAUAAAAUCCUAUGAAAUUGGUCUAAAACUGGAUAGGGGAAUUCAAUGCAAACUGAUGCCACACACAGAAUUUCAGCUUUACUGUAAGAAAACUUUGUGGUACACCAAUUCAGUUCCAAGUGCAAGUACAUUAGUAAGGACAAAGAUGAUACUUCAACCAUUAUUGUUUAAGGGCAUGCCCCAAACACUGAGAACGGAUUACUUGGCAUAGUACAUUUGUUCCACGACAAAAUAUAUGAAUAACUUCUGACUGGCACUGCAGCAAUGGUUUGCUUAAUUUCCUUGUAAUGUCAACCUUGACAUCAUGUGUUCAGAUUUCUGCCCCGCAAAAGAAGUUAAACAACAGUUAGUAAGGUAACACAGAUCAGUUGAACAGGAUAGACUAGUAAUAGUGCUAAUCUCUCAACUUGUGGCUCAUCAACAAGGACAUGAAGGUAUUCCAACCGGCCAUUGCUUUCCUGGCUUUAAUUGAAUGGCAGCUACUCUUAUGAAUGAUGUGAGUAGGUAGUUCGAUGAGAACUAUUUUAUAUUUUGUUUCACUCAAGAGAAUUCUAUACCUUGUAUAUAAUUCUGGCCAAAGAAAGGGAGAGAAAGGAAGAGAGAUCCUGCUUAAUAUAUCAUAAGCAUAUGAAAUGUCUAAGAAAACAGCAAAUUUGAUCCGAAGAUUGGGUCACCUUUUUCUGUACUAUGGUUGCUUAAAGAAAGAAUAAGAAGUAAUUACAUAAGAUUGUAUGAUAUACUAAUUACACAAUAACACAAGAUGAACUAAUUACAUAAGAUUGUAUGAUAUACUUAGGACCGCUGAAGGUAAGGUAUAAAUCAGCAUUUUAUAGCCUGAUAUGUAUAUGAAAGCCAAAGUAAUUCAUUAGUGCUGUGAGCAGCCUAAAUUUGCAGACAAGCAGAACCAGAUAACCUUUGUGUCAUCCCAUUCCUCUCUCUCUCUCUCUCCCCCCUCCCCAAUCUGCCCCACUACCUGCCCCACCCCCCGUGCGAACCCACAGAAAAAGACAAACAAAGACUAAGUUAUUUUCUCCAAGUCAUCAACUCAGUUACAUUCAGCACAUUCAUUAAAGAUACAAAUGAAGAUGCAAGAACCGACCUGCUCAGAAUGUGGCAAGUACUUCCCAUCAAAAGUCACAACAACACGCUCUUUUCCAUCCACACCUUUAAUUUUGUCAACAGAACAAUAGAAGUCUAUAGCAGACAUGCUGAAAAUAAGAAAGACAAGAAGAGUAAACUGAUUAUAUGACCAAAAAGUUCAGUUGAAAUCUGUUCAUAAAAAAGGAGAUAGGUUAUAAACCCUUAAAUAUGUAUGAACCACCAUGGCGCCCAUUUCCUAUCACGACAUGCCAUUAGAAGUACAGAAAGCGAGGAACAGAUAUCUAGGUGGAUGCAUGUGCACAAAUCGGAGAACAAACUAUUAGAGGUAUAAUAAAAACUAUUAACGCAAGCUAUAGAAACCAGCUAGUAUUAGAAAAAUGUUCUAAACCUAAUCCUCACAAGGCCAUCAAAAGGGUUUGGUGCAACAGAUGAUGGACUUCUGCUCAAACAUAGCUAUCAAAAAAAAAAGUUUCAGAAUUCUCCUGGGUACUUAGAAGAACCACCAGUAGAGAAUUUAGAUAUUCAGGAGUCAACAUAGCAACUUACAUGCCAUCACCAAAUUCCUCAUUGAUAAUUUCUUUAAUGCUCUCACCAAAAUGCAUAACAGCUUCAUUGAGCCUGCAAAAACAUGAAGGGAGACAAGAUCAGCCUAAACGAAAGUCAUUGAUUCGUAUACAAGUGAGAGUGAGAGACAAGAUCAGCCUAUGAGAAAGUCAUUGAUUCCUAACUAAUAGCUCUCCGUAGAUACUUCUGCAAGCAUUUGGAUUCAACUUUCAUCUUUCUUUAGAUACAAUAUCAUAACAAGAUAAACUUGAAGAAGGGAACAUAAUCACAAAAGGACUUCAGUCUCAACUCACUUGGGAUUGAAAUGACAAUAUUACAAACUUCAGAUAAUCUUUCCUAAUUAGAUAGGAAAUGCAACAAGCAAUUGCACAAGCUUGAAAUUGCUGCAACCUUUACAAUAAUGCAGCCAAGAUUGCUUUAUUUCUCUCACACUUGCAUCUUGAUUCUUGCAAUUCAACAAAUGAAAUGACUUUCCUACCAUGCACUUUCCUUGAACAUCCAAAGAUAGGGAGUUUAUACUACAAUAGUUCAUGGACAAAAAUUGGAGCGUGUCAAAUAGUACACUGAAUUUACUACAAAUUCUUGUCAAUUUCUCUCUUCAAAUACCAUUUCUUUUCAACAAGCCGAUUCGAUGCGGAUCAUCGAAGAGCUACUAUGUAAUCAACUAAAGCAAAAGAAGGCUAACUAGUCACUUUCUUAACAACUUUGUCAUUUUCUGAAAAUUGAUACUAAUACAGAUUGACUAUAGAGGACAAAUAGAACACAAGAAACAAUCCAACAAUAUCCAAAAACUCAAGGUACAUACCAGAAAAAGGACCCAUAAAAUACAAUAAAAUAAAAUAAAAACACAGAAAACAAGAAUUUCAACCAGCCCACAUAAAAAUGUUCCACAAAACAGCAAGAAAUUAAAACACGGGCUAAAACGGUUUACCUAUAAACAGUUGGGUCUUGAAUUAAAUUAGGAUCAUAUGACCUGAGAGGUGGCCGCAUCAUUUCUUGAAUUAACUCCUCAGGCAGCUCAGGCAAGGAUGCUCGUAAUUUAGGGACAGUAUCAGGCUUCAACUGGGCUUGCCUCUUGAAUAGCUGAGCAACAUAAACAUUCGUCAAUCCAGUUUCUUCAGCAAUCUGACCAUAAGUCUUGCCUGACUUGUGCUUCACUGCUUGAAGUUCAGCUGCUAUGCUUAGUUUCUUGCUCUGUUCUGCCAUUUUUGACUUGACAAGAAAAUCGUGAAUCAGCAGCGUUAUAACCACAAGAAAGGCUGGCGGCUACCACUGAAUCAUUUAAGGCGUGGUGGGCAAAUUUACCUCCCAUCAAUUGUCAUAUUAAGUGAUUUCUUAAAAAUACAGAUGAAUACAUAAUAUAUUUAUCUGAUGCAUUUAUUUGAUUCGAUAGUAAUUCGAUUUCCAUCACACUUCUAGAUGCAGAUAAAAUUAACGAUUGAUAAAAAUAAUUAAAAAAAAAAAGAAAAUUAAGCAGGCCAUCAGUUUUCUAUCCAAAGUUGUUCAAAUGGGGCUUGGGGCUACGAUGGGUCGAAUCCAAGAGGAGGACAAGACUCUAAUGUUGGAUGGUCCUUUACUUUUAAGAUCUUCACAUUUGGGCAGUCCAAUUUCAUUUGCUUUAUGGACUUUUGGGCAGUCCAACUGCUUGGGGCGGUUACAUUGAAAAAAAUAUGUUUAAAUAGUAAUUAAAGAAAUGCUUAUAGGUAAUUAUUUUGACAAGACAUGUUUAGGUAAUUAAAGUAAAGUUAGUUUUUUACAAGGACAAAAAUGAAAGUACAUAGAGUGCCAAUAAAAUGUUUACGCCAAACCCCUUCCUCUCUCUUUAUAUAUAGUAUAGAUAUCAUGGGAAUUUUGGUUAGACAUUCAGUUCAUUUUUUCCUCUACCAUUAUAAGAGUUAGAAAAUCCGUUUAAAAUGAAAAGAGGAGAAAAGAAAAAAAAAAAAAAAGGAAAGAAAGAACAAAAGACCUUCGAAACCUAAUACCUUGUUUUUGGUUUGUCUGUACUAGGUUAUUGUAAUCUUUCCCAAGCAACUUAAUUGGUUGUUCCCUAAGCAACUUCGUUGCUUGUAACAGGUUACUUACUACAAUCGUCAAGAGUUGCUUUGUGAAGUAUUUUUACUGCAUGAAAUUGGAAUUGGUCUACAAGAAACUGAAUUCCAGAGUCCCAUAUUUAAACUGAAUUCUUUUGUUAUUGGAGGAUUCCUUAGUCUUUAAACGUUCAUUUUGGUUUUGGUCUUUUGGGCUGUCAGAGUCGAACCAACUCGUGUACUUAACCUCUGCUAUGAAUAAUUUAAAACCAUGUGACAAAUAUAAAAGCUUCUCUGUUCAUAAAUUAACAAAAGGGAGUAGUUUGCACGUAAGGAAUUGUAAAAAUCAAUUCCUUGUUGCAUAAGUAUUUUGGAUAAGAUUCUAGAUUAUCAGCUGAAGGAAAUUAUUCUGUUUUUCUUUUUUUUUUUUACUAUCACUACUAUUUUUUCUUUUCGUGAUAUAAUUUGGUAUUCUGUUUUCUAACAAUUCAUUUUUUCUCAUUGAGGUUGUUGUACAUUUUAUUGUUCUUUUUAACACGUAAAACCAAUUUGUCCAUGUAACAAAAUUAUGAUUGCCAAAUGAUAUGAGAAGUGUGUAGAUACUCUCGCAACUAUUUAUUGUCCUAAACCGAAGCAUCAAUUAUUCAAAGAACACCUGCUUUGCUAUAUCCAUCUUUCUGUGUGAAAGAAAGAAAGUAUGUAUGAAACCGCCGAGCUUUGGCUCUGUGGUCAUAAAAAAGGAAUUAAGUUUCUCUUUGGACUGUAAGUUUGAGAGUUUAAAUUCCACCUGCGGUAAAAAAAAAUCCAAAUGAUGUGCCAGAGCACCUCCUUAUUCUAGUCGAAUCUGUAUACCUGUUAGUCCUUAUGUAGCUUUUUAGGCUCUUCUUCACUGAAGAACAUGAUAGAUUAUGUUACAGAAAUGUUAUCGUUGCGACUAAAAAGGUAUCUGGAUUUUCUUUUAUCUUUUUUUUUGGCAUAUUUUGACUAGGUCGAGAUAAUAACCGGACCAUAGGAAUGAGAGGAAUCCGUCUAGAAGCUUGAAAAAUGCAAGUCAAAGUUGAGUGUAGAAACUGCGGUCAUUGAUGGCAGACGACCAUACUGGAUGAAGAUGAAUAAGAAAUAUAAUAAUGACCAAAAGACCACUAGGAUUUUUUUUUUUUUUUUUGGAUUCCUUGAAGAAUCUAAACGAAUGAUAUAUUUGAACAGAAUUUUAAUUGCUGCUAGUGCUUUGCUUGAUUGAUUCUGGUCUGACUUUCACUGUGUUUAUGUGAUCAUAUGCUACUUUAGUAGGGUAUAUUUGCAUUCUUUCUGGUCUAAAGUGUGCCAUUUUGGCUUCACACAUGCAGAAACUAUGAUAUGAAAUGAAAGAUGUUGGAAAUUGAUACUUUGCAAUUUGUGCUCGUUUGUUUAGUGUUAGGUACCUCAAUCCCAUCCUUUUCACCAGCUGUAAGCUUUGAAUUGGAAAAUUAAUCUCUUCCCUAAAAUCCACAUGUUAUUCUCAUCCCAACUCUAGUCCCAACUUCCUUGUCGUUCUUAAGCAUAUUCAACUCAGACUCAGAAAGUGGCUGCAACUCCCUUCCCCCCCCCCCCCCCCCCCCCCCCACUUUGAGACAUGGUCGGAAAGUUAUGAAAGAACCCCAAACAUAGUAAGCAGAGACAACAUGGUACUCAAAAGUUAAACCUUUUUGUUUUUUUCAAGGUGUCUUUUCCUAAAGCAAAAAUAAAAAGAAGAAGAAAUUACUAUUAGACUUUUUUUAUUUUUGGAAAAAUGUCUGUGUGAUGAAAAGUUAAUUGAAAAUUGAAUUUGAACUUUUCUUAAAUAUCUAAAAUGGCAUGGUCUAGUUAGUGAACUUCUUUUUUUUUUUGUGAAAAAGUUCACUCAACUCCAUGAAACGAGCAUUUUGAAUCAUUCUUUACUAAAUCAAUCGAAAAAUGACCUACAAUUUAAGACAAUUUUGUCCCUGAAAACCUAAAACAGUAGGUCAAUAUAUGCUUCUUUUCCGUUGGUUUACUAGUUAAAUUAGCAAACACGACCCAAAAAAUCCCAUUUUAAGGAGUUGAUCAGUGAUCUUUUUUAUCAAAACAAAAAAGUUUAGUGAUUGGAUUGUGCCAUUUUAAUUAAUUUAGCAACUAUUUUUGCCAUUUACUCAACUUAAAAAAAAAAAAAAAGAAGGUUCUAAUUAACUAGAGCAUUAAGUCCUUGCUCUGACUUUUAAUGCAGAAAGGUUUCCAAAUAUUUCAGUAUUCAUCAUUAACCAACAAAAAGUAAAGCCUUCUUUCACAUCAUUGAUCUAGCAACUGGCUAUACAUUUCCCGCAUGCAAAAAUUGAUAGCAACCUAAAAGGGUGUAAAGUACAAUGAACAUAUACAUUUAUUUCGUAAAGUCAUUUUCGUGAGAAGAUUUGCAUCUGGUAUUCGUAUAUUUGUAAUCAUCACCAUACUUGAAUUUUCAUAAUAAUGUUUCUUGCUUAUCUGUGCCGAUUCUUGUCAAAUCUUUAUUGCAUUCCUUGAAACCAACAGUUACCGACCUCUCACAAAAGAAUAAAGGGAUAUCAUAGCAUAAAACAAAAAGGGCAAAACAAAUAAAUUCUUUUCUGCUCUUGUAAAUGUCAAAUUACGUUAAUACUACUAUAAGAUUGAGGAAAACGACACCGCAUCAUUGCAUGGAAUGUGGUUUGUGAAAUUUUAUUCUCUUAUUCUUCGUAACGGAAUAAUCUUCCACUGGAGCUAAAUCAAGAUUAAAUCCAAAGAGGAGGAUCCGUUAAUCAAGGAUAAAAAAAAACGUGAAGAAAAUUGCCGUAUAUCAAUCAAAUUCAUCUUGGCAUUAUAAGCGUGUUUUUCACUUUUUAUGCCGAACACAAAAGGUCAAAAUUUCUAGUGUAUGGUACAUCUUCAUUACAGAUUUUGCUGACAAGGAAAUACUUCAUGAAGAGUCUUUGCUAGUACACAUAUUGUUCUUUAUGGUUUCCACGGACAGAUCAAAGUUUUAUUGCAAUUGCAAGGGUUUGAAUCUCAAAUCUACGGUCAGACUUGUAUCUUAUACUCGUAUAUAUGAUGGCCAACUCUAUUAAAGCAAGUUGUUAUAGUACAUAUAUCGUUCCUAUUAAUUUUGUUUGUACAUUUUGCGGCAAGUUGUACAAUUUAUCUGAGAGAAAAAGAUCAGAAAUUUGACUUGUCAUAGUGAAUAAAUGGUAUGCAUAAAUUUCUCCUCUUUGAAAUUUGAUUAUAUGUUCAUUCCCUCUCAAAAGUCUAAUGUCGAAAUAAUUUUAGGGUUAAUUACAUGUUGGCCCCUUGAGGUUUGGGCAAGACUAGUGAUAUACCUUCAGAGAAAUGCUGAAAUGGUAGUUUGACUAAAUCUUGAUUUUCUUUCUUUUUUUAAAUAAAAGACGUAAUUAUGAAGAUGGUAGAAAAUACAUCAAUAUGUUAGAGAUACAUGGGGAUUUGAAAAUCAUAAGAUACAAAUUUGUAAUUUCAAAAAUAACUUCAAUCCAGAUGAAUUGUCGUAGUCCAGUAGAUAUGCGAAUGGUUGCUUAUAGUAAACAUUGCUUUAAAUCUAAAGAGAAAUUUAGAUAUGACAAAAUAAAUUUGAAAAAUUUCAGAUUUGUGAAAUCUCAGAUCCUAUAGAAAACUGUCAAAAAAAAAAAAAAGAAAACUCUCACGACGAAAUCUUAUCUUCUUACGAGAGAAUAAAACUUCCACUAAAAGAAUUUAGGAGAGAAAAAACUCCCACUAAAAAAAUCUUAGGAGAGAUUUUAUUCGAAUACAUGGGAAAAAAACUAGAGAGAGAGUUUUGGACUAACAAUCAUUGUCCUAAUAAUUAAAUGCCAAUUUGUACGCCCUUCUAUUGAAACUCUGAUACUUUUUAAAAGUAUAACGGCUAAAGGUUUUCAAUCAAAUGCAUGAAAAUUGUUUUUCAUGCUCCCUUGAGAGGAAAUGAUUGGUCAAAUUUCCACUCACCCAAGAACAUAUCUUGCAUAUUGUCCACGGCAACAUAUUCAAAAUCGGUACUCGUGUUCUUGAUUUCACGGUGUUCAUUUGCUGGUUUAGGCUUUUCAAUUACCCAAGAAAGAGCUUACCAUUUACAUGGUAUAAAAGAAGUAUUGCAUUAUCAUAUAUACCUCGUAGUUCAAAAUCUCUUACACGUAUUCUUCUGUGAUUAGUUUAAAGUUGACUUAAAGUACUUUUUUAACAGCCAUGCUUCUCUGCUUCUUAUAAAAUUAAAUAUAAUAUUUUGGACAAUUUAACGAUCCACAAAUCAUUUAAUCUCUGAAAACUAUUCAAUUUUUUUUUUUUUGUUAAUCAAGUACAUGGUUAAUUAGAAGAUCCAGGUACGUGCCAAAUUAAAAUCCUUGAAUCGAAAUGGAUCUUCAUAAUUCUGUUAAUAAGUACACGGUUACCUUGAAAAUCUAUCAUAUAUAUAUAUGUGUGUGUGUGUGUGUGUGUGUCAAAUUAAGUAAAGCUUGAUCCUAGAAUGUCUGAAAUUUUGUUGAAUUAGUAAGCAGUAAAUGCAAGGUUGCUGAUCAACGUCAUCAUUGCAUCUUAUUUUGCUUGUUCAAUCUGCAAAAGGCCAAUCUUGUCAUUUCAUUAACGAGAAUUUUCUCUUUAGGUUUUACUUCAUUGGUCAAAGCCCGCAAGAAUAUCCAAUUUAGAAUGCAUCUUAUCAUCAUCUUACUCCAAUACUUGGACUUGCUACUAGCUUACUACUCCUCCUAUCCAAAAUUGUUUUUCGCAUUCGAGAUUUCAACUUUUUAGGAGUAGUUUGACGACAACGUCAGUGGAUUUGCUUUCAAAAUUAUCCGUAAAAAUUCAAAUUUUAAAUUUAAAUUUAAUAUGAAAUAUAGAUAAAAAUGAAAAUAAUAUUAAAAAAAUGAUAAAUCUUUUAUACACUGACAAUAUAUACACUGGCAGAUCUAAAUGCAUGCCACAUAUACAAAAUUUGAUAUUUAAAUUCAAUUUUAUAUGAUAUGGCAUUCAUCCAAUUCCGUCAGUAUAUUCAGCGACAGUGUAGGAAAGAUUAAUCCUUCAAAAAAUAGAUUAAAAUUAAUUUUGACUUUAAUAAAAUAAUAAAAUAUUUCAAAAUAAAAAAAUAGCACUUUCAACGUCACAGAGAGCGGAGCACCAUACAGUAAGAUACCCUCGAGAGAAUAUCAUUUCACACUUCACACUUUGACUGAGACAAGCCAUAAAAGAAAAGGUAAGAAGGAACCACGGUACGGGUGCAGGGCGGCUCUAUAAAUGUGGGCGCUGCUUCAAACAUCAGUUGCCAACCAGUACAACUUGAAAAAGUAUAGAACCAAGUUUACCAGCUAGUAGCAGUACUAAUCCAGUUACUCCACCGGCCAGGACAAUAGCAACUACUACUUGAUUUCUUUCAUGGCCUCACUAGAGCUAGCAGAAAAUGGCUCUGAUGGAUACACUCAAGAUGGUACUGUUGAUCUCAAAGGGAAACCUGUUCUUAGAUCGAAGAGAGGAGGAUGGAGAGCUUGCAGGUUUGUUGUUGGUAAUGUCUCUGUAUCCUCUUUUGCUUCCUUCCACCCCAACUGUGUUGCUGUGUGUGCUAAAAUGUUCAUCCAGAUCCUAGAAAUGCAAUGUUCGUUUAGUCUGAAGUAUGUAUCCCCAUGCUUGGCUACAUAGCUCCCUGUGAACUGGGAAGAUGUUCCUGAAAUUGUUCCCUCAUCCUUGCUGUCUUUCUUCUGCCUUCUGUACGAGGGGGAGAUCGGAAGGGCAUAUUCAGGAAUGGAGAAACUGGAAUAUUGGCAUAGAGCAUAUUUUGCUAGAUCAAAAAACCACGAUCAUUUUACUAGAAAUAAAUAAAGCAACUUCUCUUGAUAACACGGUAAACAUUUUUACCCAUUUUUUCUUUUUCUUUGUUCAAAACUCUUUUUUCCUUAAUCUUUUUGCAACUUAUUUCUCCUCAAAUGUCUACCGGAAGAUGACAGCAGAAAAGAACAAGAAUGAAGUCAAAGUCCGAAGCCAAUAGAGUUGAGCUUUAUAUGCAUCACGUUUAAUUAUAUCUUAUUCUUCAAAUAGUACUAAGAUGUAAUCAUGUGUGGACUUGUUCGAUGCACAUUUAUGUUGUUGAUUGGCUACUGGGAUUUAGCUCAGAAGUCAGAACUUCAAAACCAUGAAACUAAUUGCCUGAUUGUUAGCUGUAUCUAUCUAGUUGAAUUUUCAAAUGAUUUUGUACCAUAAGCAGCUUAUCUUUCUUUGUCGAAAAAUUGAUCACGUAAUCUUUUCGUAUAGUAUUUUUUUUUUUUUUUUUUUUGCGUUUAAACAUAGAAUUGGGAAAGUUUUUAUUAUGUCCUUCCAAAGGAAUUCGAUCACGUCAAUGCAUGUUGUUUUGUAUCAUCUGUUUCAGUGAGUUGAUUCCAUUUUUUUUAGUGCUCCUAUAUUGUUUAUUGUCCGACUAAAAGUGCAAUUCGGCAAAACUCUCUUUUUUUUUUUAAAUAAGUGAGAGGUCUUGGAUCUACCUCGACAUUUCUCGACUUUCUACUUACAAUUUCUCUCAUCUUAUAAUUCAAUCCAACCUCCUCACGGCAAAACUCUUUUCCAACCAAAAUUUCAAAAUCAACAGGUUCUUUUAGACUUUCGAACCACAAUCUUAUAAGUUAUAAGAUACAAAGAUUACAAAAAAAAAAAAAAAAAAACCUGCCAAUCCAAUUAUUCACUUAUGAUAUCGUCAUAAUGAUGACUGCCAAGAAUGAAUUCUUCUUCCCUGGUUGCAAAAUCAUACGUACAUACGUACAAGAAUACAUGAGCAUAUAUAUACAUUUAUAUUGUGCUACAUCAUUGGCCACCCUCCAACUAACAUGGCUUUAAUUAUCAUAUACUUAUUACAUACUUUAUCAAUCAGUUAUUUCUUCCAAUUUUUUGCUUAUAUAUCCCAUACUUUUUCGUUUGUUUUGAUGUUUCCUCGUUUUAAUCGACUUUGUACAGUGUACGAGGUGUUCGAACGUAUGGCAUUCUAUGGAAUAUCUUCGAAUCUCUUCAUAUACUUGACCAAAAAGCUCCAUCAGGGCACAGUUACAUCAGCCAAUAAUGUCACCAAUUGGGUAGGAACCGUCUGGAUGACUCCAAUCUUGGGUGCAUAUUUUGCUGAUGCUGUUCUUGGCCGCUAUUGGACGUUGGUGAUUGCAUGUGCAAUAUAUCUCUCGGUAAGGCUGCAUGUACAGCAUCAUCAUUUUGUUCAUAACAUAAAAAAAAAAAAAUUGAAAAUUUUUUUUAAGGUGCCACGGUUCUAAAAAUGUGCCAUAAUAUGAAAUGAAACUUCUAUAAGUUAAAAGAAAGAUCAUAAUCCACAGCUUAUCUAUUCUUUGAUGUGAACUCCCAAAAUUACUUCAAGUUUGACAUUUAUUCAAAAAAAAAAAGGUAAUACAAAUUAAAUAAGAUAGGAAAGAAAUAUUAAUAUUGUCUUUCACAAAAGAAGAAAAAAAAUGACUAGUAUGCAAUUACAGUACCUUUGUCCACCCUGAAUCUGAAAAGAGGUCGGGAUUCAAGGAAUGGAGAUUGACUUAAUUAAAGUUGUAGUUUGAGUUGGAAGUGAAUCAAGUGAUUGAGACUCAUCAAUAAGCAUUUUUCAAAGUGAUGAUUGAGCAUUUUUUAUUAAACAGGCUGGCAUGGAUAGACUUUGCUAACGUAUUGUUUCUCUGUUCUAUAGUACCCUAGUUAUCAAGACCACUUUAAUAAUCUAGCUAGAAUAAUUAUUUAAGCUUCUAUCAAGACAAAAAAAAAUAAAUUAAUUCAGAGUGUUAGAAUCAAGAUCUAUCAAUUUUUUUUUUAAAAAAAAUUGUAUUUUAUCCGUAGCCGUUUUGUAUCUUCUGAAACAAUCUGAUCCCAAGAAAUUAUUGUAUACGACAAAUUGAAAAAAAUUGUAUUUUAUCCGUAGCCGUUUUGUAUCUUCUGAAACAAUCUGAUCCCAAGAAAUUAUUGUAUACGACAAAUUGACCUCAACCUCUUUGGAUAUUCGUGUAUGAUGUAUGCAAGACAAUACAACUUGUGGCAUGCUGGUCCAUGAUCUGGAACUUAAGGUGAAAAGACUUUCUUAGCUGCUACUACUAUUAAAUAUGGUCAAUUUUGAAGCUAUCACUUUCUUGAAGAAAAGUACAAAAUGCCGCUAUGAUAAUUAUGCAUAAGCUGUAAAUUAAUAUUUAUUUCUUACUUGAAAAAUCACCACAAUUCAAAGAUUCUUUCAACGUUCAAUAUUGUCUCCCCAAUUCAAAGAUUCAGCAUCAAGUAGGCAUACUUUAUGUUCAAUUAUCUUGAACCCGAUGGAUCAUUCCUUUUUUUUACAAUAUACGAAUUGGGAAUUUCACCAAGUCGAUUGCUUAACGUGACAUCGCAUUAAAUUGUCACAGUGUCUGGCUUAAUUUUAACUCUUUGGAUAGGUCAUCUUGUUUAUAGUAAUAAGCUUGACCACUUGGCAUCUCUUAUACUAGCUGAUUUUUCUGUUGAUGAUUUGUUAAUUAUUUACAUGCACAUCUACUUUCAUUAGUUAAUCAUCAAGCAAGCAUGUUUUAUUUUAUGUUUUCGGUCAUUUUCUAUAUACCUUGUCUGACUUCCUUGGUCAUUGAGGUCUUUCAACCUUAUCUAGAUGGUAACUUGUAGUUUCGUUUGUCACGUAUUUAUUAUUGACUUGUUAUUUCAACGUCCAUUUUCCUAAGCAGAUAGGCCAUAGAAAAAGGGGUAGGAUGUAGUAUUUAUAUUGAAACUCUUUUUAUGGGAAGCAAUUACGUAUAUGGAUUGAUGUUAACGUAGUCAUUUGACAAAAGUGUUUGAGAAAUUAAUUGGAUUUGGACCUUAAUAAAAAGUAAUGAGACGGAUAAUGAAAGGAAGGUAGGAGUUUGUCGUUGAGAUGAAAAAUUAGUCCACUGGAUUAUAUCAAUUUAUAAAUUCUUCCGAGUCUCUUAUUAUUCUGGAAUGAUGAUUUAAAAACUAAUCAGAAUUUUUCCACCCCCCAAAAAAAAAAAGAAGAAGAGAAUAAAGGGUCAAUUUGGCCAUAUAAUUUCAAUUGGCAAGGUAUAUGUUAGGGUACAACUCCAGUCUGUAAGAUUGAUACUAGAGAAACAUUGAAUGGUACAACUCUAAUGGAAAUCGCUGCUCUUCAAGAACUUAAUUUUAGUGAUUAUUAUCUCAUUUAUCUGUUACUGCAUACUAUCAGGGAAUGUCUUUAUUGACACUAGCAGUUUCAGUCCCCAGACUCAGGCCGCCCCACUGUGCUGAUCCAAAGGGCAUCAAUUGCCAGAAGGCCGACAAAUUGCAAUUAGGAGUAUAUUUCGCUGCCCUCUAUAUACUUGCAGUUGGAACUGGUGGCACAAAACCAAAUAUUUCAACAAUUGGUGCUGAUCAAUUUGAUGAAUUUGACCCCAAAGAAAAGCUUCACAAGCUUUCCUUCUUUAAUUGGUGGAUGUUUGGCAUAUUUCUUGGGACACUUUUUGCCAACACAGUUCUUGUUUGGAUUCAAGACAAUGUGGGAUGGACUCUCGGUUACGGCCUUCCUACGACUGGACUUGCCAUUUCUAUACUGAUAUUCUUGGCAGGCACACAAUUUUAUAGGCAUAGAAUUCCUACUGGAAGUCCCUUUACAAGAAUGGCCCAAGUCAUAAUUGCUUCCCUGAGAAAAUGGAAGGUUUCUGUCCCUAGUGACCCUAAAGAACUAUAUGAGCUUGAUCUUGAAGAGUAUGCGAAAAAUAAGAAAGUCAGGAUUGAUUCUACACCUUCAUUGAGGUUUGCACUACUCAAAUCUAUUAUCCCAGUAUUGGAAUUUGGCUAAAUAAGGAGCUAAAUAGGGAAAAAGAUUAUUGCAUUUUUUUUCUAAUAUAAAGUAUUCGGGCUUCUUUCUGCUGAUCUAGUGCAUUGUUGAUCAUGCAGAUUUCUAAACAAAGCUUGUGUAAAAACAACUUCCACCAAUCCAUGGAUGCUCUGUCCAGUUACCCAAGUGGAGGAAACUAAACAGAUGCUACGAAUGAUUCCCAUCCUAAUCGCUACAUUCAUUCCAAGCACAAUGAUUGCACAGAUUAACACACUUUUUGUCAAGCAAGGUACAACUCUCAACAGACGUCUUGGUGGCUUCAAUAUUCCACCAGCAAGCUUAGCAGCAUUUGUAACAUUAAGCAUGCUGAUCUCCGUCAUAUUAUAUGACCGAUACUUUAUGAAAAUCAUCAGAAGAUGGACUAACAAUCCUAGAGGAAUUACUCUGCUUCAGAGAAUGGGAAUUGGAAUGAUUCUGCAUAUUGUUAUAAUGACAGUGGCAUCGCUAACUGAGAAAUACAGGCUUUCCGUGGCCAAAGAUCAUGGCCUAGUGCAAAAUGCAGGUCAAGUGCCUCGGUCCAUAUUGCUUUUGCUUCCUCAAUUCGUUCUUAUGGGAGUAGCUGAUGCAUUCCUGGAGGUAGCAAAAAUCGAGUUCUUCUAUGAUCAAGCACCAGAAAGCAUGAAAAGUCUUGGAACAUCUUAUUCCAUGACUACCUUAGGAGCUGGAAAUUUCAUCAGCAGUUUUCUUUUGUCUACAGUUUCUCGUAUCACGAAGAGGGAUGGGAACGAAUGGAUUCAAAACAACCUUAAUGCUUCUCAUCUCGACUAUUAUUAUGCAUUUUUUGCAGUAUUAAACGUCUUGAACAUUAUCUUUUUCUUGAUUAUGACCAAGCUUUAUAUAUACAAGGCAGAAAUUUCGGAUUCGAUGGUUGUGCUCAGAGAAGAACUUGGGGGAUUGAAGAGUAAGGUAACCGAUGAAGAGGCAACAACAACAUAGGUUGGUGGAUCUGCAGUUAUCAAAGGGAUGUAUAUUGUUAUGUCUGUAAUUUAGAGAUAAUGAAUAUCAUUUUUCUUUUUCAUCUCGAGGGAAAUUUUGUGCUAUCACUAUAAUUCUUCGUUUAGUAUUGCUACUCUUCUGAUCCUCAGUCCAAUUUGCAACUCGUAACAGAAAAUGCUAGUAUUAGGUGACAGGACUCAUUAACUACUAAUUUGUUUACUACCUUUUUAACUUUGCAGCCAGCCAUUUACAACUCUUCUAUCGUUUAAUUCACCAUAUUACUUGCAUUAUGUGAGAAUGUUCUCUAUAGAUACUUCACAAGAUACAGGUUUUAGGUUGGUAAUUGCUUCUGAAGUUGCUUAAUUUAAGUCUUCUGACUCCCUUUGAUCGGGCAUCAAGUUCUGGUGAUAUGAUUCUUGAUUUACUUUAUACUGUAUCUUCAUUCAAAUAUUAACACUGUUUCUAUCCUUAAAUUAAUUCUCAUAUAGUAGCUUUUUAAGCAUGGGGAAUGGAAUAUUAGAAGCUAUGCUAUUCCACUUCAAAACAUGAAAAAAGCCAUCAAUUUUGAAGGCCAGAAACCUUCAUUUAGAAAGCAAACUCCUUCCCUUCUUCCUUUUUUACUUUUCUUUUUGGUUUCUUUUGUAUCAUUGUUCGUGGCAUCUCCGUGGAUGGAGAAAGUAGAACAUUUUUUUUUCCACCUUUGUCGCUAAGUUAAAAGAACCCUUAGUGCCUAGACUUUACAACAUUCAAUGUGCUCAUGACUUCAGCAUUUGUUCUAUCAGUAUUAGACCUAUCUGUGUUCACUACUUUCACAAGCUCUACUUAAUUAUUAGCUUUGAAACAAAUUAGCAAUUAUUGAGAUUCUACUAUGGUAUUCAAUCAUACUUUAAAUCAUGACUAGUGAUUUCAGAAGGUACUAAACAAGGUAGAAAUUGGCAUCAUGUACAAGAAGCCUAUGUAUUCAAAGCUCUUAACUUUGCCUUGUUUCAGUUUUCAGGGGCCUCACUGAACUGAAUGCAAACUUGGUUUAUAUUCAUUGGUUGGUUAAAAAAUCAACUUCUAAUUUGAUUUCACAACGCACUUUAUCAGUACAAAUUGAAUUUUUAUCACGUAGAGCUCCUUGACUAAGGUAAAAAUUUCAGUUUUCUCCAUGGCAUAGUAUCAAUAUUCUUUGAUUUUCCACAGCAAUUAGAAUUUUAGAGCUGGAAAAAUUCUUUGAUUGUUAUUCUUUAUGACGUUCAAACUACACUGGAAAAGCAGUCUUGGUGUAGAAUAGUCAAAUUAUGUGUAAUUUAUAAUCCCAUUAAUUAGUGGAUCAUGUGAAGCUGAUGGGAAUUAAUUUUACUAAAGUUGGAAUAAUGUGCCACGAAAUCGCAACCUCCAGUUUGAACAUAAAGCUCUUUGAAUAAGAUUAACCAGCCUAACUCAACUUUUUCUAGUACAGCACUAUUCUACUGUAAAGUGAAUCCAAAAUUAUUUUAUACAAAAUCCCAAAUCUGAUGAUGCCUUCUGUCCCUCCAAUGAAUAGCUAUAUAAAUGGGACAACCCCAUCCUUGCCCUACAAUUCCCCCCACCCUAAAUGCUUAAUCAUCUUCACUUUUGACUUUGCAAUACUAAAAAGGCAAAGGUGUCACUUACUCACCUAAGGAUAUAUUAUUAUUACUACAAUGUACUCCCCAUAACAUUCAUGCUAGUUUUAUUUUUCUAGUUUUGAGGUUUAAGAAACACCAAGAAGAAGAAACCAAAAUGGCUUAUUGACUUUAAAUGGACCACUGCCUCAUGUGUGUAAUCCAGUAUAGUGAAGUUGAAAGGCAUGAUCAAACAAUUGGUAAAUAUGGCUUUUAGCGGUUUCAUAACAUAUUAGCCACUAAACCUUUCUUAUUCACAAAAACAAUUAUUGUGAUGCAUGCAAGUGAAUGAACAAAGACAUAUUUGCUGUUUUUCUAAUUUAUGCUUGGCGGAAUCCAAGAGUCAACCUCUAGAGCCAUUUACCUAUAAUUCAUGGUCCUAAUGCUGCUAGAACCUGGGAUACAUGCAAUAAUAAUACCUACAAUUACAACAAUCAGUAUUCCGAGGAUCGCUAAUAUGGGCUACGUACGCUAGUAAGUUGUGUGAUGAUUAUCACUCCUACCUACUCUUAAUACAGGACUAUGGAAAAUCAGAUUUCUUUGUGCCAAACUGAAAAUUAUCAUGAAUUAAAAUUACUAAGAUCACUGGCGGAGAGAGAGGGGUGGUCAUCCGCGAAGAUCUUAGGAAUCCCUUUCUAUUCCCUUAAAGGAUUAAUAGUUUGGACUUUUAUCCUUGUAAAAUUGAGAUCUUGGCGAAACCCAUCCAAGUUCUUCACAAAAUUUCUAAGGGUACACCUUCAAUAAACAUCUUUCCUAGUUUUGCCCUCAUAACUCUCAACCUUUGGUUCUGUCAAUGAGUCAGUCGAAUCAACUUCAAAAGUAGAGAAAAUGAGAAAAAAAAAAAGGAUUCAUUAGAUUAUUCAUAAUUUCUUAGUUUGGUCAUUAAAUUAAACUUUUUAUUUAGUUAAUUGUCAUUCAACUAACAAAACAAUACAUUUUCUGUCACUUAAUUAAUAAAAACUUGUGCUUCUGAUCAUUCAACUAAUGAAAAUAUACACUUGUUGGUCGCAAGAAGAAUGUUUUAAUUAGCUCAAUUACCAUUUGGCUGAAUAAAAUGUUAGGUGACUAAAAUAGGGAGUCGUGAAUAGUUUAGUAGCAAUUUGUAUUAUUUGCUCUCGGAGGUAAUGCUUUCCAAAUCUUUCAUGCUCUUUCUGGAUUCCCUAUCACAAGACUUUCACGAUAAAUUCAUCAAGCUAUUUCAACGCUCGAGUCCAUUCAAAUGAAUAUUAAUCCACUCCAAUGAAAUCAUCAUGAUGUCCUAAAGACAGCUAGAAAUCCCACUAGUGCUAUUCAAAGGGCCGAAAUCCCUUCUUUGAGGACGUUGAAGAUUCAUCCCUUUUUUUGGUUUUUUUCUGACGAAUCUUUGUACUUGCUUGACAGCUUUUAUCAAUUGUUGAGCAUGCAUUCUGGCAAUAUUGCAAGCAGCAUUGAGAUGAGAUGAGAUGAGAUCUUCUGGGGAUAAGAUUGGCUUCACCUUCAGAAGUGUGAAGCAACCACUUUCGGUGACCAGUCCUUUUCUACAGCAAAGAUUCUCUUUGUUUCAGACUUUCAUUGCAUUCCAUGACAGAAUCCAUAAGUUGCUUUUGAGAAGGUUGUUUACCAAUCAUAUUUGAAAGUAAGGCAAUAAAUUUGCUUCACAAUUUUUGCUUUCCUACCUAAUGUGAUAAAAGGGAUAGUAAUAGACUGAUAGUUACAAAUCAUAAUUAAAAGUCCAAAACCUUUUUGCCAUUCCUCAUAGAAGCUUCUCAUAGUUACGUGACAAGUUGACUAUUUCAAUAAAAUGAUAAGGUUGGUUCUUAUUCUCUUUCUGUCAAAAAGGGUAAAUUUGUAGCUUCGGAUGCUGAAACAUAUUGCCUGCGGGGAAGAAUUAAUCAUAGUAGAGGAUAAACAUAUGACCAAACUGAGAACUGAUUCUUUUAGUCAAACUUCUUUGCUGCUAUUUAUCAGAGGCAUGCAUGAGGAACAUAUCCUGAUAAACUUAUUGGAUGUGCAAAGCACAGAAAGAGAAAAAGAGAGCAAAAAAAAGGCCUAUUUUAAUCAAGGAGAUAUUGUAAUAAUUUCGUGGCUAGGUUCUCCUUGUCUGAACUUGGACGUAUGAAAUUAAUUGUUAUAUACUGUGUUUAAGGUAGUGUAAUGAAACUCUUUUAAGAUGUAAAUUCCAUGUGUAAUAGGACAAUAGUGUACAACUUUAUCAAUUUUAUUCCAAGGUAUCCGUGAGCUGGUUUACCAAUGGUCUCCUGACUAGAAUCUUAAGAAUAAUUAGGCCAAGGCCUCGCAAAACAUGUCAAAUGUUUAAUUGCUUAAUGCAAUUAACAAGCCGAAGAAAAUGACCCAAUGUAAAUAUCAACUAAACAGACAUAUAAUAUAAGAAAACAACAACUUAGAAACACUAAGAACUGCUAAUAGUUCUUCAAUACAAGAUAACUAGUAUUAAAUGGUGGCCAUUAAUAUGUAAUUAUUUGUUACCAUCCUCGUGGAGUGAAAGCCCUUUAUACCCCCAAUAUCAGGUAAAUCCUUGUAUAAACCAGCUGCCUUAGCGUACUAGUUAACAAUUUGAGUGCUUUAGUCAGUACAUGACAGUUUGUUAAAAGAGUAAAUCUUAUAUAUACUGACAGUGUAUACAUUAUCAUGGCUGGAUGCACGAUAUAUAUGUAAAAUUUGGGUUUUAAAUUCAAAUUUGAAUUAUAUAUCAUGCAUCCAAUGAUGAAAGUGUAUACACUGUCAAUGUAUAGAAAAUUAAUGCUUGUUAAAAGCUUAAUACAUGAGAGCUUAAAAUGCUUAAAUUUAAAAUAAUAUACAAGCAUUUCACUAUAUGACACUCAAAACAUUAUUUACGUAUCUAAUAAGGGCAAGGUGUUACAAGAAUUGCAGUAAUCGAUCCAUUCCCGUGAUGUUUUACAACUUGGCUACAUGGCAAUUGACAUGCUUAAACCAAAUUAGUGACAUAUGAUCCAUUAAUUAUUCACUGACCAAAAUAUUCAAAUAAUGAUGGACAAAUUCAAAUUGUUACAAGAUGUUCAUACUUCACAGGCCUCGUUUUUAUUGCAUAUUAUGCAUGCCUUGCUCGGGUGAAAUUUGAACACCAUCAGAGUGAAACUAAUUAAGAGCAUACAUCCGAAUUAGAGAAACAACAGGUGACUUUUUAAAAAAAAAAAAAAAAAAUUUCCAACAGUUUUUUUUGUGGGGGGGGGGGGGGGGGGGUGACACUGAAGAAGUGGGGAUAGGGCAUGAGGAUUUAAAUUGGUCACGUUAUGACAUGGCAAAUCUAUAAUUGAUUUUGUAUGCCUUGUUGGUGGUUUUGUGGACCUCUUUUGUGGGAAGUUGAGUUGGGGUGGGCAGAGCACGUAUGGACGGUUGCUCUUUCUUUGAUCCUUUUUCUUGGCUGUUGAGAAGGGGACAAAGAGAUGAGAACUGAGAAGUAACAAGAAAGUAUCCGCAAUGAGUCCCCUUGGCCGUUUGUCAACUCUCACGAUCAACUAGAAUGAUAAUGACCCUUUGUUUAGGGUGACUUCAAAAGAAGCAAGGAAUCCAGAGAAGACCCUUUUUCCGCCGCGACAAAGGCUAAUUUGACAGGAGUUGAGGUUUGGCAAUAGUAAUCAAGCAUAAUUUUCUCACUUGUAAGAAAUGUAUAAACUUUUUUCAGUAGAUAAGCUCAACGUGUUUUCGUGCUUGGAUUUUUCUGAGGGGGAUUGCAAUGGAAGUGAAGAUUUUGGUACCUAAUGAUUGCUCUUGAUUGAGAGAUAUGAUAACGACUUCUAUGAACAUGAGUUUUCUAUAAUUAUCCUUUCUGUCUAAAAUUUCUUUGUGAUUCUCUAAAUGUUCCUAGAUUGUCCUUCAUCUCCUCUCUUUUUUAACUAUCUAAAACUGCAGUCUUAUAAGAGGCAACAACAGCAACAGUCUUAGAGGACAUUGAGGAGCUGAAGAAAGAAUUUCAAGAGUGCAACUUUUCUUUUGUGUAUAGAACAGGCAACACGUGUAGCCAUACACUAGCUCAAAAUGCAAUUAAGCUAGUACAUGACAUAGAAUGAAACAAUGAGUUUCCGGUAUGGCUGAUGGAUAUGGCUCGGAAAGAUAUGAGGGCAAUUGCCCCGUUUUGUAACUAACUCUUGUAUUAUCAAGUUUAAUAUAUGAAAGUACUAAUUCCGUUUGUUGAAAAAAAAAAAAGAGGCAACAACAGCAAAAAUUAAAUAAAAACAAUACCAAAAUAAACAAAAGAACCAAGCUUGGUUAUUAAGUUUUUUUGGGGUAAAAAAAUAGGAAUAAUGUCAUUUUGAGGUCUCAAAUGUUCUUAUGCUAAGACCCUUAUGAUCAUUCAACAAAAAACUGGCUGGCCACUUUUGUUUAUCAUUUCAUUUAUUUAGUUUAGUCACUGUGCUUUCAGUGAAUAUUCAGUCUUGCAACCUCGCUAGCAAAUCAAACAGCUCUGUUUGAUAACAAGACUAUCUAGAAUGUAGCAAAAUAAUUUUAAUGUAAUGAACUUCUAAAGAUACAAAAAUAAAAUGAUUGUGGAUUAAAAUUAUAAAUUAAAAAAUAUAAUCAAAUAACUUGGCAUUUGGAAUAUCAUAAAUUUGUUAUUUUUAUUUGUUUUGCACCAAAAUGAUAUCCAAUAGUAUCAUCUUAGCUGUAGUGGGACUUAUGAGUGGUCUAAUCUUCUACAUGCAUAUUAGCUACAGUAAUUUGCUUUAAGGUUUUUCUGCAAUACGACAAAAUACUUGGGCUUGACAUCCAAAUCUCAGUCUUGUAAUUGACACCAAUGCAGAAGCACAAAGUUGACUACAGACUAUACUGAAACUCUUGGAAAUGUCGAGGACCCCAAGUUAUGGGGCUAAUUUGCCGAGUUUCUUAGAAAAAGUGUUGUCUCACGCCCCUAUGUAUUCUCUGCCUACCCACUAGAGCUGUUAAGUCAAUCGAGUAGCUCGAAAGCUCGUUAGAGCUCGACUCGUUAAGGCUCGAGCUCGGCUCGUUAAUUUUGGUUAACGAGUCGAGCUCGAGCUCGAAACAUGCUCGUUUAGUUAACAAGCCGAGUAAGCUCGGCUCGUUUGAUACUCGAGUAGCUCGUUAGAACUCGUUAAUGAAGGGCAUAUUUGUCAUUUUAGAAAUUAAAAUUAUAAAAAUUAAAAAUUAUAGGUUUUUAUUUAGGUUAAUUUGCACGAGCUCGUGAAGCUCGACUCGUUUGUGAUAAACGAGUCGAGCUCGAGCCACAUGUACACUUAACGAGCCGAGUUCGAACACAUUUUAAAGCUCGUUUUCCUAACGAGCUCGAGUCGAGCUCGGCUCGAAUUAAACUCGAGUCGAGCUCGGCAGCCAAAUACUCGGAUCGACUCGGCUCGAUUAACAGCUCUACUACCCACCUGUGUCGAUUUCGGGUAUAAGAAGGCUAUAUCCACCCGUGUCGAUUCCUUAGAGAGAGUUGUCUCGCACCCCUAAGUAUUCCUUCUGCAUUUUUUCAAGCAAGAAGGAAGCUAAAGAAGGUUUAACUUCAUCAGAAUCAAAGGCUAAAGAAACACCCAAUGCCCAACAAAAAAGACAGAUUGUUUUUGGAAAAAAAAAAAUAAAAAGAAAGAACACAAAUAAGAAGGGAGACAUCUAAUGAUUAAUGAACCGAGUGGCCAUGGCCAACCACAUCAUGCACCAGUGUCAUGAUCAUUGACGAAGUUAAAAAAUUCAUUUCGAGGGGGCAAAUUUAAAUAUACCUAAACUUAUAUAUAAUAUAAUAUAUUUUUUAAUUUUUAUGGGAUAAAAUUUUAAAUUUAUAAAAAAUAUUCUAAAAAUUUCUAAUUUUAUAAAAGAUGAAAACUUAGGCCCCAUUUAGAUUGCUAUUUUUUGAAAUUUUUGUGAAUUAAUAUAUUAUAACGAUUAAAUAUAUAUGAGAUAAAAUGAUAAUUAAUAAAUAUGUUGACUAAAAACGUACAAAUUUUUCUACAAAAAAAAAAAAAAAAUCACACUCCAAACAAGGCCUAAAUCAUCUAAAAACUUUGGGGGCGGGACAUUCCAUCUUUGGCCAUGAUAGCAACAUUCAAACAGAAUUAAUGUGUUGGUUGACACAUGGGAGGUUAAGGUUUCAUUUGAUAAAACUGAAUCUGAAUUCUGAAAUCUGAAUACUGAAACAAUUAAUUUGCUGAAUUUUAAGCACUGAAAAGAAAUAUAUGAAUGUCUAUAUUUUAAUGCUAAAUCUAUUUAUACUGUUUAUAAAUAUGUAUAACUAAAUGUUUAAUAAGUUAAAUUUGACAAUUUUGCUCUUAUAUCUUUUCAUCCAAAAAGAAAUAGAACCUAUGAUUUAAUUAACUAAAAAUGUUAGGUAUGAAAAUUACAAUAUUUAUUUUUAAAUCAAAUUAAUAUAAAAGAUGAAAUAUAUUACAUGAGGAGUAUACAGAAGAUGUGAAAGUCAUUCAAAAGGGAGAAAAGAGAAAUAGAAAAUCAUUAGAUAGAGAAUAUUAGGUUAUUUAAUUAGAUAAGAAUUUUGAACAUAAUUAACAAAUAAGGGUAGAUUUGGUAGAUAAGAUAAGGUAAUUGAAGUAAUUUUAUUGAUUCUUAUCAGAAUUAAGCAUUCAGUUAGGAUUAAAAAUACACACAAUUUCAACACUACUUAACAAGUUCAGCAAAUGAAUUUCCAUUUAUCAAAUACUCAAAACAUCUGAAUGUCUGAAAAAGUUCAGAUUUAUCACUUGUUUAUGUUAUUAAACAGACCCUAAAAGAAUACUACAACUGUUGAUUCGGAGCCCACCAUUUGGAUUCCUAACGAUUGUUUUCAUUGUUGUUUGACAUAGAAUUGCGUGAGUGACAGUUGAUUUUAGUUAAAAAAAUUUCUGUCAACAUAAAACAUCAAUGAUCAAUCGAUAUUGAUAUUUGGGAAUUCCGAAAAAAGGUUCAAUUAGAAGCUGACACUAUCCAUCUCUAGUGGUGUGAUGAAUGAUGAUAACUACACAUCAGUGUGUAGGAGGACAAAUUAAGUAUCCUAGUAAAUUGAGCACCACAAGAUUCAAGAACACCUGCAUCAAUUGGUAUUUGGGACUAAUACGUUUUUUUAAUACGCUAAUCCCAUCUACAACAAGGUGAAAGCAUUAUUAUGUGGCUAACUCCACUUAAGAUUAUAUUCUUUAGUAGAAUUCAUUCUCAAUGAAUUCUUCCACUAAUAACAGUCAAAAUGAUGCUUUUUGCCUCUAAGAGUUAGUUGUCUGAAUGAUGCUCAAUUUGGUUAAUGUGGCUUUCAUUUAGUGGUCAAAAGAAUCCAGAGGAUGUGCUUGAAGAGUUGAAAGUAAAAUGCACGGCGGGAUUCUAAUUCGAGCUCUCUCUCUCUCUCUUUGAUAAUAACAUUAUUAUUAUUUCUCUAACAUUGCACUAAUAACAAAAAUUACCUCAAAUAUAUACACAUACAAACAGAUCUUAAUAUAAACUGACUAGUUAUCAGUUCAAUCCCAGUAUGUUUGCAGUUUAAGUUGUACUUUAACUAUAUAUAUAUAUGUGUGUGUGUGUUGCUACUCAUGGUUGGCUAACAACAAUCCACAAGACCUAACAAGGAGCCGUCUGUUCAGACUUGAAAGGGCGUUUGAUUGUGAUAAAACAAUCUCUCUUGUCCUGUUGUAAAACGAGGGUUCAAUUUAAUUCCAUUCCGCCUUCCUCAUCCUUCUUUCGUACCCCAAAAAAAAAAAAAAAAGAAUAGCAUAUAUUUUGGUCCACACUGCGAAAUGGUCUCUUACCCUGAUCAACUUCUCCCAAAAAAAAAAAAAAGAAAAGAAAAAAAAGUGCAACUUGAAUAAUAAAAAGAUAACAAAUUACUUGAUAGAAUUUCAGGAUGCAACGAGUUCAACAAAAAGUUUCUACUUCCCAACAGGCAACAGGCAACAGGCAACAGGCAAUGGCGAGAGAGCAACAGGAGAUCUAAGACAGGAGAGCUUAUUUGAUAUUACUAAUAACUAAUUGUCCAAGGAGCAGCCACUUGAGCUUCAGCGGCAACUUUUACUUGAAAAUCUAGCGUACUUCAAAUCCUUCAAUUAGUAAUUGAAUAUGAAAUAGAGAUCUUUGUAUCAAGACAAAACGGAAAAAGUAAAUAGCCAAAUUUGAUUUAAAAAACUAAAAAUUAACAUCAACAUCGGAACUGAUACUUAAAGAAAAAAAAAAAGUCAGCAUUGGAGCGCACAGCAAUCUGCCGGCAUAAUUGAAGUUUUCACGAUCUCAAAUAGCGCUUAAAUGGAAAAGGAAAAGAUGAACAAAGAGGCCGAGGGAAAAAUGGAACGGUGUGAAAGAAAGAGAAAAUAAAAAGAAGAAGAUAGAGAUGGAGGCUAAUAAGGAGGCGAGGAAUUAUCUUUAGAGGGCUGGAAAGGUCCUAACUUGGAGAUGGUUGUCUACACCAUAGUUAUUAAACCCGGCCCGGGGAGGAACUCGGUGAAAGAGGUGGGUCAACAGAUUACUGGUUCAACCAGUAGGUGAGUGGUCCAACCUGUGGGUCACUAAAUAUACUUAAAUAUUAUGUCUUAUAAUUUUUUAUAUGGUUGAAAUUAUAAUAAACUAUGUCUUAGUAAAUGUUCAAUUAGUCUAAUUUAUUAUAGAAUCAUUAAUUCUUAUAAGAAUCAACAAAACUUAAAUUUGCCUUAUGGAAAUUUCAUUAUUUUUAACAAACUUUUGGUUUUAACUUUUGGAAAUAAACUAGAUAAUGUUAUUUUAUUAAAAUUUGCCUCAUGGAAUUUGGGAAAUAAAUAAAAUUUUAUUAAAAGAUUCCAAAUAAAUUUUGUUUUGAAGAAAUAAAAUAAGAAUAAAAGUCUAAUAUAUAAUAUAAGAAGUACCAAACAACUAACAAAUGGAUUGUUGGUCUAGUGGUGAUUGCACUACAUUCUUAUACUUGAGGUCCCAAGUUUGAACCAUCAAUGCAACAUUUUCUAAAAAAAUUUCGCACAGCAACUGAGUUCCUUAAAGUCAAUGGUUCUACUGUCCAAACGAUCUAAUUAGCAACCCGGUUCGGUUCUAUGGCCGGUUCACCGGGUUGAUCGGUUGAACCGCUGGACCGGACCGGGUUUAAUAACUAUGGUCUACACACCAGACAAAAGGAUCUUUUGGGUUAUUAUUGUCAACCAAAACAUCCUUUGGGUUAUUAUUGUCAACACAGUUUUUGUGACGGUCACCUAAUCACCAAAACAUCCUUCUUCAAGGCAGAUCCUAAUCACCAAAACAUCCUUUUUCAAGGCAGAUGAAAAAAGAUGCAGCUCAAGCAGAUGGGCAAAACCGUAAUCUGGAUCAAUGGACAUGCAAAAGGCUGUAGUACAGUGAGCAUGACAGUAGAGUUGUUAAGUCAAUCGAGUAGCUCAAAAGCUCGUUAGAGCUCGACUUGUUAAGGCUCGAGCUCGGCUCGUUAAUUUUGGUUAACGAGUCGAGCUCGAGCUCGAAACAUGCUCGUUUAGUUAAUGAGCCGAGUAAGCUCGGCUCGUUUGAUACUCGAGUAGCUUGUUAGAGCUCGUUAAUAAAGGGCAUAUUUGUCAUUUUAGAAAUCAGUAUUAUAAAAAUUAAAAAUUAUAUGUUUUUAUUAAGGUUAAUUUGCACGAGCUCGUAAAGCUCAACUCAUUUGUGAUAAACGAGUCGAGCUUGAGUUCGAGCUCGAACCACAUGUACAUUUAACGAGUCGAGUUCGAACACAUUUUAAAGCUCGUUUUCCUAACGAGCUCAAGUCGAGCUUGGUUCGAAUUAAACUCGAGUCGAGCUUGGCAGCCAAAUACUCGGCUCGAUUAACAGCUCUACAUGACAGGCAGCUUGAUGGUUGAUUAAAAUGACAAAAAUGCCAUAGAGGAGAGCAGAUGAAAUGCAAUGAACAUUAUCCCACAAAACGUCUUCUUAUUAUAUGUUGUAAAGAAAGAAAGAUACUAAUUAAUCCCCCAAAAAGCUAAGUCAUGGCCUCUAUUAAAGGGGCAGAAACCUGAGAGCCAUUGUAGGAGUUGGGAACAAACAACCGAAGUUUCCCUUCUCAUUUCCUCUCUUUUUGUUCUCUUCUUGUUGAAGUAAUUGUAUAAAAUAGCUAGUGAGACACAAGAAUUCACAAGUUAGUAGUCUUGAAUUCUUCGUCUUGUUUGUUGAAGUAAUUGUAUAAAAUAGCUGGUGAAACACGAGUUCAUACGCAAGUCUUGAAUUCUUCUUUUUUGUUUGUGUAAGUUAACAUGGCUAUGGAGGAUGGGAUUAGUGAUUAUACUCAAGAUGGAACAGUGGAUCUCAAAGGAAACCCUGUUCUGAGAUCAAAAAGAGGAAGAUGGAAAGCUUGUUCCUUCAUAGUCGGUACUCUUCUUUAUUCUUUUUCCUUGUCUCUUUAUCCAUUUCUUUCCUCACCCUUUCUUUUUUUCUUUUCCUGUUGGUUUUCAUCCAUGGCCAUUAGCAGAGGUAAUGUGAUAUCAUAACUCUUAAGUGGAUGUGGUACUGAGUUCAUUCAAUACAAAAAUUAGCGCAAUUUUUUCCAUACGUUUGUUUUCCAUGGGGUUUGGGUUGAGGGGAAAUGAUCCACAGAAAUAGUGUGUUAUUUUGCUGGGAGUUAAACCAUAAAGCUUCAAGUAAUCCAACUACCUCCAUACUUCUUUAUUAAAAAGAAACCAAGACUCAAUUAACUUUUGUUAACCAUACGACUUCUAUGCAUCAUUAGCAUUUGAUUCUAGCAAACUAACCAUAAAUUACUCCAUUUUUUCACUCCCUACUUUCAUCUUUCCACUAACCCUUUUCUAUCCUUUUCAAUUGUAUUGAAUUGAAAUUAGUAUGUGGUGAAACGACGUGUUAAUUAUCUUUUGGUAACUUCUUCUAUAAUUUUAAGCCAUUACCAAAAUGAGUUUUUUCAAAUCUUAUUUUCUUGAUAUUCUGAAAACCUUAAUAUAUAGAUACAUGGAGAUGCAUUAAAUUGCAGCCCAACACCAUAUAUAUCGGCAAAACUUGUUUUUUUGUAUCUAUGUAUGUAGAUGAUUAAUAACUGCACGUUGCCUACUCCAUGGAUGGACACUUUCUUGAUUUUCGGCUUGACAAUUUCACGCUUCUGUCAUAUUUCCACAUAGCCCCUAAACUUGAAGGAGCAGACAAAGAACAUAUUAUAGUUAGUAUUACCUUAUCAUGCAUAAAGAUUAUUUAGAAGGGAAUAAAAAAAAGCUGAUUUAGACUAAGAUUUUAUUUUUUUUUUUAUUUUUUGGAACCAUGAAAACUGAAAAGCUACAAUUCCUGAUAAGAUAAUGCAAAAACUGAGGAUUCUUCAUUUUGGGUAAACUUGUUAAGAUGUUUCCUUCAAUAUCCAUCACUUUCUGUGUACUAGCCUCCUAAAAGAUAUAUCCGUGACAAGAGUAAAAAUAAAGAAAUAGUAUUUCUUACGACUUGUGUCACUCACGACAAGGAGGUGUAAUUUGUUUGACCAUAAAUUAGUCAUAUUAUAUAUUUUCAUUUUUGUCUUUCAUCCAAUUCUUACGCUAAAACCAAUAAUAGAAGAUGAAAAAUCCAAAAGCUUCUGUGUCACUCGGUCCAUCAUGCUUAUUAUUUUUUUAAUUUUUUUGAGACCAUGAUUGUCAACUAUUAAAUAACCCACUGCCAACUCCCAAGAAAAAAAAUUAAAUCAAUCACUUAGAAUCAACUCUUUUUUUGGUGCAAAUAUAAAUUUCUACGUUGACCCUUUUCAAGGGUUGAUUUUAAUUAGAACUUUUUCUUUUCAUUUGUUCUUUUUUUUCUCUGAGCAGUGUAUGAAGUGUUCGAGAGGAUGGCAUAUUGUGGAAUCUCAGCAAAUCUCAUUCUGUAUCUGACCAAAAAACUGCAUCAAGGGACUGUGACAGCAUCCAAUAAUGUGACUUAUUGGAUUGGUACCAUAUGGCUGACUCCAAUCUUGGGUGCAUAUGUUGCUGAUGCUUAUCUUGGCAGAUAUUGGACGUUUGUGAUUGCUUGUGCAAUCUAUCUCUCGGUAUGCUUCUCUGCACUAGAUCAGUCCUGUCUUAACUCUUAAUCAGUGUACCAUUUCUUUAUCAUUGUUUUAGCCACUAAUUAAGUCAAAGUGGAUGACGAAGUCAAAAAUUGAUGACAUCUGCCAAUACUUAAGAAAAGUUCUUUAAUAUUUUCUAUGCUGUUAUUAUUAAAAUUUUUGAAAAUUUUGUCUUGCAUGUCGGAGGCACUAAUAUUUUGUAACACAAAUAAAAAAAAAAAAAGAAAGAUGUUAGUCAAAGUGUCGAUUUUUUAUUUUAUUGCAUUAUAUUAAAAGGGUAAACAAUUUUCAGCAUAUGCAGCUCUCUGAGACCUAGAAUGUAGUUGGUAUUACUAAAAUCAGAAUGAGAAAUGAUUACAAAAGCAUUCCAGCUUGAAAGUAUUUGCAAAAUGUCAAUGAAAUUUGGUCAAGUGAAAGAAAUGUAAUUGAAAUGGAAAUUAGAAAGCAACCAUGUCUUCUGUUCAAGCAUGAUUGCUGCACAAAUGAAAGUCCAAUAAAUCAUAUCCACUGAGAAGUGAGAAAAAACAAAAAAGAGAAGUGAGAAUAAAUUCAUAAUUUUGCUUUUAUGAAAACCCCACAAAGAUGCACGUAUGAUUUCAUGAUACAUACAUCAUGGCUUUUCAUAACUUGAAUAAUAAAGUACUUUCACUUGCUAGCUAGGUGUGAAGUGCAAGUAUGUGUACGUGUGUGCGUAUAUAUGUGUAUACACACACAUACACAUACACAUACACAAUAUCUUUAUAUAAUUAUAGAAUAAAUCUUAUAAACAUUGACAGUAUAUAAAUUUAUCACGAUUGGAUGCACGACACAUAUGUAAAAUUUGGAUUUCAAAUUUAAAUUUGAAUUAUGUAUUAUGUAUCCAAUGGUGAAAGUGUAUACACUGUCAGUUUAUAGAUGAUUAAUCCAUAACUAUAAGGUGGUAUGUAAUGAUUGAAUAGAUGUACUUUUAAUGAUUCUUUAGGCACAGUUACCAAAUCAAGAGGCAUCUUGUAAUAAACAAUCCAGGUCGCAUUUAAUUUGAUUCUUUCUUAAGGCUUAUCUGAACUAUAGAAUAUAUACAAGGCAUGGAUCAUAUAACAAGUAGAUCAUGGUAUACUUUUUGAGACCAUAUUUGGAAUCUUCAUCAAUGGAAAUUAGCAUCAAAUGUCUUGACUAGAAUAUGGAAAUUCUUGAUCUGCCUUGUUUAGGAAUAUUGUCACAUCAAGACUAAUGCACCCCCACAGAUGCUGUCUAACAACUGUCAGACUUAAACUCUGACAAUGUGUUUAUGAUAACUUAUAAAACUAAUGCCAAAUAAUUACAAUAUAUUAAAUUGCUUAGUUCACCUAUUAGUGCUUCGAUUGAUAUUGGACAUGUAAUUUAGUGUAUCUAACUUUUUAGAUAUUCAGCAUGAUUAAAUUAGGUGCUCAUCUUUUGUUACUAGUUCUUGAAUUUUGUUUAUCGUAUCUGUAUUUUAGACAAUUUUGAAAACUAAGAUAAGAAACAAGAGUCAUCUUUUCAAGAUAAUUUACAUAAAUCUUUAGCUUUGAUACAUCCAGAUUUCUUCACUAUGUCUGUCCCCUGUAAAUGUGAUGAAAUUGUUCUACUCAACUUGUUAAACUAAUUCUUGUUGUUUGAAUUGCUAUUUUCUGAAGUUUUUGUAGAAAAAUAUAUUACAGCGAUUUGAUGUCUACGAAAUAAAAAGGUAAUUAAAACAUACGUUCAAGAAAAACGUAAAAAAAAAAAAUUUUGAAAAAAAAUGACAAUCCAAACAAGGUUUCAGCAUGAAAGACUUAAAAGUUAGUGAAUGGAACAGCUAGAGAAAAAGUUUUUUUCUAGUUUUUUCUCGAGGUUGUGCAAUGCUUGAAGAAGGAAGGAAAGAAACUUUUCAUAAAGCAGGGAACUAUAUUUUGCUUUUUAAUAUAUCUAUUGUCUCCUAUUUUUCUUUUUUGGGUCUGAGGGAUAUAAUUGGGGAAUCAUUUAGAGAGCCAACCAUAGGAUUAUCGUAGACGAAGACCUAAGUCGAAUAUUGAAAUGCCAAAUGUGUCAGCUUUAUAUGAGAAUAAUAACUUUGUCAGAGUUUAUUCCAAAAAUGCAUAUAUCAAUACACGAAAAGAGAAGAAUUUGAUGCUGAUUAAAAUGCAUCUUCAGAUUGCUGAAAUAGCAUGCGGGUCCUUUCCUUUGCUAAUUAAUGACAGAUAGUUUAUCUAAAUCAAUUAAUAACCAGAAAGAUCAAUUUCCAAUCAUGCUGCACGUUCAUAUGUGAUCUUCUUUAAUCUCACUAAACACAAAAGUUAAGUAAGAAAAAACAUAUUCUUUACUGGCUAUGAUCAGAGGCAUCUGUCUUCUGAUAUUAAUAUAACGGGAUAAUUUUAGAAACCUCCCCUAAGGUUUUUAACUAUUUCACUUAGUUCCCUUGAAGUUUUAAAAAUUACACUUACCUCCCUUGAUUUGACACUUUGGUAACCAAACGUUAAAAUAAGGUAAAAAAAAAAUUUAAUAAAUACCCCAUAAUGCACUUAUCUUAUAAAGUUUAAUUCAUUCUUCCAAACAAUUGUAAAGUAAUUUGACACAGUUAUAAAAAAAAAAGAGUCUCAAGUUUUUUAUGCUAAUAUUUGUUAUUUAAUAAUCAACUAUAACAAUAAAUCAUUUGCCAUGAUAAGCUAUAUUUUAUAGUGCUUUAUUGGGAAUAUAGAUUCUUUUUAAGAUAGAGAAAAAAGUAUUACCUUGUGUUUUUUAAGUUUAUAGACUAUUUUUUAAAUAAAAGUAUAUGGACUAGUUUAGUGAUGGAACUACCAUAGUUUGGCAGUGAUUUUGGGCCAUUUGUUUUUAAUUAUUUUUUAUUUUGAUAUAAAAAAAAAGAGCUACAAAAAAAAUUGGAUGAUAUUAAAAGUCAUCAAAAAAAUUACUAGUUUAACAUUUGAUCUGGAUUAAUAUUAGCGACAACAUUGAUAGUUCUUCUAUACUUUCAAUGAAAUAUAAGAGAAAUGAAUAAGAAGGAAAUAUGAAAAAAUUAUAAAAUCCAUCCUUUGUAUAAACAUGGCAACAAGAGAGUUUUAUUAGAAUAUUAAGGUUAGUAUUGUCAUUUUAAAUGGGUAAGGGAGAUAGGUGUAAUUUUUGAAACCUUAAGGGAAGCACAUGAAAUUAUUAACAACCUCAGGGGAGGUUUCUGAAAUUUUAUCCCUAAUAUAAUAUAAUUAGUACAGAUUAGUUCCAUUAAUCUUUCGUGAGUUAGCUGGAUUUAGUAAGUGAAGUUUUUUUUUUUUUUUAAAGAGUUAAAACUGUAACUUCAUGACCCAAAAAAAAAAAAAAAAAACUUUUACUAUCUGUUUACUGCUAAGGUAAGAUUAUACAAAGGCAUUUAUGCAAAUCACAAGUGUCCAAGAUGACUAGUAGUAUACCUAGUUAGAGUUGUAAACAAAAUCUAGAGAGACCAUGCAUGCAAAUAAAGCAAAUUAUUCAUGUCCUAACUGAAAUUGUAUCUGAUUGCAGGGAAUGUGCUUGCUAACACUAGCAGUUUCAGUCCCGGGCUUUAGACCACCUCCCUGCCAUGCUGCAAAUGUAUCUGACUGUCCAAAGGCUACAACACUUGAAUUGGCAGUGUUUUAUACUGCACUUUACAUCUUAGCUGUUGGAACUGGUGGGACAAAGCCAAAUAUCUCCACCAUAGGUGCGGAUCAAUUCGAUGAUUUCGAUCCAAAGGAGAAGAUCCAAAAGCUUUCCUUCUUCAAUUGGUGGAUGUUUAGCAUAUUCUUUGGGAUACUUUUUGGCAACACAGUUCUCGUCUAUAUUCAAGACAAUGUGGGAUGGGCUCUUGGAUAUGGUAUCCCUACAGCUGGGCUUGCAUUGUCUAUUGCCAUUUUUCUGUUUGGUACUCCCUUCUAUAGGCACAAGAAGCCUGCUGGUAGUCCCUUCACAAAGAUGGCUAGAGUCAUAGUGGCUACUGUUAAGAAAUGGAGGGUACCUGUCCCUACUCAUCCCAAAGAACUGUAUGAACUUGAUGCUGAAGAAUACACCAAGAAGGGCAAAUUCAAAAUUGAAUCCACAACCACAUUAAGGUUAGCAUUUUUCCCAUAAUUAACUAUAACUGCUUCUCUAUUACAGAUUAAAUUUUUUUAAAAAUCUGAAUAACAUCUUGUUCCAUAGUUGUCUAACUGAAAUGCAUUAAUUUAGGUACCUGAACAAAGCAGCAGUGCAAACAGGUUCAACAAGUAUGUGGAUGUUAUGCUCAGUUACAGAAGUUGAGGAGACCAAACAGAUGCUGAAAAUGUUACCUAUAUUGAUGACCACAUUCCUUCCAAACGUAAUAGUUGCACAAAGCAAUACUCUUUUCAUUAAGCAAGGCACUACUCUGGACAGGGGCAUGGGUAAGCAUUUCAAAUUGCCACCAGCCAGCUUAGGUGCUUUUGUGACAGUAACCAUGCUGCUUACCGUGGUGCUGUAUGAUCGUGUCUUUGUCAAGAAUAUUAGCAAGUGGACCAAGAAUCCAAGAGGCAUCACUCUCCUUCAAAGACUGGGACUUGGAUUUGUGCUCCACAUUAUCAUUAUGAUCGUAGCCUCCCUGACAGAAAGGCACAGGCUUAAUGUGGCCAAGGAACAUGGUCUAGAUCAAACCGGAGGCCAACUCCCAUUGACCAUAUUUAUAUUGCUCCCACAAUUUAUCCUUACGGGAGUGGCUGAUGCAAUGACAGAGGUUGCAAGACUUGAGUUUUUCUACGAUCAGGCACCUGAGAGCAUGAAGAGUUUGGGGACUUCCUUUUCCAUGACUAGUGUGGCAGGUGGCAACUUCCUUAGCAGUUUCAUUCUUUCAGCAGUUUCUCGCAUCACAAGGGAGGGUGGUCACAAAGGAUGGAUCCAAAACAACCUUAAUACUUCUCGCCUCGAUUUGUAUUUUGCAUUUCUUGCAGUAGUAGGCUUUCUGAAUUUCCUUUUUUUCCUGGUUGUGACCAAGUUCUUUCACUACAAGGCUGAGAUUUCGGACUCAAUGGAAGUGUUAAAAGAAGAACUAGAGGGGUCAAGGAAAGAUGCUUACCAAGUAGAGCUGGCGGAUAACAAACGCUAAUCAAGAAUGUUCUCAAGAGGGCUAAAAUUCAUCUGCAUGGAAAGGAGCUUGAGACUCAACAGGAGCAUUAUUUUGUAAUAAGAAUUGCUAGCAUCACAAGCAUGGAUUGGUGCUUUCUCGCACAACUAAGAUGAAACUAGCUUUUCCUUAAGCUAAAAAAUGUACUGUUAUGUUUUAGAAGCAGAGAGGAGGAAUGAAAUAAAGCUGUCAGAAGGCCCGAACUGGCUUUCCUGCAUGGCCCUACAGCGUGUUGCAGCAAAUAUUUCAGCUCAGAUAUCUGAAAUCUUAAUUUGCAUCUUUCCUUAAGAGCCCUAUGAAUGUACUACAACAAAUAUUUUAAGUUAUCUGCUUGAAAUCUCUAUUUCUAGCAAUUCUCUCUUGGUAAUCCAGGACAGCAAAUUUGCAUCAACAUGCAGUACUAUGUUUUAGUUUUUCCUUUUUUUCCCCCCAUCUUUUGGAGCAUUCUAGGAUGCUUGAACGCAAAUUCAAAUUGAAAGGAAUACAUUCUUCCUUUAGUUCUUACUAUUUUGGUUUUUUCAUCGCUUAUAGUUUCUUCGCUAUUCCCAUUAAUUUCCCUUUCUAUUUAUUUCUCACUGUUUGUUGAUUUUGAUGGUCAAUUGACGGUCAGUAGCACAACUGUUUUCAGUAAAACUGUUACUUUUAGAUGGCCACUGUUCAGAAAAGCAGUCAACAAUAAUGCUUCGCAAUGCAAGGACUACAAGACUUUCCAUGUCUUUCUACGUGAAACUACCAAAAUAAUUCCUAUGAUGCUCCUUUCCCAACCAAUCUAGAUGGCCAUGAAAUUGAAGUUUGCAGGCCCGCCUGCCUGUUUAGUGCAUGUCAUGAGUUUAUCCAGAUUUAAACUCAACGAAUGUUAGAGACAAAAUUUGAUUUUGUUAGUAUAUAUGAUAGCUCUAUACUGAUACUUGAAAACAUCUUAUACCAAUAUAAUUGAGCAAACAUUUGAUACUGUGUAUAAGAUAAUGUCGAAAGCAGAGAUUACAUAUCAUACUAGCCUGUUUUUAGUAGUUGAUUUUGUGUCUACAUUCCUCAUGGAAUCUAAAUCCAGUGAAGUAAUUAUUAAAAAAAAAAACCACAAAAAUGCUAAGGAUUCUGUCCAUGACGGUCAAUGAUCUUUUUCUAUGUUUUGCAUCAUAAACCAAGCACAAAGGCCUGAAGAAAACUGGUGACUACAAAAAAAAUUCUCUCAGCCUAAUUAGUUUUGACGUCAACCUGAUUCAUGAUACCAUCAGCCUUCUUGUAUAUCGAAUUUACAAAUUGAAAUGAUCAAAGAACAGAAAAGAUCAGCAUCACUAAUAUUUGAGCCUUGGAAAGAAAUAAAAUAGUGUGAAGAUGACCUCUGCUGCUAAACCAAGAUGCAUGUUUUAACAGACAAAAGGUCACAUUUAACAAACACUGUAGACCCUAAAGUAAUCCAUUUUCCCCUCUCUGUUUAUAAAAAGAUCCUGAGACAGAACUUCAUGUAAACUUUCUCAAGGAAAUAUCAAUCAAACAUCGUCUUAAGGACUCUAUAUAUCAUUUCGGGACGUGAUUCAAAUCUCACCUUCCAUGUUCCCUUCUUGCUGCUUUCCUCCACCUUUUGGCUUUCCCACCCCACCAAAAAAGGUACCUAAUCUGAUAAAUCUUUUUUUUCCCUAACAAUUCUUCCUUUUUGGAGAAUUUGUAUCAAGUUCUCAUCAAAAGUGAUUGCUAGAAACCUAAAGCUGACUUUAAUUGUCAUUACCAUUCCAAUUUGUAAUUUUGCUUGAAAAUUUCAAGAACCCUUUUCGUAUAUAUUACCAAAGAGAUGAAAGAAGGCAUUAAAGAUUGGAUUUUGGAAAAAGCAAAAUAUAAAUCUUUUCACCUGGGAUGGGAUAGGAUUGGACUGUUUAAUUCAAUCCCUUUGUAAAGCGUAAUGGCAACAAUCCCUUUUCUAACAACGCCAUUUCGAUCUAUGUUCGAGAAAAGCGAGAGUUCUGAUCAGUUCUGGAGGGUUUUAUGACUGAACAUCACAAUAUCAUCAGGACAACAACACGCAAAGGCGUGGUCUCACACUCGUUGGUGGAAAUACGCCUUCUGAAAUCACUCUCAAAAGCCGCAGACUUUCUGAUCAUCUGGGGAAAAGUUAAACUCAACUCCUAUCAAAUCAAGAUUUGGCAUCCCAAAUUCAGCUAUCUAUAAUCACUUAUGAGGAAUGCAAUUAUCUGUUUAACAAAACGGACUGUUUAAAAUAGCUUUAAAAAAAACGUAAUUUUGAAGUUAGUAAUUAAGAGAAAAAUCAAAAUGGAAGUUAAUGCAGACUUAAUUAGAUUCAAGGAAAUGAAGAAAGAAAGAACUUUUAAUUUCAGAUUCUGAUAUCUCUUUUUGCUAAUAGCUUUUCAAAUUUUCAUUGCGAUUUGUAGAAAGUACAUUCUUAGUUGUUUAUAAAUAUGUUAAAAUCUCUUCUUCCAUUGAACGUACUUUCAGUUCUUGAGUAUGACCCAAUGGUUUGUAAACUACAAAGAUCAUAUUUACGUUGCAGUGACUUUGUAGAUUGUCUGAGAUAAAGUUGAAUUAGCCUUCCAUUUAGUUCUCUUUUAGCUUUGUGGUUUCUGUCUUGGAGAGCUCAGCUAUCUGGUUGCAGAUUUGAUAAAACUAAAGUUCAUUUCCAUCGAUGAUAAGGACGGUUUUAACUUUCUCAGUCAGAUGCUUUGAAAGUUUGGAUAGUGCAAAACUAUAAGAUCAUAUGCAAAUGCAUCUCAUGUGGCCUUGACUUAUGCUACUGCGGCAGAACUCCUAAAUUAUCCAUGUUAUAUGGUGCUCUGCGACUAUUGUUGUAUGAUAUGGAAAACAAGGAUUCUCACUCUGAACUCAUCAAAUAUGAAAGUGAGAAGAUGGGCUUGUCUGAAUUGAUAAUCUUCUUGAAUUCUUUUCUUGCAACCAGGGUAGAAACUUAUGCUAGACAAUUAUUUCCUGUGAAAACUUGAACUCCUGCAGUCAACAUCCCAUCCGAAGAUACAUGUCAAUAUCAGCAAGUCAGCAGCUGCAAGAGCUCUUCCAUCAUGAAACCAGCGUGUUUUGCUGAUGUCCUUGUGCUGAUAAAUUUGAUGGUCGAAAUCGGAUAGGAACCAGUUGAAGCUUCUUCUCCACAAGACUUGCUUCUAUUUUUGAACUAAUUCAUUUCCCAGGUGUAUUUCUGAUCAAUUAUGGCCCAUGCAGAGUGGAUGAUGCAAAAGAGAAAAACAUAUCCAUUUGAAAUGCUCAACCACAGUUAGUUGCUAAUGCUGCGUAGGUCUAUAAAAAAAGAAGACCAUGAUUAGUAUAAUGUUCUCUCAUCUCCAAAUAUAUCUUUGUACUAGUAUACAACAAUGAAUAAAUACAUCAUCUUUUUCCGUAAAAGUGUAUUUCCUGAACUCAGCAUUCAAAGAUCAUAUGAUCAUAUACCUGCCUCACACGCUCCUCAGUUAAGAUCAACCUUAGUGGCAGAAUCUCAUGUAAACUGGUAUUAUUUUCAUCCUCUUCUCUUUGCUAAUUGGAAUGACCUUUUUAGGAAGUCAUUAGCAGCUCGAUCAUUUCUGUGGCACAGUACCCUCAAAAUUGUAUUGGGAUCUGAUCUAUUCCAUCUUCCAGUUGUUGGUGGCAUAGGAAGCUUCUGCCCAGCACCAACUACACCUAUGCCACUGGCUUCACAGGCCACAAUACUGAAAUCUUCCAUCAAUUGUUCUGUAGAUUGGCCCAUUAAUGCCACUACACCAUCCACUGUCUCAGCUUCUAUGUUUACUGCAUCCUCUACGAUUAGACCUUCUCCACAUGUACAAAACAUCCGCUUCAGGUUCUCAAAAUCUUCCUCAAUCAUCUGAUGGUCUGACCGAAAAAAGAUUCUGGAGCUUCCCCCAGCAAGCAAAACCAUAAGGAAGGCCUCAAAGGAAGCUCUCAUUACCUCUUUUAGAGCUAGUGGUUGAGCUCUUUCAGUCACAAUUGCACAUAAUAGAGUAAGGUUCUGCUUAAGUGUUCUCAGAGCUGGCCUAAUACGUGCAUUUGCUACAUCACCUACAUAUAGACUUCCGUAGAAUACAGAGUUCGAAUCCAUGAAGAUUAGACGGUAAGCAGCAACUUCACAUACAUGCUGAGUAGCAACAUGAAUUGCCGAGCGAGCGUGAUCAAAGUAGGAGGAGGAAUCCCCAAGUUGUCUAUUCCUGUUGUUAAUGCGGCUAUGUGGUGAAGGAACAAUUUUUGACGACAGGGACAAUGUUUUAUCAAGAGAGUUGAGCUGUGAAUUGAGGAAAUGUAAGGUGUUAAGACGGAUGUACAAGCGUUGUGUUCCGCGACUUGUUGAAGGCCGCGGAUGGUUGCCUUCAUUUAGCAUAUUUUGGCCUGGGUCUUCUAUGCCAACACUGCAGGCAGCUCUUUUCCAGAGUUUAGAAAACUUUGUUUCUUGGCUACAUCGUGUUAAAGGGGGAAGUAUAGGGAGAUAACUUUGCUUUGAUCCUGAAGAGUGGAGCAAAAACCCAGUGAGUUACACAGUGAUCACAUAAUUUUGCUGAUUCCAAUGCAUAUUUUGAUCCAACUUUUAGUUGUCUACGUUAUCAUUUAUCAGCACAAAGAAGAAGACCAUGAGGCAAAAGAGGAAACUUAGAGUAAUACUGUCCAGCGGCUGCAACUUGCAUGAUUAGUGAAGCUAGACAUUCAAAAAGGGACAACCAGGUUGGUAUUUAGAGGAGAACAGGAUUUCAGAGUAUGAUAUGAACAUCCCUAUAUAUGCAAUUAUCUGUGUUCAGGAUGAUAUCUUUCAUUGACAACUACUUGGUGGAAAGAUUCAGUGCCAGUUCUUACCACAUGAUGCAACAAAGGUAAUGUAAUCUCUGAAGAGAUGCUCCAAUCCAUCAGUGAGAGUGUGGACCAGAUCCUCAGAUAAGUUCACUGGGGUAUGGAGGAAGCUGUCCAAAGAAUCCUUGAUAUGCUUCAUUAGCUCUACAGCAGAAUGUGCAUAUGGCUCGGUCUUGGACUUGGGAUUCCAUGUCUACAAUGCAAAAUUCUGUAUGUCAAGUUGUUGCUGCACACAUAUAAGGAGUCUCGGGUAUGUGUGUUACAUAUCAAUUCAUGUUAAUAGAUGUAAGAAUUCUGCCACUGUCAAAAGAUAUAAAUACAUGUUUUAUCAAACUUACUUCAGUUUCUUUCGCUCUAAGGAGUAAUUCUUUCCCCUUCUUUAGGAUUUCUUGAAUCCAUUGUUUCAUACGGUUCAGUAUGAUGGAAUCAACUUCAUAGGGCACCAUCUCCCUGACAAUUGCUUUGCCUCCAUCUUCACAUUCAACAGAGUCUUCAACCACCAUCUGAACCAAAACCUUUUCCAACUUCCCAGCUCUGUGCAGCAACGUAGUUGUCUCCUCUGUGAGUGCAGAAGUUGCUACCAAAUACUGCUUCAACAAAGUCCCGUAGCAAGUAUGUAGGGUUACCGCUGCAACCCCAGCUGCGACAGGGUGCCAUUUCUUGAGUACAGGACUAAAAAUCUCCUUCUCCAUUGCAGCCAAACGUUCAGUUUCAUUAGCCAAUUUAAUGAGCACUUCACUUGCUUCUUCCAUUUCAACAACAGCUCCAUCUAUGUUCCUAUCUUUCAGAAUCUACAAAGGUUUUUAAAAAAAAUAGAGAGAUAUAGUUCAAGUAUUUUCAGAAGUUGAAAAUAUCCAACAGAAAAGUAAAAGAGACGUCGAUUCAGGAUCAAACUAAUAUACAUACUACCCUGUACCUUUGCAAAUGCAUUCCUCAAUGAUGACCUCACAUAAUAAUCCACCCGAUUGCCAGAUGAAAUCUUUGUCAUUUCUUCGGUCUCCAAUUCUACUGCAAGAUAUCCUGGAACAUCUUCUUCCAAGAUCUUUGCAGCCGAAAAGACUAAUGGAACAAUACUCUCCAUUAGUCCAAUUGUGCCCUUAUGAAAAUUUUGAUGGUAAUCAAGCAAUCUCCUCUCUGCCCAUCUCUUCAUUGAAGUCAAGGCUGAUGCCAACAUCUUCACAUACAAAGGUUCUCUAUCAACUUUCUUAGCAUCAUUUGCGACUUCAGCUAACAUAGUCAGUGAUGCACCAAGAAGAUCUCCCUCAACUUGUCCGGUCACAAUAUAAUGCUCAAACAACACCCAAGUAAAACACAAGUUAUGGAUCGAUCUAUUAAUUCCCAAUGUAGACCAUGUCUUCUUCAUCAACUCAAGAAGCUCGUCAACUUCAUCAAGAACUAACGUUUCCUCCUUGAUAUCAAAAAUUGAGUACAGAAGAGCAAUAUAAAUGUGUACGUUAAUGGGAUAUCCAUCAGCCCAAUGGCAAAUAUCAGUAGGGGAACCAUCAGCACUUCUCCAAGACAAAGACACAACACAAUUGACUAGUGAUUUCAUGGUUUCUGAAUUCUUUCCGGUGUCUAUUGCUUUGUGUUCUGAAGCUUGGAUGAUUUCGCGAAGGCGAAUAGCAAAUUCAUUCGACUUCUCUAAUGGAAUCGAAGGGUGAAGAAGAAGUCCAACCUCGAAAAUUUUGAGCUGACGUUUUUGCCAAAAAUGAUACUCCUGAGGGUCAUUAAAUUCGGAUGGUUUUAGGUGGCGUAAAAGCUCCAACGGAAGAAUAAUCGUCUCUGCACGCCUGCCCAUCUGCUCGAAGAAUUGUAUCAACUUUACAUGUUCAAUCAGUCAGGUCAAAAAAAUUUAUCAACUCGAAGAAUAAGCAUUGUCAAUACAAGCAAUGCAAAGCUAUCAUGUCAAUAGAUAUAAACAGCUCAAGUAAAUUAUGUAUUUUCCUCGACAAACUCUAGUGUGUCAAAGGGACCAUUCCGCCAAUCUAUUCCAACUACCAAGAUAACGAAAAAAAUGUUGAAAACAUCAGGGAGUGUAAUUAACAUUUUCAGAUUCUAUCUUCGGUUUUUAUGGUCAAGCAUGAUAAACAUUCAUGUGUUGGCAACAAAUGAGUAUGCUAAUGCCCCAUUUGAAUAAAAUAUUUGCAUAAACAUUCUUGAAAUAAAAUUAUUUAGUUUUUUUAUCCUACGGUAUAUCAGCUUCUAGUUAGCUAUAAAUUCAUUCUACGUCCUUUCUAUAAUCCUCACUAAAUUCCAAUUUGCGUAUAAUAAGCCUAAAAAAAAAUUAUAUUGCUCUCUUAGUUAAUUCCGAGAUGAUACAGAUUAGAGGCACAUUAAAAAUGAAAAAGAGAAAAAAAUUGGAACUAAAACUUGCACAUUUACCUAUUUUGUUUUCUCAUUUUAUCGCUUCAUAAAUUAUUUCAUUUCACACGAUCGAAGAAUUAUUGUUCACUCACCAAAUUAACAUACAUUUUUAUGAAAUUUUAGUUAACUAAUUGUAUUUUAUAUUUUUUUUCCCAAUUUCCCAUUUCUAUCGACGAAAUAAUUCUAUAGACAUAUUAUCUACAUACUUGGCCAACAAGGGUCCUCAUGAGAGUUUUACGUAGCCUGUUAUCACUCUGCUCCGUCACCCUCAUUUGCUGCCGCAUGAUCUCAGCUGAUGUCAUCGGCCGGCGAGGCCUAGACGGCAACGACGAGAACGCGCUCCGAGGACUCGUCCCAGCCCCACCAUUCGGCGAAGACGGUGCUGCCCCAACAGAGCUAGCCCUCCUUGAUGGUGACUUUCUCAUCAUUUUCAAUCCUAAAGUCCUUUUCACCCUACUCGUUACUGCCAUCCCCACCCCCGGUGGCUUCACUGGAGAUCCAGGUUGUCCAAAACUUGACCCAGACCCGCUUCCAUCUUUCUCGUCCGACGGAUUAUAAUAUGUUAUUGCACUCCUACCUCCAAACCCCGGCGAUGACCGGCAAGCCGUGAAGAAUAUCUCAUAAGCAGCUUCACGAAAAUCAUCCCGGUCGAGGCCUUCGAGCUUUCCGAAAGGCCAUACAAGGUCCGAGAUGGCCUCUGCGGGAUCCGGAUCGGCUCGGGGAGAAGGCUGAAUGGAUGAACGGGUAAGUUGGCCCAUUUAGGUGGUUUUGGCCUAAUGAUGGGUGGUGGUGAUGCAGCAGAUUCCGGCCGUUUUCUUUAUUGCCAAGUUUCCGGCGGAAGCGGGACAGAGAAGGUGAUGAACAUUAUAGAACUGUUUUUUUCUGUUUUCGUGAGGACAGAAGAAGAAGAAAGAGAGAAAUGGGAUAAUAAUGGUUAGAAAUUAAAGCAGCAAGAGAGAGAAGAGGAGAGAGAUGGAUGGUUUUGGGGCGGUGUAGAUUUGCGAAGAAAACGAGAGAAGACAAAGGUGGUUGCAUGAGCAUUCCGGGUUUUGCUGAUAUAUACGAAUGUUGCCUCAUUUUGAAUAAAUGGCAAAUUUUGUUUAUAUAUCCUUUUUUUUUUUCAGGCUUGUUUAUAUCUCUUUUUUUGCCCUUCUUUUUAUUUUUUUUUAUUCUGCAAAUUUCAAUUUAAAAAUUAUUAUUUCCAAGGACAGGAACACGUAGAUUCAGAACGCCUUCAUCAUGCAUGCAAAUGCAUGGCUCCAUAUGGAGAUAAAGAAUAGCAGACUAUGUAACCGUCUGAAUAUUCCGGAGAUGUAUUGGAUUUCUUUAGUUCUUAUUCUUUUUUCUUUUUUUUUUGGGGGUACAAAGUAGUAUUACUUUAGCUAUUAAUAUAGUUCUAGAAAUGCCAAUAAAUAUAUAUAUAUUUGUCAUAUUUGUAAUACUCUCAUUAGAAGCAAGCAGAGACGAAAAGUAAACGUGCUUCUAUUAUGGCAGAUGUGGCGCAGUUGUUUACUUGUCUAAUUUUGUGACAUAUUAUUAUUUAUGCGACCAAUGUCUUUGGAUUCUUUUUACUUGUUGAAAGGGAAGUAAUAUACAGUCGAGAAGUUGUCGAGCAAGUUAUGUUUUUUGUCGAAUUUAUUCACUUGAUAGUGAUCUGGGAUAGUUUCAAAGAUGCCCUUUCUUUACUGAUCAGCUGCAUGUAUAUGAUUUCAGUAAAUGCUAUACAUAAUAUAAAUGCUUUUCGCAGCUAAAUUGUUCUUUUACCACAGACAGACAGGUCUUUCUCUGAAUAUUCUGAGAUAGAAUCAAGGUUAAACUUAGUGGUGAUUCAAUUCAGAACACACAAAUUGAUGCACUAUCAUGUAGCAUUUUCAAGACCAAUUUUUUGUUUCUUCCAUCAUUAUGUAGGAAAUGGACUCAGUUGAGUUGAUUUUGAGCAUUUGAUACGAGCUUGUGAAUUAUUCUAUUCAUGCAUUGAAACAUCUUGCAUCUCCGCCCCCCCCCCCCCAAAACAACAAAAAAAACCCUAUAGACAUCUCUAUGAAGAGAUCAACUUUGACAAAUUCCGAUCCAUCCGGUAAAAAGACUAAAAGAAAAUUGGACUUUAUCAUUUGAUAGAACUUGGUGCUUGCCGGGCGUUUAAGGUGGGCAAUUCUGCCGUAAUGAGCAUGUCAAUAUGUUAAUCAUUGCUCUACAUAUGUAAAAGAGUUGUUUCAAACAAAAUAUUAUGUUGAAAUCUUAUUCUUUUAAUUGUUUAACUAUGUGUAAAAAUUGGACUCUCACAUGGUUGAUAAUAAUUGGAAUCUGUAAUUAGACAAGUCUUAGUUGAACUCCGAGGGAUUGAACUCUUGCACAAAUGAUUUGUCCAACUUCUGUUGGUCUAACUCCACUUUGCAUCCUUAAACUGGCAGCACUUUUUCACUUAGCACCGUAAAUUUCAAUUUUGGACAUUUUGCACUCUAAACUCUUAAUUUUGGAUACUAUACACCCUAAACUCUUAAAUUUAUCCUAUUUAAAUCUAAUGAAUAAUUAUGUGCGCAAAAUUAACUAAUCACAAUGUUAUUUUAAUUCUAACUAUGAUCCAUCAAAUUUUUUGAUCACUUUCAUCACAUUGCCGCCGUUGUUUUAUGUAGCUUUAAUCACUAAUAUUGUUAGUAAACCUAACAAGAUUAAAGAUGAUACACAUUAAUGACAAUGUAUUAUUUUAUUUUUAUUACAACACUGUAGUACCUUUUGACUACUUUCGGUACAUUGUCAUUGAUUCCUUGGAUCCUCUACGCCAUUAAUUUUGCCAAAAUUAUCAUUGAUUAUAAUUAAAUGGGACAAACUUAAAAGUUGAGUGUAAAGUAUUCAAAUUUGAGAUUUUAGGGUGUAAAAUGUUCAACAUUGAAAUUUAGCAUACAAAGUGAAACAAGUUUAAGGGUGCGAAAUGAAGUUAGUCUAAAUGAGUUCGAUAAGCGGGUUAUAACUAAGACAAGAUUUUUCUGUUUUUCAUUUUUAGCAAGAAAGGCUCAGUGAACAUAGCAAAAACGCUCUCACAAAGGAGCAAAACCAAACUACUAAGACAUAAUCUCAAAUUGUCUGAGCCAGUUUAUGGAGAAAUCUCGCAGGAGUUUUGAUGAACCAAAAUUUUAUAGUAGGUAGUUCUAAUUGUAUGACUCGUACUCAUAGUAGUAUUACUUCUUCUUUUUUUCUGCUGGUCUUGUUUGUUAAUAUCACAAGUUGUACAAUUUACAGAUUACCCGUUUUGGCCUACUUGAAUGAGACAGCAAAUUUUUUUUUCAAGAGAAAGUUUCAUACACUAAUCAAAUCAAUCUGAACAAGCAAAAAAAGACAGUCUAUUCUUUUGUUCGAAGUAUUUGGCAUCAGAAUCCGGCAAUUUUCAGUUGGAGUGUUGGUCUCUAGCUGCCGACAAUUGUAAUUUAAUUAGUAGUUCACAAGCCAUUAUCUGUUUCUCUCUUCUUCAUUAUUCUUCCAACCUUGACACAAUUGUUUUUUAAUGGUUUUCUGAUAUUCUUCUAAGCAAUUCAGAAUUUGACGCCUUAUGCCCUACCACCACCUAAUCAUUCUCUUCUUUAUCUAUGAUUUUUUAUUUUUAUUUUUAUUUUUGUGGGACAAUAUCAUUUCAAAAGGUUUAAAGUUUGGACUAUUUAGGAACCCCAAAAAAAAAAAAAAAAUUGGACAGCAUUGUUUGUUUGUUAUACAAAAGAAUGAAAAUGAGGUUUGGCUAUUGUAGCAGCUCGUGAAUGCUACACGAGGUUCCCGGGGCGACUCCCGUUGUGAGCGCCAAGUUCAAAUAGCCCAGGGUCAGGCCUUACCCCGAGCAAGAGUCAGACUCUGCGGCCGGGCCGAAUCCGGAUUAGUUGGAACACUGGCUCCGGAUACCGGGUGGUCUGACCAAAAAAAAAAAAAAAAAGAAAAGAAAAUGAGGUUCGGCCAGUGGAUCCAGUGCUUAAUGAAAUCCAUUAACUUAGCUGCUGGCCCUGCUGGCUCAAUAGGCUCCCAAAACUUUUAGUGGGCCUUUUUAAGGGCCAGAAGGAUGACAGGCCGUAAGGAACCAAUGUUCUUGCUGAAAAUCCAGGCACUUGUACUUGGUUUUGUGAGCAGAAGCACAGCCGCAUCAAACCAAAGUAUCAAUUUUGUGUUGAGAAGAAAAAAAGGAAAAUUUAAAAUUUAUUGGUCCAUGUAUAUUCACAUUUUUUUUGACAAACAUCUAUAUUCACAGUUCAAAAUGUGUCUCUAUUUUACAACUUUUUAUGAUGCUUUUUUUUUCAUUUCCUUCUUGGGAACUAUAUAAAAAAUGAAAAGUUUCAGUGCAAUUUGAUGAAACCUAAUUAAUCAUCACUUACCAAAAAAUGGUGAAUAAUUCAAACUCAAAAUAAGAUUUGGAAAGAUACUUCUCACCCACCCAAGUUUGAUAGGCAAAGGUACAUACAUUAUGUCUUGUUGUCGUUUCAGAAAAAAUGAUAGGGAAAAUAAAUUAAAUUUAGAAUUUUGAAGUAGAAGGAGGAAGAAAGUCUUGGACAAUUAAUAUUUACUCAAUUUGAAAAAUGAGAUUAAUUAAGAAGCUAAAAAAUGUUAAGACUAGGAAUUCAUGGAAAAUUUGCGCAGAGUGCAUACUUUUUUGGCAUAAACCAUGCAGAACUGAUCAUUGGCAGUACAAAUCGACUAACUAAUUGCAUGAGCAUUAUAACUAGCACUUUAAACUAGAGACCGGAUCUAUGGUAUUGUUUACAAUGUCUAUUGCUGUUGCACAAAUUGUUUUACAUUAGUAAGAUAUGCAACAAAAUAGACUCCAUUGAUGUCAUCCAAAUAAGUAGACAUUUAUAUAGACUAAUACCACCAAAAUGCCUCUCUCGUAUAGUUAUCCCCCACUAAGAGAAUCAUCAGACUUCACUCUUAUCAUGUUUUUGUCUAAAUUCAACAUCCCAAAUUUAUUUUCAUUAAAAUUUUCCUCUCUUAUAUGGUAAAAUGGGACCUAAAUUUGUCAAAAAAAAAAAAAGAAAUAAUUCUUUUGUAUGGUAAAAUGGGACCUAAAAUUAUCACAACAGAAAAGAAAUAAUUUUUUUAAUUCAUCUUUUUUUUUAAGUGUAAGUUAAAGGUUUCGAAUCCAAGAUCUCUCACUUAUACUCCCUCUCCCCGUACCAUCCAACUCAACUCAUCCCUCCCUUCUUGAAUUCAUCUAUUAAAAUUUGCCAUAUCUAAAUGAAUAGCAUCAUAGAUUGACAAUAUAAUCAUGACCUGGAAAUAAAAUAUAUAUUUAUAUAUAUAUCCAAUUCAGAUAGAAAAAUCUCAUCUUUACUGAAUCAUCAUCAUCAAGUAAUACAACACAAUUAACCAAAACCAAAAAAUAUGAAAAAAAAAACCCAAAACAAAAUAUGAAAAAAAAAAUUCUAAAAAACAACUAAUCAAUAAAAAUUAAGAUAACAAAACGUAGAUAUGGAUAAGGGGCUUACGUGAAGGUGAUUGAAAUCUAAAAAUCGUUAAGAUGAGACGUCAGCAACCGGACUUUGAUUUCCCAAUUAUAAUAUUUUUCCAAAAAAAAAAAAGAUAAAAAGAAAACGUAUUAUGUAUAAAGAGUCUUUAUAAUUCCAACUAUCAGUGGCUUGAUUUCUAUUUUCACCUAAAGAUUUCAUGCAAUUACUGUUCACAAAGGUUUGCAAUUUUGCGUGCAUGCAUCAUUAAUUCCAAUAGUCGCAAUAAUCAAGGUAUGUGAUGUGCAUUUGUGCUAGCAAUUGUCCAUUCUCAUUAAUUUCUUAAAAAAUAUAUAUAAAAAUACAAAUUAAGAGACUAUUUGCAAUUAAAAGACUAAUAAUAAAAUUAAUCCAUAAUCCGAGAUGCUCGUAAUAACUUUCCAAAUACCUGUGUUCCCAAUAUUUGAUAUAGCUUAAUGAUGAUUUCUUCUUCUUUGGUAAAAUUUCACCGAUAUCAAUGAAAUAAUAAUGGAUUUGAUUAGCAAUUAGGAGUUUAAUAAGUUCAUCAUUUAUUUGAUGAUUAGUGUUUGUAUUAGUGUCAGUAUUAGUAUUUGAAUAGAAGAUGAGAGGCUAAUAAAGUUCAAAUUGUAAACAUUAGCAUGUAGGCAAAUUGUUUUAAUUGUACAUAAUACUUGAUUUUACAUUUAAGCUAAUAUUUAUAUAAUUUUGGGCAUAUUAGUCAAAUCAAAAGAGUAAGAAACACCUAUCGAUAAAUCAUUCAAAAUAUUUUUAUAUAUGAUAUAGAUACUAUCAAAGUAAAUAUGCAAUAUGUACUUAUUUCUAACUAAGUUGAGGCUUUAGUUUGAAGGGCAGAAGAGGAAUGAGUUCAGUGGUACAGAAGGAUAAAACGUAAGCAGGUCCGGAUUCAUAUCCUCUCAUUUACACUUCAAAAAAGUAAAAUAAAAUAAAAUAAGUUGAGGCUUUAGUUAUACUAUUAUCAUUUUUGGUUUUUCCCAAAUUGAAAACUUGAUUUUUGGGGUUGAUGCAGCCUUUAAUAUUGUAUUACUACUACCGUUGUGUGUGUCUCUCUCUAUUGACCAAAAAAUUCUACCCAUAAAGGGAAUAGCAAUUCAAGUCAGGGUAGCACCGUAGCAGGAAGCAAUACUGGAUCAAAAUAAAACACUGGAUCUCUUCCUUAUAUGCAAGCUUCUUUGAUUGAUCACUCCGCUGGUUCUAUAACUAUUUUGGUGGCCUGGCAAUGUUGUACAGCAAUCUACAGAAGUGUAUAUACAGCAGACAUGAUUCCAGAACGGUGAUUGAUCACCAAGAAUACUAAUGGGUAAAUAAUCCAACACGUUGCACUAUGGUGGCUGCAACAAAAUGUGCGGUUGUGAGCUCAACCACACCAUUCAAGGUUGACAAUAUGUUAUACAUGCCCCGAGAAAAACAUUGUCCUACAUAUUAUAUUUUCAACGGCAAAAUCCAAAAUGAUUUGUCCUCAAACCUACUCUUUUAGCAUGUUCUGUCCUGUUUUUGGGGUAUUUCAGAAGUUCCCUGGAGGUUUUUGGCAUUUCUCUUGAGGAUUUUGACUUGCAUUUAUCUCCCCUAUUUUAAGUUUUAAUGUGAAAAUGUCAUAUCAUAUAUAUACAUAAAGAAAAACUCGUAUGAACUGCUUACAAGUUGAUUUUCUUACUCAAAUUUGAGGAUCUACUUUAUCUCUAAGGACAAGGUGCAAAGCCGAAAUUUCCCAGGAUAAUCUAAAUCCCAUUUUCACAUGUGCUGUUAAAUCUUGCUAGAAGUGAAAAUGCUAGGUGCGCUCUACGAACUAUAAAGCCAAUUAAUUGCCUAAAUUUCUUGUAUUCCAUGUAAUUAGUACACUAAGUGUCUGUUUGAUAACAUAAAAAAGUGCUGAAACUGAAUUCAUUCAGACAUUCAGAUGUUUUGGGUAUUUGAUAAAUAAAAAUUUUUCUGCUGAACUUAUUAAGUGGUGCUGAAUUUGUAUGUAUUUUUUUCAGCACAAGAAUCGUAACUGAAUGCUUAAUUUGAUAAGAAUCAAGAAAUUUACUUCAACUACUUUUAUCUUAUCUACCAAAUCUAUUAUUGUUUGUUAAUUACAUUCAAAAUCCUUAUCUAAUUAAACAACUUAAUAUUCUCUAUCCAAAAUCCUUAUCUAAUUAAACAAUCUGACAUUCUCUGUCUAAUGGCUUUCUACUUCUAUUUUCUCCAUAUUUAAUGACUUUUUUACAAUUUUCCCAUGCUACUCACAUCUGUCUACUCCUUAUCUUUUUCCAUCUUUCUACUCUUUCAUAAUUUUGUCAUUUUUUUCCUCCCAAUUUUUUUUAUUGCUACCAUACUCACCUAUCUCAAAUUCAUUAUUUCCAAGGUAGCGUCAACAUUUUUCCAUUGAAGUAAUUAAAUUUCUAUAUAAUUUGGUGUGAAUUUAAAACUUGUUUAUUGCAGCUUCCUUUUGCUUAUAUUUGGACUUUUCUUAUCAAACUCUGAUUUAAAAAUAUAUUUGCACCGAUAUUUGGACUUUUCCAUAAUAUAUUUCUUCUUUUAUAUUACUUUGAUUAAAAAUAAAUAUUGUCAUUUUCAUACCUAACAAUUUUAAACUAAUUAAAUCAUAGUAUCUAUUUCCUUUUUGGAUUAAAAGAUAGAAGGGCAAAAUUGUACAAUUUAGCUUAUUAAGCAUUAAGUUAUAAAUGUUUAUCAAACAGUAUAAAUAUGUUCAGCAUUAAGAUUCAGAUAUUCAUAUAUCUCUUUUCAGUGCUUAAUAUUCAGCAAAUUAAUUGUUUCAGUAUUCAGAAUUCAGAAUUCAGUUUUAUAAAACGGAGCCUAAGGUUCCGUUUGAUAAAACUGAAUAUGAGUUCUGAAACCUGAAUAUGAAAUAAUUAAUUUGCUGAAUAUAUGAAUGUCUGAAUUUUAAUGCUGAACCUAUUUAUACUGUUUGAUAAACAUUUAUAACUGAAUGCUUAAUAAGUUAGAUUGUACAAUUUUGCCCUUCUAUCUUUUCAUCCAAAAAAGAAAUAGAACUUAUGAUUUAAUUAGUUUAAAAUUAUUAGGUAUGAAAAUGAUAAUAUUUAUUUUUAAAUCAAGUUAAUAUAAAAGAUGAAAUAUAUUAUAUGAGGAGUAUGGAGAAAAUGUGAAAGUCAUUAAAUGUGGAGAAAAUAGAAGUAGAAAACUGUUAGAUAGAGAAUAUCAGGUUGUUUACUUAGAUUAGGAUGUUGAAUAGAGAAUAUCAAGUUGUUUAAUUAGAUAAAAAUUUUGAACAUAAUUAACAAACAAAGAUAGAUUUGAUAGAUAAGAUAAGGUAGUUGAAGUAAUUCUAUUGAUUCUUAUCAGAAUUAAGCAUGCAAUUACUAUUUUUGUGCUGAAAAAGAUAGACAUAAAUUCAGCAUUAUUUAACAAGUUUAGCGGAUAAAUUUUUAUUUAUCAAACACUCAAAACAUCUGAAUGCCUGAAAAAGUUCAGUUUCAACACUUUUUUAUGCUAUCAAAUAGAACCUAAGUAAGCAUAAAAUUUUGAGCAAAUAAGCCAUAGACGUUACACUUUCAAGUCAUACUAUUAUCAUUUACCCUCAACGUAAAUAUAUACCAUAAUUAUUCAUCACUAAGCGUCUGAAGGUUUGGUUAUAAUUAUUUUUUCUUGUUCUGCGAGUGCUAAAUAUGGGGAGGCAAUAUUUGAUUACCAUCUUAACACGAAAAGUAUCUUUAGCCUCAUUGGAUUUCCAUAUUCUCCAAAAUUUCUAGCAACAAGAUAAUAACAAUUCAAAGCAUGGUAAGAGGAAUCCGUUAUUGCAUUCAAGUACAAGGACUUGGCAUUGAUGCUCUUUUGUUUUUGGCAAUUCGAUUUGAUUGCGCACAUGUUUAAAUUCUUGGAUGUACAAUUAUAUUAUAUUAUUAUAUGAAGCGAAUAUGAAGUAUUUUAUUUAUGUACACUAUUUGUGUCAUGAGUUUACUAAUAGUAUAUAAUUAUGGAUCUGUCUACCUGAGAACUCGUUAAGAUAUAUUUCAGUUGCAAUAUUUUUUAAAAUGUAAAAUUAAUUGGGAAAAGAAAAUAAAUACAAGAAAAGAUGUGUAUUAUUAAAUAAAAAAAUAUAUAAGUACAAGAGACGGUAAUGAUUGUUUAAUGUGUACGUAUAUAUUAGAUUAGAUGAAUAUUAGAUUUAUCAAUGAGUACACUAUAGAUACCGUUAGAAAGAUGUGUUAAUAAAUGCACUAUAAAUACUGUUAGAAAAAGCCUAUAAUUAUACAUCAAAUAAUGUAAUAAGUACAACCAUAUAAUGAUGUAAUAAUACGUAAUUAUGCACCGAAGUCAGCAGCAUCAGCUGAUUCUGGGAACUGGAACGGUAUACAGCUGCCAAAAAUCCACAUGGGCUUAUCUAAAAUCUCUAUAACAACCUGAAAUUCAAAUGGGUUAUCUACAAUCUCUCCUUCCCUUCCCUUUCCAUCAAUAAAUACUUCCGUUUGUUCUUCCAAUACCAAUUUUCAUCCUCUGGAUUCUGACAAAAUAUUCAUUGUAUCUUUCCACCACUCAGACUAAAGAAUAGAAACAAAUAAGAGUAGCCGCUUCUUUUGAGCACUGUUGAGCCUUGCUGCCUUCAACGGCAACACCAGAAGUCCUCUUUCUCUUCGCUUUCUCCUCUCUGCUCUCUCCUCACUCCACUCUAUCUGGAAUACAAGGUAACUUCAACACGAAAACUCCCUCUUCUCUCCCAUUUCCAUAGCAAAAGACGUGCAUGCAAAUUCUUAAAGUUAAAAUUGUUCAAGAAAAUGUUGAAUGCUGUUCUUGUCCAAUGCUAUCAAGAGAACAAAGUCUUCCAACCCUUCAAGGAUUCCUAACUUUUUAUUUCUCUUUUAUUAUCCUACACAUUUAUUUGUUUGUGUAGAUUCCAAUUUACCACUUGCAGAUCAUAUAAUUAGCAGAUUAACUAGUCGAAGUCGUGGCUAGAAGCUAAAUUUCAUAGGCAUCUUUUACAAAAGUGCAUAUAAGCAAAGGUUGGAUUAUAUCAUGAGGCUUUCUCAAGUGGUGAAUUUUUUGUCAAUGCAGUUGAUUUUGGGAGUGAAUUUGGUGGUAUCAAAUAUUUAUAAGCAUGUCUAAGAUGAGAGUGGCAGUGGUGGGUGCUGGGAUUAGUGGGCUGGUUGCAGCUCAUGUUUUGGCCAAGGAAGGUGUCGAUGUGGUAAUAUACGAGAAAGAGGAUUACUUAGGCGGCCAUGCUAAGACUGUUACUAUGGAUGGCAUUGAUCUUGACCUUGGCUUCAUGGUCUUUAAUCGUGUAAGACAAAGCAAUUUUAUGUUCCUUUUGUCAGUGCAUUUUGUUGAUUCUUAUGAACUUUGGGUGCAUCUUUUCCCCAUAAAUAGUCUAGGAAUCAUUCUUAAUGCUCCAUUCUCUUCACAUCUAAGUUUUCAACUUUUCAAGAAUUUCACAAGAAGAAAAAAAUACCAAAAGCAUUGUUUACAAUUCCAAUAGUACUUGAGAAAAAUAAUUACUCUUUCAGCUUCAUAACAAACCAUAAUUAUUUAGCCUAGCAAUAUUUCUUGUUAUUCGACUAGUGCAGAGCGAAUACUCCUCAUUUUAGAACUCAACUUCCAAUUUCGGAUGAUGCAUCCCGGUUAGAGAUCCUUUUCUCAGUUAAAAUACGAGGACUUGUCAAAGUAAAAUAAGGAAAAACUGCUUGAGUUAGGUGUUGUAAAAUUACAAGAACCUAAGUGAAAAUUUUUUCUCGACAUGAAUAUGGAUAGAAAGGGAUGGAUGUAGUUAUAGGCAAUAAUUCCUGAUUCUGAUUGUGCCACGACCUCAGCAGAGCUUGACCACAUUCACUAACUAACGGGACAGGGGUGAACGGUUGUCAGGAAAAUCGUUCGGGCAUCUUUUGUGCAAAAUGUAUAAAAUGUAAUUUUGUAUGUACAUAAUAUAAUUUACUUUCAAUAACGUGUAAUUAUAAAAUAAAAUUUUGUGAGUCUCACACAUGAUAUGAAAAACGAUGUACCAGAUACAAUUUGAACUUUAUAUUUUUUUUUGCCAAAUCUUGACCAUGAACCUUUAGAAACUGUUGCAACCGUUGCAUCUGCAACCGUUCCUGCCCCUCCUCCUCCUUCUCUAACAUCAUAACAUAUGAGUCAACUCUGUUCUAAUGAAUAAAGCAUUAUCAGGACUAGUAAUAAGGGCAGACUCGAUGUGUGUGCGCAUGCAAUUUAAGAAAAAUCACUUUUUGCAUGAAAGAAGUCAAUAUAAAAUUUUUAUAAAUAAAAAAAAACUUUGAUCUUUCAAAAGUUUUUUUGAAUAAAAUUUUAAUGAACUUGGUGGUUAUAAUGUUUGUGGGUGGUUAUGAUUAAAUUAAAAAAAAGAACUUUGAUCUUUCAAAAAAAAUUUAAUAAAAUUUUAAUGAACUUGGUGGUUACAAAUUGUGGGUGGUUAUAUUGGUUGGCAAUAUAGGUAACAUGUAAUCAGAUAACAGAGGUAUAAUCAAGUGAUUGUGAGAGUAAAAUUGAAAAUCUAAAAAAUGAUAAUAAAAAAAAGUUUACACCAGACUCAAUAUCUCCGAGAAGGGUUGGGUUGGAUUAGAGGUGGCAAAUCAACCCACUUAAUUAAAUUUACCCAUACCCGCCUAUGAAUAGAUGGGUAUGGAUAUCUUAAAUUUUUGUAUAUGGGUAUAAAUGGGUUACCCAAUAAUACCCAUUUAAUAAAUGGGUAUUAUUGGGUAACCCAUCAAACCCAAUUAACCCAUUUAGAAUUCUCUUCCUCCCAAGUCUCUUCUUUUUCCCCACCCAUUUUUUUUUUCAAAUUUUUCAUUUUGUCAUGAUGUUAACUACUUUUUUUUCAUUAUUAUUAUUAUUAUUAUUAUUUGUUGGUUUUAUCUUAUUAUUUUAUUUUAUCUUAGUUUGUUAACUUGCUCAUUUUUCAGCAUUACUCAUUUAUGAUAAAUUUUAGCCUAUUUUCUUAUCUUUCUAAAAUGAAAUUUUAAAUUUAUAUAUGAAAAAAAUGUUAGGGGUUCAAAAUUUUUGGAUUAAGUUUUUAUAUUAAUUUUUAUAGUACUUAGUUCAAAUUUUUAUAUUCUUAUUAUUCAAUUAUUAAAUAAUAGGUAAUUUUGUGACAUAGAGUAUAAAUGAAAAAAAAUUGGUAAUUAAGUUUAUUGAACAUUAUAAAUAAAUAUUUAAAACUAAUGAUGGGUACAAAGAGUGGUAUAAAUUGAUAACUUAGUUUGCAAAAAUGAAUUUAAAUGAGUUUACAAAAAGUUAAAAUAAAUGGGUUAUAAAUGGGUAAUUGGGUUACCCAAUUCAUUUUUUGACUUACCCAUUUAUACCCAUCUAAUUAAAUGGGUAUAAAUGAGUUGACUCACCUAUACCCAUUACCCAUUUUAUCCAACCCAAACCCGUCCAAGUCACCCAUUUUGACACCUCUAGGUUGGAUGGUGAGAUGGGAGUAAUUAUAAAUAAAACUUAACGCUCUUCUAUUAUAUACAGUAUAGAUAUUAAUACCAUAAUAUUCAUUUAUAGAAGCCGAAAAUGGUACUUAACUCACAUCAUAUACUUAUCAGCAUGGCAUGAUUCUUUUCCAACGCAUAUAGAUGCAUAUGAUCAGUUGGUGGUCUUUUUCAUGAAAUUUUAAUUUUUUCGAGAUAUGAUAAUUAAAUUUUGGGGGUAUCUACUUAUGUUCUUGUCUUAGCAUCUAUCCUAGCAUUUUGUUGAUCACAUAUGAAGAUAGAAACAAACAUCUUUAAACAAAAGUAUAAUAUGUUAGAGAAAAUGUGAUGGCUCAAGAACUUCAAAAAAAAAAAAAAAAAAAGGGAGACGGACAGUUCUUUUUAUUCUCCUUUUAUGCGAGUAGCUAUCUAACAAUUGCUAGGGUUCUGUUUUUUUUUUAAAAAAAUGUGCCUAUUGUCAAUACACAUAAUGUAAAUUUAAUUGAUUAAUUAAAUGCUCACACUUACAUUUUGACUCUUUCCCAAUAAAAUUUCACUUAUUAAGCAAACUAACAUUAAGAAGUUCAAACCAAUGAAAGUUCUAUUUAUUAGAGGAAAAAAAAAACAAAUGCUAGAAGAAACAAAAAUGUGGCAAAAUUUUGUUCUUGAAAAAGCGUAAAAAUGAUGCAUGCAUCUUUACGUAUUUUUAGAUUGUCAUGGCUCUGUUUUAUGGUUUUAAAUUUAGUUACUUAUAUUAUUCUAAAAGUAUUUGCCAAAAUUAUAGUCUAGCAGCUGAAUAUUUUCUUAAUCUUCUCUUUAGCGACUGACUGCCGUCGUAAUCAAGAAAGGAUUUUUUUUUUUUUUUCCUUUACAAGGAAUUUUAGAAGUGAAAAUGUGACCAUAGAAGUCAAUUACAGAAGCUACUUUCAUCUCAAUUAAGCCAAGAUUGGUCCUAAUAUUACAUCAAUGCACGUUUUGUCUCUAUGCUUCAAUGAACUAAGGCCUAUCGCUGUGUUUGGAUAUGGCUAAACGUUGUUAGAUAUUUCUCACCCUAAUUCUACUUUGCACUCUUGAACUAUUCGAUUCUCACUUUGGUCGGUAAAUUUUAAGUUUAGAACACUUUUGCUCCAUAAAUUUUAAACUCGACAAUGGUUAACAAAAUGCACAAAAACCAACUGAAUACCUUUGCUAAUCUUGAUUACUUCAUUGCUAAAACUAAAAUAUUCUGUUAGUUUUGUAUAUUCCAUUAACAAUUGGAUUAAGGUGGGACAAGUUUAGAUUUUGGACAGUAACAUAUACCAAACUUUAGUUCAGCAACCAAAAUAUGAACUGUAGUAGAGUUUUAAAGAUGUAAAAUUGAAUUAACCCGUAUUUUUGAAGUUUAACCUUAGAUAUUUGUUAAUAAAUGGUUUUUGAUAAGGGACCAUCUCUGUUGUUAUCUUCCAAAAUCCUAACUCCUAAAGUGUCAGUGAUGGUAUUUUGUAGUACACCUUGCUGUUGAUAAGAUUUUGGGACAUGGGAUUUUUUGGAGGGUUGUGGUGUGGGUGGGUUGGGGGGGGAGGGGGGCAGGGACCAUUAGCAAAUAUCUCUUCUUCAUGAAGGCUUUUACAGAAAAGAAAUGGUACUAAAAUGAUAAAAUCUGCCAAGUAGAAUUCUAAGAACACUUUUAUGCAUUACACACAGAAAAAGAAAAAAAAGAAUAUAUGGAGCAUUACUACCUUGCGAAAUUGCCAUUAUUUAUUGGUUAUUGGAAUAUGAAGCAUACAAAAUUUGAAUGCAUUCUAAACCUGAAUCUGGUUAUAAAUUUUGGUAGUUAAAAAAGGGCAUGAAGAAAUUCCAGAAAAAAUAGGGAACCCUUAAUCAUAUUGAACAAGCAGCUGCUCAAGCCACAAGGAUGCAGGUCUGCUAAUUCAAAUGCUUUGUUCUUUGUCGUAAAUUUUCAGGACUGUUUGCAUGGAUCAAAAUGUAGUUAGUACGAGACAUUAGCAAUGCAUGACACAAACAUUAUGUAGGAAAUAGUUGAUGAAACUGUUUUAAGCGCAAAUUGAUUUGUUUUUUCGGUUACGAUCUAAGUAGAAAAGCAAAGGUGGAAUUAAGUCAAAGAUGAUACUUAUAGCAAGACUGCUGAAUAUUCUGAAAAAUCUUUAGUUUUUAACAAGAGCAGCAACAAAAGUGGAAAGAAAUGACUGCAUGCUAUGCUAAUUUUUACUUGAGGAAAUUUGGGACUGUUUAACUAAUGGUGUGUUGGGUAAUUGGCCAGGUGACUUAUCCAAAUAUGAUGGAACUCUUUGAGAAUCUUGGAGUAGAUAUGGAGCUUUCUGAUAUGUCAUUCUCAGUGAGCCUAGACAAGGGCAAAGGCUGUGAAUGGGGGAGCAGAAAUGGAUUGUCAAGUUUGUUUGCACAGAAGAAGAAUGUACUUAAUCCAAAAUUUUGGCAAAUGAUUCGAGAAAUUGUCAAGUUUAAGGCUGAUGUCAUAAGGUAGGUUUCCUCGUCCUUUUUAGUGUUUUGAUUGAAGUAAGAAUUCCUUAAAGAAAUGUUUUUCCAUUACAUCUCAGAAGCCAAAUGAAAUGAAGCGACUGCAGAAUUCUACAUGGUGUCAAGAUUAGGAAAAAAUAGUUUUUGGUGCUAAUCAUUCAAUUCUUACCUGAAUUCCCUGGGAGCAACUAGAGGAUUUGCAUAUGCGAUCGACUUCUCCAGUUAAAUAUGCAUCUAAUGAAGGAUGAACUAACCAAAAGUUCUAUACUUAAUGCAGUUAUGUAGAAGAGCUAGAGAAAAAUCCGGACUUAGAUCGGAAUGAAACACUUGGGCAUUUCAUCAGAUCACGUGGAUACUCAGAGUUAUUUCAGAAGGCCUAUCUUGUGAGGCUCCUACAGAUGCUUUAGUUGAUGGCAAUGAUUUUCUUUUGACCAAUGUAUUAAAUGAGCUUGCUUUCACAAUAAUACCAUAAGCAUAUAUCUCUGCUUUUUGACAGGUUCCAAUAUGUGCUUCUAUCUGGUCAUGCUCUUCAGAAGGAGUAUUGAACUUUUCUGCGUAUUCUAUUCUUUCCUUUUGUCGCAACCACCACCUUCUUCAGGUAAUGUGCCUUGCAGGCACCAUUGAGAAUUUGAGAUGAACUGCACUUUUUGAAAUAAUAUGUGAUGUGGCUGCUGUUUCCCUUUGCCAUUUAGCUCUUUGGUCGCCCUCAGUGGCUCACAGUAAGAUGGCGUUCCCAGACUUACAUCUCCAAGGUAAUUAAUUUAAAUUCCUUUUGUUGUAUACCCCUGAAAAUUCCCCUGAUUGAAUGCAUAAGAGGACUGUAUAUUCUGUUAUUGUUUUGCACAAACCAGGUUAAAGAUGAUCUGGAAAGAAGAGGCUGUCAAAUAAGAAAUGGUUGUGAAGUACGCGCUGUUUCAACUAAGGAUGAGGGUAUCAACUCGUACAUUAUGCUCAAACAUUGUAGAUUUCAAAUUGGAUGGUGUUCUUUUGUUCAAGUAAAAACCAGACCAAUUAAAGCUGGAACUGGAACCAGAAUAUUGAUAUGUCAUCGUAGGACAGUUUAAAGUACAACACAACAAUUGCUUCAGAGAAACAAAUGGUUGCCUUCUACAUGAGGAAAUAGUGAAGACGCAAUCUUUAUAUACUAGCUGGUUGUAAACCAAGCAGGAUCCUUCCUAGUGUCUUCUAAAAUCUCUCUGUUUUGAGUACUUUCUACGAGUGUUUUAUUGUCUAUUCUUUUUCCUUAGUUGAGAAUUUUGGAUGUCAUGCUUAGUUUCAUGCCAAAAGACAGUACAUAACACAAUUUCCAAACUCAGAAACCAAAAUAUAGCAGUCUUGACUGUAGAGAUAUAAUUUGCUCAAUUGUUAGGUUGUGUGCUAUUGAUUAUGUUGAUACUCCCAUUCAUAAUGAAGAAGAAAUUUGUACAGGUUGUGUUGUUACAUGUGAAGAUGGUUCUCUUGAAGUAUAUAACUCGUGCAUAGUGGCUGCGCAUGCUCCAGAUGCUCUUAAGAUGUUGGGAGAGCAGGCAACAUAUGAUGAAUCAAGAAUACUUGGUGCUUUCCAAUAUGCCUACAGGUAUCUUACUUUUUAAUGUUGGCUCUUAGUUUGCUGAUUUCUUAACCUUGAUACAAAUUGUUGCUUGUCUCCUCUAGUCGUCUCCAUUCUAAAUUUUUAUCAGAAAUUGCAAAUUGUCUCCUCUAGUCGUCUCAGUUCUAAAUUUUAUCAGAAAUGCAAAGUUUGCGGUGAAUUUUUCUCUUCUCCUUUUCUUACGUCAACAUGUUUUGGGAGGUCGUAUUUGGUUUGGAGAUUUUCUUUUCGCCAAUACUUCGCUUCUGUUUCUUGUUGUAGAAGGUCUGGUUUCAAUUUUAAUAAAUAUGCUGGGUCAUGGAACCAGUUCAAAAUGCACAUUCAUUGUUUACCGCUUUAUGGCAGUGAUAUUUUCCUUCAUCGUGACAAAAACUUCAUGCCUCAAAAUCCAGCAGCAUGGAGCGCAUGGAAUUUUCUUGGAACUGUGGAUAAUAAAGUAGGUGUAACAUAUUGGCUCAACAUCCUCCAGGUUGGUGAGAUGUGUUCCCAAUAUAUUUGAUCAUUAGUUGUAUUGCUCUCAGAAUCCAUCAUAACGAACAAUUUCACAAAAAGCAUUUGAGAAUUCUGUGCAAUUGGCUUGAUCACAUUGCUAUGUAUGAGCUUUUAACUUAAAUAAUAAGUACUAGCCCUCAAAGAAAUACUGGGAACUUCCAAAAGAUGUAUCAGUAACCUCAGAAAUCAAUGUGCACGCUCAAGAUAUCAAAUAAGCUCAAUUUCUUAUUUCCAGCUUCCAGCAACUUCAUUUUCAUGUUGCUGCAUUAAUGGAAUUUAUGCAAUGUGCUUCUUCUGUCAUUAAUAUCUUCAGCAUGAAUAACAAUAUUUAGUGUACAGAAUCUAGGAGAAACUGGACUGCCUUACCUGGUAACUCUCAAUCCGCCUCAUACACCUGAGAAUACAUUACUCAGGUGGUCAACUGGGCAUCCAGUUCCAUCAGUUGCUGCCUCAAAAGCUUCUACUCGACUUAAUGACAUCCAGGGGAAGAGAGGAAUAUGGUUCUGUGGAGCAUAUCAAGGUGACCACUUCGCUUUGAAGAUCUUACAUGUCACCUUCUAAUGCACAAAAACAUUCAUUAUAAAACCAGUGCACCCAAUGUUGAAUUUUUAUGUGAGAGUUCACUUUUGCAUCUGACACUGUACUUUUUUCAGGUUAUGGUUUCCAUGAAGAUGGACUUAAGGUACUCUCCAUUUUGACAUCAUAUUGACAUAAUUAGAGUAAUUGAGUGUAGAAAAUCUUGUAGAUUGAUCAAAAGAAUGAAACCCAAGAUUAAGAAGCUGGAAAGAAAUGUUUCUAGUGAAGUAUAUUUUCUAAUGUUUGGCUUGGUUCCAGAAGUGCUUAUUAACUAUAUAGGUAAGUUAUUGGUUGCAAUUAAGCAUCUUAUCUUCUUUUCAGGCUGGUACAGUUGCUGCUCAGAGCCUGCUCAGAAAAAGUUGUACUAUCCUGAGUAACCCCAAACACAUGGUACCUUCCUGGACAGAGACUGGGGCACGCCUUCUCGUUACUAAAUUCCUCAAUGGUUUUAUUGCUACUGGCUCAUUAAUGUGAGUCAAUUCUGAGAGUAAACUAAUUCUCAUUUGCAUGCUAUAUAUUUUCACAAAGAAGACUUAGAACAAAGGCAUACUAUACCUAUUUAUUGAACUUAUCUGUCUAUCGAAUUUGUAUCCCUGUUUAUCGAACUUAUAUCUGUCUAUCGUUUACAUUCUAAUACUGCAGUGGUUUGUCUAUGUUACCAUUUACAUUCUUUUUCUCUCAAAUCCAAAUUCUGUUUGACUGUUUUGUCAUUAAUUAAUUCCUAAACUUUAACCGGAUUUAUCAUUGGUUCUUCAGUAGACCUGCUCACGUAUGCCAAAUUUGCUUGUUAUUGAAUAUUAGCUCCCGAUGUGAUUAAAUAAGCAUGUUUUUUCUUAGUUUUUUGAUGUUUAAAAGUUGUUUUUAAGAGUCCAAUCUAUAGGCCUAAAGCUCCAAAGUUACAUGCAUUAUCUGUGUUUUCUGUUUUAACAGGUUACUGGAAGAAGGUGGCACAAUGUUUACCUUUGAAGGAACAACAAAGAAAAGCUUCCUGAAAGUUUCUAUUAAAGUUCACAGCCCACAGUUUUAUUGGAAGGCACAGUAUUUCUUUGGUUGAUGUUUAAAGCAUUUGAACAUAGUCUCCAGUUGCAUACGCUUUGAGUUUGCCUUCAUUCCAUGUCAAUGUUGUAUUGCCAGGUUGCUACUCAAGCCGACUUAGGCCUUGCAGAUGCCUAUAUAAACGGGGACAUUUCUUUCGUGGAUAAAAAUGAAGGUUUGCUUAAUCUUUUCAUGGUAAGUAAAUGAACACCAAACAACUGUCAAGCUUUUUCAUCAACAUCCCUUUUCUGAAUUCUUCAUUUCAGGUUUAUGUUGCCAACAGAGAUCUUAAAGCUUCUGCUACAAGUUCUAGCUACCAAAGGUAAAAGGAUUUUCAGUUAGAUGUGUUUAGAUGUUAGUGAGUAGUUUAUCCAGAGAUCCAGAGUCCCGCCAUUUCCUUAGUUUUGGUACGCAUGCAUUUAACCUUUUUGGCAGAGGCUGGUGGACACCACUGCUUCUGACGGCUGGACUAGCAUCUGCAAAGUACUUCUUUCAGCAUGUUUCAAGACAAAAUACUCUAACACAGGCUCGCCGAAACAUCUCUCGGCAUUAUGAUCUGGUGAGUCAUUUAUCAAUGAACAGUUCAGCAAGAACACACUUAAAUAUGACAUUGCUAGGAUAUUCUUCCUGUUGACUUAGCGAGGGAAUUGAUACUGUCUUCCAUUUUUCAGAUUAGAACUGUUUCCUAAGAGAUUCUCACAAUCUCCAAUCCUUUUCUUUUCUUUCUUUAAUUAUGAAACAAUUUCCUUUUUUGGAAUAAGAAUACAGUACUUGUUGUAUUUGGCUUUACGUUGGCAAAUUGUAAUUUCUUUCUGAUGAAAGUUAUUGGCCUAACUAUUGAGCAGAAAGUUAAUCAAGACUUCUUUCCUUGUAAUGUCUCCAGAGCAAUGAACUAUUUUCUCUGUUUUUGGAUGAAACAAUGACGUAUUCAUGUGCAAUAUUUAAGGUAAGAAUUUAAGCCUUGCUGUAGUAUAGUAGUCUUUUCAAAGCUGAAUUACAGCGAAACUUAUUUUUUGUCUUGACAUCUGAAAGCUAUCCCUUUUUGUGUACUUGUCAUAGUCUGAAGAUGAGGACUUGAAAAUUGCACAAUUGAGAAAAAUUUCCCUAUUGAUUGAAAGGGUAAGCAUUCUACUUUUUGUAAGUCCCUCAAAUUCCUAAGCUGGUUUGUAAUCAAAGCCAUGUCUGUUCAUACUUACCUACUGCAAAUCGACUUUUAGGCCAGAAUCAGUAAGGACCACCAUGUCCUGGAGAUUGGCUGCGGUUGGGGAAGUCUAGCUAUUGAAGUUGUCAAAAGAACUGGAUGUCAAUACACUGGAAUCACCCUUUCUGAGAAGCAACUUACAUAUGCAGAACAGAAAGUGAGGGAAGUUGGGAUGCAGGUAUCAAAAUCAAUGGCUCUGGAACUUUACAAAACCGAAUUGGACAUCAAAACUCAAUUUAGAUGAACUUAAAAAGUGUAGUUCUUGUAAUGUCUGAAUGUGAAGAUCAUGUUUAAUCCGAAUAAUCACAAUCCACAAUCUGGUUGCCAUCUAUCUUAUUAUGCAGUUACCAACAGUAACUAUGAACAUUGAUUUCAUAAUGGAUCAUUUCGUGUUUGUCUGCUACUCUUCAAAAAUUGAAUGUUUGGGGAUGGUAGGUAGGGUGUCUGUACAAGACCUAUUAUUGGUGCACCACACAAAUACUACGCACCACUUUGGAUGCAUGGUUGGGUAAAUGAUUUUGCACAAGACUGUUUACCAUUUGAUAAGUAGUUUAUGUCCAUAUUGCAUUAAAAGUGUUCUCUGUAUCUAUGCUUGUGAUCCUUCUAGCCAAUUUCAGAUGAUCUAUUUGUUAUCAUUUUAGACUGAUUUAGUGCUAUCUAAAUUGAACUGUUUCCAUAAACUUCCUCACUUAUUUUGCUACGUUUCAUUUCCUAGGAUCACAUAAAAUUUCUUCUUUGUGACUAUCGUCAAUUGCCAGAAACCUAUAAAUAUGACAGAAUCAUAUCUUGGUAAGUUCUUUCAUUAUUAUUUUUGCAUUUUAUUUUUUGACAUCAUACAUCACUAGGCCAAUGAGUAUAUAACAGAAUUGAUGAUAAAUUGCAGUGAGAUGUUGGAAGCUGUUGGUCAUGAAUAUAUGGAGAAGUAUUUCAGUUCUUGCAACUCAGUAUUGGCAGAAGAUGGGAUUCUGGUCCUACAGGUAAUUGGACUAGAAAUUAAAUGAAGUCAAUCGAUCUUUUUCAACUCUUCUGGGUUCCUUGAUCAGGCUACGUGUUUUAGCUUGUGAGAAUCCUUCAAUGAAAUGCUCGAUCUGGCAUAAUGCUUGUUUUCCGUGUUUGCUUUUGGUGUCUUUUUCUUCCAAUGAGACUUAUUUUUACAAUUACAUCUUGUUUGCUUCUUGAAACUCUCUUAAAAAUAAUGGUCUAGUACUUGUAGAGUUCCUUAUCCAGCCUGAUCAUCAUUUUAGUAUUUUGUUUUGGCUGUCAAUAUACAAGAAAAAGAAAAAAUCAGUCUAAUCUGCUCAUGGUUGAAAACAAUGAUCUUAACUCUAUUUUUCAAUGGCCAAAAGCCCAGAACUAAUUGAUAAAUGUGACUUGUGAAUGAAAGAUGAUGAUCACUGACUGAUGCGGACAUCAAAGUUUCUGCUAAACAGAUUAAGGAGCCUUUUCAAACUUCCACAGUAACUUAAUCUUCUUUCUCGAUUUAAGCCAACGUCUUCCAAACUUCUUGCCUGAACCUCCUUGCAUUCGAAUUAAAUAAAUGGAAGUUUGAAAGGGCUCCUUAAUCCAUUUAGCACAAUCUUUGAUGUCUGCAUCACUCACUAUAGCCAGUUAGUUGAAAGGUUCAUGUGACCUUAAGACUUGCUGAUCUCCAUGGAUGCAUGAUCUUUGCUCCUCAGUUUAUAUCAAUACCAGAUGAGAGGUAUGAAGAAUACAGACAAAGCUCAGACUUCAUAAGAGAGUACAUCUUUCCAGGUGGUUGCCUACCUUCACUUAGCCGAGUAACAUCAGCGAUGGCUGCAGCAUCCGGACUGUGGUAAAGUUACACUGCUGUGUGAAAUGUGUUUGAAGCUUUCUCUAUAUAGGAAACUCAUAAAAGUACCUCAAAUGCAGCGUGGAGCACCUGGAAAACUUUGGAAUCCAUUACUAUCAUACCCUUAGGCGUUGGAGGACAAACUUCCUGUCAAAACAAAGGUAUCUGUAAUAUAAUCAGCACUAUGUUCAUUCCCGUUAGUUUCAGCCACCUGAGGCGAUAAUAAAGAAUAUAUGGUUCUUCUUUCAGAGUUUUAGUGAACAAAAUUCCAAAUUUUGGUUUUAGUUUGAAGUCCUUUGACCUGAAAGCUCGUUCCAAGCUUAUAAGAACUGAUGUUCUGCAAGGAAUAAGCACCAGCAUAAAUGUCUUGGCAUUCUAUACAGAAUAAAGCAAGGCUGUGCUUGGAUCGAGGAAUUUGACAAAAGAUUUGAAAUUCUCUCAAUUCCCUAGAGGUUUGAAUUGCUUGGGAUGCAUUUGAGUUUGUAAUCCACACCAGUUACAAACCCAAAUCCAACCUAGAAGGGUUUUAGGAACUUUACACCUUUCGUUAGUUAAAUCCCUCGAUCCAAACGUAGCCCAAGAGAAUUGUGCUACCUUUCUUCUGGUGCCACUUAUAGUUCUUUCAUUCAUAGUAAACCAUAUAUAGUUCUAGCUUUUGUGACUUGGAAACUGAUUGGCGCGUUAAUGCCUUUGUCCUCAGUGAAAUCCUGGAAUUGGGUUUCGAUGAAAAGUUCAUCCGGACGUGGGAAUACUAUUUUGAUUAUUGUGCUGCUGGAUUCAAAACAUGCACACUUGGAAACUACCAGGUACAAACCAUGAAAAACUAUUCUGCUCAUCAUUUUUCAUGUUUCUGAGUUUAAUCCAACACGAUUGUCUGAAUGAUGUCAUCGUAGGUUGUAUUUUCCCGGCCUGGCAAUGUUGUAUCCUUUGGCAAUCUACAGAAAGGUGUACCUUCAGCCUAUUGAUUGUUCAUCCUAUGAAGAGGAAAUGAUCUCCAUCUCAAGAGAAACAACAGAAGAAUUCAAUCCUAGAUAGAUGACCAAUAGCAUAAACGCCUUACCAUUUUAGUCUUUUAAGCUCCAAUAUUGAUUUCUGCUCAAGAUUUCAUUUGGUUAGUCCUUCACUGCUUCCCAAAGAAGCAUGAAAAACAAAACAAGAAAUAAAGGUAAAAGAACCAAAAGUAGAGAAACAAACGUGCAAAGUUGAUUCACAACUAGCUUCACAAUGUUGCAAGUGUCUUUGUCGAAGGCAUAGAAACAGAUCACCAAGAAUUGCUUGUGGAACGAAGAUUGGUUAAAACCUUGAAUUUGCAUUCAACUGUAGUCGUGAUUUGCAGUCAAAAUCUAAAUGUGACUGGGAUUACACCAUAAGAUAUGGUUGUAUUUGAACUCUUAUCGUAGAUUGGAAACCUUAACCACGAUAAAUAUAGUUAGACACCAAUUUUAAUAGAACUCAAAAGUAAUGCCAUUGAAUACAACACAAUCCAGUUUAACUUCUCAGGCUUCUGCGAGUCCAAUACCACUAAAAUCCCUUCCCACCAUGAUGCACCGGCAACUAUUGCUUGACUGUGACUCGAGGGUUAAACCCUAUCCUAGCAGGCAUCCUGCAAUGCAACAAAGUCACAGUAUGUUUCCUUUAUCACAUGCCAGAUAGAAGGCCAAUAUUGAACACAUAGUGGCCUCCUGCAUCAAUCCAGUAGCAUAGCCGACAACAUACCACUACAUUUCUGCUCUCCAAUAUGGUCCAAUACUUCACCCAAAAACAUUCUAACCAUAUCCCUCCAAGUCAAAAGAGCAACAGAUUUUUAGACCAUGUGAUCAAAUGAUAAAAGAGGAAGACAGUUCACUAGCAGCAUACAGCCAAAAUACAUCAGAGCUUACAACCGAAGUAGCCUCUACAACUAAUACGAUGUCUCGAUGCAACGUCCAUGCAUCAUGUUUUGAUGUUUGAAACAAAACACUGGUGAUUAAUAUCUAGCAAGAUCAAAAUCAAACAGUCAAGUUGCCAAGCUCCAGGCUUUUAUCAAGAUUAAUGAGAGUCAAAUCACCUAUAUAAAUCCAAAAUAUUCAAUCAUUUAUUACCAUAAAAAACUUUUCUUAGACAGCAGACCAAAAUUGUUGCUAUUGUAACUAAUCAUUCAACUUCUGCUAGCCAUGAUAAUGCCAUAGAGCCUACAACUACUAUGUCACCAGUAUAUUAAGUGGUGAUGAUUUCUCCAUCUGCAUUAGACAACAUACCACAUGUUGUCAGGUAAUGAAUCUUCCACCCAUCUCAAAUUGUAUGAAGAUCGAGACAUCCAAAUUCUUUAACAGCAGCAUGGCCUGCUUCAACAUGACAAUUUCAGGGUAAAGCACCAAAUCAACCCAGCCAAACUUCAUUUUCCUGUAACAUCCCACACCAAACACUCAGCAAAAAGUUGUGAUUAGCCCCUGUGAAGGAACUUCAAUUCACCCAGUUUAUGACUUGAGCCUCUCCUCCUGUACAACACAAGGGCAAAUACAGGAGGAAAUGAUUAUGCCAUUCUCAAAAUCAAGCUACCGCUAAGAUUAUCGCUAUCCAUUAGGAAUUGAUCUACCCAAACCGGCUACAGCUGCAGUCUAAAGAAGCUUAACUAAUCUCAUUGUUCCUAUUGCAUCAUACCAAAGAACUCUGGUCACCAAACAACGUAGAAGAGCUAAGUAAUGAGAAACUACUACCAUCACGGAUGGCAAUGACAUAAAUUUCUGGCUCAUCUAUAUCCAGAUAAAGGACAAACUUAAAAUUUAACUAAAUAACCAUUACCAUAAUACUCACCGCAAUUAACACAAACUUAAACAAAGCUACUAUAUGUUAAACACUACAAAUAGACAAAAACUCCAGAUCAGCUAGUGACCAUAGCUAUAAGCACACCAAAAUUAAAACUACAUUUGAGAGCAGAUAAUUAAAGAAGAUGUAACUCUACUCCUCGCAAAUACUACUUAUUAUAAACUAGCAAAAUAGGUAACAGCAAGCUACUCAGAUACAAGCAAUCCAACCAGUCCUAGGUUGAUUGGUAAAAUCUUGCAACAGCCAGCCAACCUGCACCAAUCUGAAAGCAUUGUGUGUAUAGAUUCCAAUAUAUGACGCAGUUUAAGUCUCCAUCAAGGGUUACAGUUACUGCUGCUGAGCUUGCCGAGUUGGUGCACCACCAUAGCCUCCACCAUACCCAGCUUGGCCUCCAUAAUUGCCAGAAGCUUGUGAGGGGUCCGACCUCCAUCCUGCAUACCCAGCAUUCCCAGAUGUAUCACCAUAGCCACCUCCCAUAUAACCCCCAGCACCAGCUUGUAGAUCUCCAGCACCAUUUCCAGCUGAGGAAUUACUAUUUGGAGUACCCCCUGCACGCCCGCCACCACCAUAAGUAGCCGGGUUACCAUAAGCCCCAUCAUUUGUACCAUAUCCUCCAUAACCGUAACCUUGAUUUCCAUAUCCCGCAGCUCCACUGGGAGAAUGUCCAGCAGCAGCUCCAGCACCACCUAGGCCACCACCACUAGUGUUAGAAGCACCCCAGGGAGCAUUUCCAUAGCCUACAUUUCCAUAUCCAGAGGAUCCCUGAGAGUUCCACGUGUUCCUUGGUGCACCUGGUGGACCACUUCCAUAACCAGCAUUAGGCACAUUUGGGUUUCCAUAAGCAGCAGCAGCAGCGGGGCCACCAUAUCCAGGAUUAGCACCUCCAAAAUUUCCAUAGCCUCCAUAACCCAUACCAUUAUUGGUAGGACCAUAUCCAUAACCAGUAGUAUUAUAUCCAGAAGAUCCGUAAGGUGGAUAUCCCCCUCCUGUGUUUUGAGAUUGCAUGUACCUGUUGGAAUCCAUUCGGCUCUCAUAAGAAUUUGAAUUACCACCGGAUGCACCAUAUCCCUGGUAACCUCCACCACCGCCACCCAUGGCACGGCCACUCCCACCAGGAUUAGCAUCCUUUGGAAGAGCGCGCUUCACUUCCACUUGCUUACCAUUUAAAUCAUGAAAUGUCUUGUGCAAGACCCUAUCAACAGCUUCCUCAGAGUCAAAAGAAAUAAAUCCAAAUCCACGGGGUCGGUUCGUUUGCUGGUCAAACAUGAUUACCACAUCAGUAACAUCACCAUAAGAUUCAAAAUACUGACGAAAAGCCUCAUCAGUUAAAGUCGGAGGUAAUCCUCCAACAAAUAUCUUCUUUGUCCUAGUAUUUCCACCACCACCACCACCAAAGCUCCUCCCAGUAUUAGCGUUUCCAACUUUAGAGAUCUGUUGUUCCUCUCUUGAUAAAGCUCUCUUAGCCUCAACCUGGAUAUUUCGAACUCAGGGUUAUGCAAGAGAGUAAUAGACAUAACUAGCACAUAAAGCUAUUAGAGACACUGAUAUUGCUAUAGCAGCACACAGGCAAAUACAUAUUCACACACACACAUGCUAAUUAUACCCAAGAACAUAAAACAUUAAUCUCUGCUGCUAAGUUCAAUGCUCUCGAGGAACGGUCUGAGAACAAAUUCUCUUUUCAUAGCUCAAUGGCAAAAUCCAGGUUUGAACUCCCAAGCUAGUAGCCUAAUGGUCAUUGCAGAUAUCAUCACAGAUAAGCCACACAAGUACAUACACAUGCAAUGACCUAUCAAAAACCACAAUAACUUUAAAAAUGGUGCACCUUCAUUGGUAAAAAGCCCAAGUUAAUGGACCAAAUAUAAGCUUUGUACUAGUGCCAACCAACCAAAAUAACAGCCCAUCAAGCCCAAAAAAAAAAGCAAAAUCAUGACACAUGGGCUAGAUUGGGCUUGACUUCACACGUCAUAUGAAAGAGCACAACACUGAAAAAUUAAAUCAUCAGAAUAACAAAAAAUGCACGCAAUAAAAAACAUAAAGGCAGAUUUCAAAAAGCCAAAACCAUAUCCUAAACUUGAAAUCUAACCAGUAUUCAUUCAAACCCACAUCCACAACCACCAUAUGUACAAUAUUUAAAAUAAACCAUGUCCGCUCAACCCUAAAUAGAAACCUACAAGUACAACAAAUGCAAAACCCCAAUUUACACUAGCAAAGGCAAAAAGCUUUUUUUUCUAGCUAAAAACAAAUAAAGAAUCAACUUAACGCCACCAGUGUAUACUAAGCAAUCAACUCCUAAAAUACUAGCAAUCUACAGGAAAAUUUCCAGGGAUCAUAAUGAAAAAAAUUCAGCACAAAUACAGCUGAAAUUUUAGCCUUUUCUGAAUUCAAAAAACAAAUAAAAGGAACUUAAAUCAUCCAACGUAUAAUACAACAACUUCACCUAGCUAAAACCAAUGCCCAGAAGAGGAAUAAAACUGCAGGCAUAUGCACAAAACAAAACAACUAUGCCAAACUUACUAAAACGCAUCACGACCCAUCAAAGAUUGAAUUAAGAUACGAAAAACCUACAUCCCAAAACAAAGAAAACACUCAAAAAUCAAACUAAAACUAAUCUCAGGAAAAAAAAUGGGGAAAAAAAACACACACACACACAUACAAAGACAGUAAUAGUUAAAAGCAAAACCGAAAAAUUUUAAAUGGAAAAAAAAAGAGAAAACAAGGGGCUAAUAUUGUCUUACAGUGCGGCCAUCAAUGACAUGCCUAUCUUGAAGAACCCCAUCAAGAACAUUGGGAUCUGCAAAAACCACAAACCCAAAUCCUCUGGGCUUGCCAGAAACUUUAUCCCGCAUCACUACAGUCUGCAAUACGUCACCGUAUUUGCCAAAAUAGUCCUUCAAUUUCUCCUCUGAUGUUUCCCAUGAAAUCCCUCCUAUAAAUAGCUUCCCCUGAUCUGAAUCCAUCACCAAAAUUGUUGCUUUUUCUUAACCCAGUAAAAAUAAAGACUGAAAUUUUGGUGGGCUUUGAAAUUUAAAAGAAAAAAAGAAGUAAUCUUAAUCGAGCUGGGAAGAAGGGGUUAGAGGGGGGAAAGGAGGAAAGACGGCUGCUGGAUUUCAGAGAAGGGGAGAAAGAAAGAGAAGUGAGGAGAGGGCAAGAGUGGGUAUAAGAAAUGGAGGGUGGAGAUUUGUUGGGAUGAACGGUGGAGAUUUGAGUUCUGGAGAUAGGGGGAGGAGGGUCAAGGUUUUGUAGGUUUACAAGAGAGAUAUUUUUGGAACGACAUACGAUUCUUUGUCCUAAACAUGAUGGUUAUUUUAUUUCUUUAUUACUACCAUAAAAAAAAACUAAAAAAAAGACAAUAAUUUAUGAGAGGAAUUAUAUAUUGUAGAACAAGAAUUUAUAUAAAUUAAAUUUACUUUUUGUAAAAGGAAGAAAUUGUUAGAUGCAGCACUUUACAAAUUAUUUGGCUAGAAUCAUGCCGUUUAAAUAAUUUAAAGAAUUUAAAGAAUCUUUCCACACUACAAUGUAGAGGAUGAAUAUAGUACAUCUUUAGUUGGACGUGUUUGCAUGUUACUUAAUUUGGAAAAAAAAUAGUUAAAAUGAUAUAAUAAUAAUUUUGUAAUGCGAUAUCUGUGAAAUAAAAAAAUAAUUAUAUUAAUGUAAAAUUAGUGUGUUUGGAUACAAAAUUUAUCCCAAAUAAUAUUUCGCUUGCAUCAUAAACAUAUUUUUCAACCCACCUUUUUAUAUUCCCAACCACCUUUUUAUCUCAUAUACAUCACAUCACAAAAAGUGCUACAGUAAUUAUUCCAAAUAAUAUUUCAAAUAAUACCCUAUCCAAACAAACCUAUAUGGUUUUUCAUUUUUAAUCACGUAGAGAUGUACUAAUAUAGCAAUACAAUGUUGAAUGCUAUGCCCAGCAUAAAUGUCGCAACUUAUUAAACCAGAAUCUAAGGCCAUGCUUGGAUUGCUUGUUUCCGUCGGAAAAUAUUAUCGUUUUCCGUGAUCACAUUUCCCUAUCACCUUUUUCCCUCACAUAUAUCAAAUCGCUACAGUAAUUUUUCCAUGAAAAAUGACGGAAAAUGCAAUCCAAACACAACCUAAUACUACAAUUUGUUAUAACUUUAUAAGUCUAAUUGUAACUAUUUGCAGUCAACAUAUCUUACAGAUAUUUUUGCCACUUUUGUUACCAAUAUCUUAAGCUUUUAGCAUGGUUUCAACACCCCAAAAUUUCAAAAGUAAUAUGGAGGCACAAUUAGUAUAUUAUAAUUUAUAACUGCUAAUUACCAAAACUAGUUUCCUUUGUGUAAUAGAUUACUAGUUAUGGUAAUUGGAUUACUCUUUUGAUUAGGGAAGAAGCCAUCUCUUCCUUAUCCAGCGAAACCAAAAUCCCUCUUGGAAAAGCAUGGUCACAUGAUAUAAAAUUUACUCCACAACUUGGGGACUUUUUUUUACUAUUAUUUGAGCAAUCUAUUGUUGGAUUGUUAUUUUUAAAAAUUUUUAUAAAAAAAAAGUACUGUAGUGAUUUGAUGUAUAUAUGAUAAAAAGAUAAUUAAAAAAUAUGUUUGCAAAAAACGUAAAAAAUUUUCUACGAAAAAUCACAAUCUCCAAUUCUUCAACUUACGAAUUUGGCUUCUUCAUUUUCACCUCAAGCAGUUUUGCAUUAGUUGAUUGUAUCUUGUUUGGAACCCAAGUUUUUGCCAAGUUUGUCUGCUACAAGUUUUUUUAAAAUUUUAGCUACAGUAAUUUCAAAAAAUUUCUCAAAGUUUUUAAAAAAUACAUUUUAAAAUAUUCAAAAAUCUACACAUUUCAAAAAUUUUUUAAAAAACUUCUACAGUAAAAUACAGUAAAGUUUUAGACAAACUCUCAAAAAACUUACCUUUCAAACAAGGUGGUGGAAGAAAGAAUUUACUCUUGUGUAGUACAGGCUACAUGAACGAAUGACAGGAGGAGACUACUAGCUAAUGUUUUGUUUUAUAUCAAGAAGUGAAUGAUUAGUCCUAAAACAAACUACAAACAUACACUCUAAUUCCUAUUAGAGUAGAUGAGCUUGUUGACUAAUGACCACUUUUCAGUAGUUUAAAUCUCCUAUAUGUUUGUAUUAUUGUUGCCACUUUCUUGUGGUACAAAUAGUUGUGCAAGAUGAAUCUUGGAAAACGAAGACUGCAUAAUGUACUUUAAUCUAAGGACAAUAAAGUCCUCUUCAUCUUAUCUUGUGGGUACUAUGAUUUCGUUUUUUUCUUGAGCAGUCUUACUUUUAGGUUUGAAUGAGUGUGAUUUGUGUGGAAUAAUAGCUAAUAUGUCAUGGUCCACAAACCAGAAACUCAGACUUGAUGGUCAUAGGAACUGGUCAUGCAUGAGUUCAUGUGACAAGGAUUAAUGAUCAAUUUGAUUAAAUUUUCUUUAAAAAAUACACUUUUUGUCCCCUAUUGUUUGGCAGUUGGACCAAUUUGGUCCCUGUUAUGUUAUUUCAGUGAAAACACAUUUUAUCUCUCAGGUCUUAAUUUUUUUUUUUAAUGAAUUUAUGACAAUUGACGUUUAAUCGUCCAAUUCGGACUAAAAUUGAAGUUUAAAAAACUUAAUUUGGACGGAAUGAAAUAAGUGAGAAAUAUGCAUCAUUAAUAAUAAAAAAAAAAGGACUUAGGGAAACAAAAUUUAUGAAACCCUCAAAAUUAAUCAGAUAAAAUUCUUCAAAUUUUGAAAAUAAUGUGGGUAAAAGUGCUGAAUGAUUGGAAAAGAAUCACAGGAAACUUGAAAUGGAUCAAGUUCGAUAAAAUUUUGUACCUCCCAAGUCUUUUUACUAAUUUUAUGCACCCUAGCUUCACACAUUUUACUCUGUUCAAGUUUUAAUUGUCAAUCAUCAAUUUCUACCAAAUUGAGUGAUGAAACAUCAAUUCUCAUUAAUUGGUCAAGAACCAAAACUUAAGGGAUGAAAUAUGUCCUUUUUUUUUUUUAAAUAAUAGAGACCACAAUUGGUCCAAUCCCCAAACAAUGGGGAUGAAAAAGGUGCAUUUUUCCCUUAAAUUUGACAGAAAGGUUGGCCAUAUUUCCUUCUUUUCAUGCCCCAUAAAUGGUUGAUUAUUGAAUGCUAGCAAGCUUGCAACCGUUGAGCUCUAGAUCCCAGAAUGGAUAUUAAUAAAAAGUGUACAAAACCCGAAAGAAAUGCUGCAAUGCCAGAGUGGAGUGGAGCCACCAUGGUACAGGUGUUGUUGAGUUACAAAGACAAAGCUGGUUUUUGUCUUAGUCUAACUCUAUAUAUUUGGCCUUUUACUGAGCUCGUGUACCCACCUCUGUACUCAUUAUUACUUGCUCCUUUUCUCAACGUUCCUAUUUUCAAAAUGCCAUUGGAGGCAACUCUUUGAAAUGUUGCCCUCAUCGGUCUGAUAAUUUAUUAAUAAUACCCUGUGUGUGCUUAUAAAAUCCCUCAAGACAGACAACCCACAUUCUUCUUCUUCUUCUUCUUCUUCCUGCCUGAUUUGCAGGGAAGCGUGGAAAUCUAGCAUACUUCUUCAAUGGGGUGCUUUCUUGCUUGUUUUGGGUUCACCAAGAAAAGGAGAAGGACAAAGGGUAGGAGCAAAAAUGCAUCUGGAGACCAAGUAAGACAAAUCUCGACUUUUAUCUUUUCUGUUUCUUUUAUUUUGGUAAGAGAAUUCUUUGCUUUUGAGGAUACACAAAACUUGCAUCAAUUCAAUAUCUUGAAUUUACUGUGGGAAAUUGCCUUGUUUUUGUUAAAGAGUUAUGGAAGGUAUGUACCUCUGGACUGUGAUGUUACGGUCAAACUUGAAUGUGAUGAGAUGCAGAAGGCCUCAGCAACUGAGCUUAGGUGAGUUAAAGAGUUGUAUUCGGUUUUAGGUGUACAUCUAAUCGUGGGAAUGAAGGAUUGCUUUUCAUGCUUGUGUUCUGCUUUUGGUUGCAGAGAUAAGCCUAAAGAAUCGUCGUCCGCGAAAAUAAAGAAAAAAGUGAGCUUCAAUUUGAAUGUCAAGACUUAUGAGCCACUUCCUAAUGAUGAGCUUAGUAAUUGCAAUCUUUCUGAGGGUGAGGAGAAGACAAUGUGGGAAUAUAAUCAAGAAGAAACAGCUGGAGCAAGCAUGAAAUAUUUCAAUUAUGAAGACAAUUUGAUGGCAUCAAAGAUUGGAUCAUUCCCUUCGAAUUAUAGAUAUCAAAAUUGCAGAGAUAGCUAUGAUGAAGAGGAUGAGAUGGAACUAGAGGAUAGCGAUCUAGAUGAUGAGGAUGAACUUGACUUUGAUGAAGAUGAUAUUGGUGAAAGCUAUGAUUUCAGAAGUCAAAAACUAUGCCAAGCAUCAGUGGAAGAAGAGGGAAAAGUUACAACCGAUCAAUUGGCAGAAAAAGGAAGCAAUCUUAUGCAGCCUCAAGUUCUGCAGCAUCAAGAACAUAACAAAACUGAAUCAAACCAAAAUGCUCGAAACAGGAGUCACAAUGUCUUUUCUGUGCUUGCUCCAGUUGAAAAUCUCACUCAAUGGAAAGAGGUUAAAGCUAAAACUAGACAGCAAUUGAAGCAUCAGAAGGAAAACAUAGUGUUAGAGCAAGAGCAGCAUAUGCCCUUAUGUACGAAGAAGAGCUCCGAACCUUUAGCUUUGAACUCAUCAGUGGAUUUGAAUCAAUUCAAGCCUCAGAGUCAUGAAAUUGCAGUUGAUGCUAGCCUUUCAAACUGGUUGGUUUCUUUCAAUGGCAAGGACAGCAAUGCUGCAAUAGCAAACACCCAUCAAAAAAGAUCAAGGUGGAUGCAUCAGACUCGUUCCGCAGAUGAGAUAGAACUACUCUAAGCACCAAGGAAAAGCUGUCGGCUUCACCACCAAAAUACCAUACAUUCUCAAAACUGUUUCUGGAUUUGUGCAGAAUAGAACAGACAUUGCAUUUUCUCUCAUAAUAGAACAGACAUUGCAUUUUCUUGGAAAGCUCCACCCUGCCCAGGUGUUGAAUUGUUUUCUGAAUAAGACAAGGCAAGGGCGUCUUGUUACAUUUGUCUUUAUCUUGUACUUUUCAGCUUGAUUGCUUUUAUAUCUUUAGUGAUAAUGGGAAAUUGCUGUGAAUCUGUAAUACAUUGUAUUCUUUUUUCAAUGCAAAUGAAGUAAACAAUACCUAAAGAAGGAACUCUGAUGUACAUGGAUCAAAUUUAUCUUGCUUGUGUAGCAUUAGACAGAAAAUCCAUUUAGUUUAUCUUUGCCAAGAAAAUCUGGGAAGCAUCGUUUAUCUUUAAUGUUAACCAGUCCCCAAUCUCGAAUUGUACUCGAUGAAAAUCUAAUCAACUGGGUUCGGAAGUUACAGACAAUAAUCAGCAGUUGCACAAGGAAAUCUUUAUUUAGGAAAUAGAAGAAAGAAAUUGACAAAAAAGUAGAGCAAUUAUUGCUGCAUUAUCAAACAAAUAUCACUAGUAUGAGAAUCCACCAGAGAACAAAUUCUGGUCUCUCCUAUUUUUUUCUUUUUUCUGUUUUCGUCUGCAAUCUAUCAAGUCAAUUACACUGGAAGCUUGUAAUCUCCGGCAGAUGACCAGGACACAGGGAUGGGGUGAUAAGGCUAUUAUAGGUCAUACGGAAGCCAAAUCAUGAACUUCUUAAUCUACUCUCUAUCUAACAGACGAAUAUUGCUAGUUGCUGCACACCUCCAGCAGGUGAAACCAAUUUGCUACAUGGUAAAGACCAUCAUUUUCAUGAAAUCCAAUAGUCUGAAGCUUCAAUGAUGUUGAAAUCAUUUCACACUCGGCUCCAUGUGAAUUGAAUUGUCAGCACUCUACCCAAAUUUCACAAUCUGAGUCGGGCGCAAUCCAUGAUUGUCCAGCAAAAUCUCACGAAGAUACUACAUUAUCCUACAGAAGCAGGUAUCUGACUCAUCAUCAUCAGACUCACUCACAUCACUGUAAGAAAAACAAGAAAUUACAUCAGAACAACUUCAGUUUAUUAAGUAAUAUAGCCACCGUCUGUUGAACAAGUCUGGAAACCAAUUCACAGGGAAUUGUCAAAUGCCAACAUGCAUUCCUCAGUACGGUAAAUCUAUCUCAAUAUGGAAAGAGGUGCAAACUUUUUUUGGGUGAAAUCAAGGUUACACACGUGUAUUCCGGUUGCUAUUUUCAGUAAGGGUAGAGUGCCAAAGUUUAUUAUGCACUAAAUAAAGCAAUGAUUCGUUACACUUGUUUAUGUCAAGACAUAAAGGUUGCCUAGAUGUUCAAUGGGCUCAUGAUUAAGUGCAUAUCCUGCUGUAAGGCAUUGAAAACAUGGCAACCCCAACAAAUUUAAGUGCAAAAUAUGUGAUGUAACUUGUGCCAGAACCAUGGAUGUCAGAACCCAUAACACUGAAGAUUCCUAUAAAGCAACUUGGUGCCUGGAAAGCUAUUCUCCUACACUAAAAGUUAGUGCUGAUGGGCACCCACAGUCAUGCCAAAAGAAAUUUCUUAGCAGCAGCCGUCACAUUCAUGUCCCAGGAAAAAGUUAAUUCCAGGCAAGGUCCCCGAACUAGAUUGGCUAAAUAAAACAAUUCUCCAGCACAUUUACUUGUGAAACUUAAAUCUUCAAGGCUAAGCAUCCCUCUCAAAAUCCCCUGCUUGUCCAAAAAUUUUCCAGAUUCCCCUUUCCUUUCAUUCUCUCAUAAUCCAACUUGGAAAAGUAAAAUCUGAAAGCCAGUUAAAGAAGAAGAAAAGGAUCCCAAGGACCAAGGAAUUAAGAUAUAACAGCAAUCUCCUGUAGAAGUAUUAUAGAUACGAUACAAUGGAGGACAUAUUCCUUGAUCUUGCAAGCAUAAUGUCAAUCUAAGAUUCUCAGAGGAAGGGACAAUAUAUUGAUAAAGAAUGCAAAACAAAAUGAGACAAUUACGGGAUGCCUAUUCAGAAGAUAGUACUGUUGGAAUGAUGACAAGAUCAUACUUGAUUUUGAAAUGCCAAUGCUAAACAACCAGUGUGUCUCCACAAUACACUGACAAUCUGAAUGACAUUAUGCAGAUGCAUCAACUCAUCUAAUGGCAAGUCAACUCUUACAAUUUAGAUCCUAUAGAAUGCAACUAGAUCACCUAAAUAAGGCAAGUAUUGGCAUUUGAAAGCACGAUAUAGUAGGCAAGAAGUUGGCUGCAAUCACUUGAAUGUAAUUCAAUCAACUAAAUUGCCAUUGAGAGUCAUGGACAUUCACUCACUACGUAUGUCAUAUUUUAGCAUCUCACAGUUUUUGUCUCUACCAGAUUUAGAGAGCAUUGGUGUCCGCUUUUGUCUCCACCAGACAAUGGUGCUCCAAAUAUAUCACUACUUCUGCAGAAAACAUGCAGUCAGAAUGACAUCAACCUCCUAAUGCCCAUCAUAUCUGACGAAGGCUACCAGCUUUAUGUUCCCAAUACAGAUAAACCAUUACAAGGACAAAUUUGAUAUUUAAGAAUAUAGCUCCAAUGAAUAAUUUCCUGAUCCUAGUCGUUUUUGUUUUCCAUGAAGCAGAGAAUUGGUUGUUUUGUUAGGGAAGGAAUUGUCAGGGCCUAUGUCAACGAAAAAAGCACAGGAAACACAUUGUAGAGUAAACCAGAUCUUGGGAUUUCACUGCAAAAGAAAAAAAUCAAGCUUGGUAUUGGGACCGGUCCAAAAAAGUUAACAAGAUUCGCCCUAUUUAGUCACUUAUCUCCAAACAGAAUUCAAGCAUCAACACAGAGCUCAUAACCAGGAAUCAACCAUCACGAGAAUUGGAAAUGUAACACGAUUUAUAUGGCACAUAUUAAACCAAUCUAUCAGGAUCUCCUCGGCAUAUAUAACUGACACCAUUCUGCAACACACAUCUCAGUUCAUCCCACUGUUAUUUGCAAUUUAACAAUCCAAUAUCCAGUUAUGAUCCUAAAUAUGUUACCUCAUAGAUCUUCCUAAAGCAAUCACUUAAUGGAUCACCCAUCAAAAUCUCAAUGACAUGGAUCCUCUAAACGCGACUAACUAAAUUAUGAUAAAAUUCAGUAUCAAUGUAUCAAGCAGAAACCAACUAAUAAGAUAGAUAAUCAAACCAAAGCUCACAGUUAGAAAAUCAAUUAUCCACUUCACCUGAAUCCUUUAAUGCAACUGAAACUACAAAUUCCAGACUUUGACCACAAUUUGAGCAUCUAUAACUCAAAAAAAUCGAAAACAAGUAAUAUUACCUUGGUUGAAAUUCCAGGACUUCUGCAAGCUUAUUUCCAUUUUUAUCAUUCCACUGAACUUUCCUCCUGGGCUUCCCCGACUUCUUAGACAAUCCACCUUCAUUAUUUGGAGGCAACAACAGCUGUGAUUCCUCUUGCUCAUCUUUUCCUCCAUUCAGUGCAAGAUUCUGAGAAUCUACACCAUUUAAACACUCCUUUUUAUCACUCUUACCAUUCUUAUCCAUUGCUAUGAGCUUCACUAUCCUAGUAUUUACAACUCAACCCACCAAUCCAAAACCACAACAAACAAGAAGAACACUUGAUUGUUAAUCUUUAAUCAAGAAAACCCAUCUCAACCCAAUCAUCAAUAUCAAUAAAUUAUCAUCCUAAACCAUAAAGAUGCAAUCUUGACAACUAAACUACGGAAAUUCAAUACAAUCGGCAUGACCCGAUAAAGUCAAUGCACAUUUCUAACGAAUAAAGGAAUGAAUUUUCAGCUCAUGAAAGAUUCAAGCAAUCAGAUUCAGAAACAUGAAGGAAGGUUCUUGCAAACCCCAAAAAAGAGAUCAUAUAAAAUUGGAAGACAUUCUUUUUCCAGCUCAAAAGAUUGCCCGGAUUUACUACAAUGAUUAAGAAGAAUUUCUGGGUUUUUUUUUUCUUUCAAAAAUAUAAUAGAUAUUGAUAAGGAUUGUUCAAUAGAUUUCCCGAACCCUGAAUCUGAAGGACCAAAAUUGAAAGAAAGUGUUUGUUUUCUCAAUGGGGAUUUUGUGCGUCGACUUUUGUUAGUGUUGAAACUUGGAAGAUUUUAAAACGGUGCUACAUACAUUUGAUACAACUGUGUGAAAGGAAUAGGACACACAAAAAGGGGUCCAUUUUGUUGGGGCAAUGGGGCCAGCAACAUUAAUGUAAUCUAAAUUGAGAUCUUUUGAGCAAUGCCUUGAAUUAAAUGAGAACACCUAUAAAAAGAGGGAAAGAUGAAGCAAAAUGAACUUUUAGUCACACCUGUUUUAUGAUUGGUUAGUUAAUUUAAUUUGGAACUGUCUCAUAGGUUAGCCGAUUGGUCAAGUAUUCACUUCUGACUAUAUUGAGAUUGUGACCGUUUCCAUCUCAUAUUCAUUCACGAGUAUCUUGUUAACCUUAUCUCAAUCAAUUUUGGGACAUUCAAGAAUAAUUUCGUACAAAAUUUACAAUAAAUAUAUUAUCUUAUCAGAGUAAUACGUUCCUGAUGGUUAUUAUUAUUUGGUCUAAGACAAUCUGGUGCAUGUGUUUACUUGAGCACAGAAGCAACUGAGGCAGGUGCACCCGAAGGAGGGAAAAAAUGAGAAGAAAAAUAGAAAACUACUUGGUCAAUAUCUGCAUGGCAUGAAAUUUUCAAGAUUUUUGGUAACCCAAAACGACAUCAGCCUGAACUUAUCCUAGGAUAAAUUUAUUUGCUACAAUAGGCAACAGGAGCAAAAUCCAAAAGAAUGGUAAUAUGAGUUUGUUUGGAAAGAAGAUUAUUUGAAUUUUUUUUUUAAAAAGUAAUAUUAUAAUUUUUUUUUUUUGUUAUAUGAUGUAUAUGAGAUGAAAAUAUGAUUAAAAAAUAAAAAAAAAAUUAAAAGUAUAUUUAUUAUGCAACCAAAAAAAAUAGAUUUUCUUAAACAAACUCAAAAUAAACGAUGGGCCAGGAGAAGUAAGGUCAACCGAAAAACAUUAGAUUAUUGCUGUUUCUCAUCAUUGUCUUCACAAAACCAGAACCACAAGAUAAGCCUGGCUGGCAAGGAUGCCCGAUACUACAAGUUCAGAGUGGACUUGUUUUUUCUUUUUUUUGUCCACCUUUCAUUUAUGUACUCUAACAAGGAGUAUUAUCUGUGAAAAGUUCACUAUUACUUGAUAUCAAGGAUUAGAUAAGGGAUAAUUGACCACCAUUUAUUGAGAUAUAUCGUUUUUGCCUUGUCAUUUGCAAUGUAAGCAACAAAUUUGCUAGUAAUACAAUUCAUGCAAUCACUUUUUGGUGAGUUUGAAUAGCUUUCUAUAUGGAGAGCCAAAACCCUUCAUCUAUGGAAUGGCAGAGGUCAAUCAUGAAUGGCAAUCGGCAAAGCUCUUAUGAAAGAAAGAGUGUCACGCAAACUCAAUACAAAACAAAAGCAAAUGAUUACCCACACCAAAUAUUCUCCAUUUGUCUGUUUUUGUAGUCUAUUUUAGUUAAUUCAAUGUAAUUAACUAUGAAAGGAUGAACCCAUCUGUUUUAUGUAAAACACAUGUUUAUACCUUUGUUCUUAAGAGUGGAAGUCUAUACUAUCAUAGUUUUUUUUUUUAUUGUAAGCGGGAGAGUUCGAAUCCGAAAUCUCUUACUAAUUAGAGUACAAGUGCCAUGUUUAUCUUAAAAAAAGGAACAAGAAAAAUAAAAGAACACGAGUACAUGUCAAAAUUAGAUAAUCGUUUCAGAUUCCACUUAGUGGAGUCUUUUGUUCUUUCAAUCAAAUGGCCCAAUGGCAAUUCAUUUUGAGGAAGUCAAAUCAUAGUAGUAGUGUCAUAUCAACCACGAUUCAUGAAUGCAAAAAGAUGAAUGAAAAGAAUUUAUGCAAAUGCCGAGUUGUUGACCAAAGUAGAACGAGCUCUCAAUUUGGAAUGGUACUCUAAUUGGUUUGGAAGGGUUAUUUCGCUGUCACAUUUACGAGUCAUCGAAUCAUGCGUCUAACAAUUGCGGGAGGGAAGGAUAUGGAGGUAUCAAGAAAUCUUAGGAUUAAGUGUGUAGUAUUUGUUAAUUAUGUGCUUGCCCACUUGGAAUCAGCAAAUACAAAGCAUCCAUGUCCAAAAAUUGGCUCAAAAGUCAAAAAAACACGAUGCUUUCAAUAAAAUCAAAGUGCUUCUAGAUAAUGCAGGUUAGACGACUAUGUUGGUGUCCCUUAGUUGUCAACUUCUACUUAAAUGUUUUCGGGAAAUUUCUCUGUUUACUUGCAUUAUAUCCUUGUGUAGUUGGCCGAUGAUUAUAAUCAUAGAUUUCAUCAAUUAGACUCAAAAGUUAUGUCAGACUUCUUGGAUUUUUGUUUUUCAAGUUGAAAACUAAAAAGAACCAAAACCAAUUGGUUUCCAAUAGAUCAAACUCAAAUGAAAACAAAAGUGAGCUACAUUCUGAAAUUUGUAUGAAUUUUAUUACCUACAAGAUAUGCUAAGUUAAUAUAAAAAAAAGGAGAAAGAAAUCUAGACUUUCUACCAAUAAUCGACAUAAGCUAACCACAAAAGAGCUUUCUUUUGCCUUCUAAGUUAGGUAAUUGUUCAGUUGUAACCACAUAUUCACAUGCCUAAGUAGGUAAUAUGUUCCUUCAAAGUUUAACCAAAUCAAGUUGCCUUCUUAGCUUAGUCUUCCAACACAUUAUGGUUAAUCAGUGUCGGUAGAAGCUAGAAAAAAACAAAAAAUUAUGCUACUUGGGUAGCUAUGCCCAAAUUUUCACUUGUCCAAUCAGCAUAAAGAGACAAGAUUGCUAGUAAGUACUAAUUAUUGGUGCCUGAGGAGUAAAAAUUCUCAGCUAUCAUAUGUGCAUCGAGACCUUGGUUAAAGAAUUCAAGAUAAGUUACAAGAAGUUAUACAAUAACUUUUGGCACCAUUGCCUCCUGUUAAGCCCACAGUCCAUUCUUUAAUUUUUGUUGUAGUAGAAAGAAAUGAAAAGAUAAGGUAAAUUAUACACUUGUUUGCAGAAGCAUUGCAGCUUACAUUAUAUGAUCUAACCAUAAUUUAUUUGGAUCCAACGACUAAUAUGUGAAGAUUCUCACAUGGGGUGCACAAAAUGCAGCUUAAAUAGUGCAAAUUUAGGAGGAUCAUUCAUUGGAUGAAGAGUACAAUUCAGACACUGAUUGGUUUGAUGUUUCUUUGACAGGAAGCAUUUGAUUUGUUGUACGUGUCUGGGAGGGAAGUGAAAGAUAGGCUAAAGUAUAUUGCUUCACAGGUUGCUAAGCAUGAUUGCAACAGAAGACUUGAGUUUUACUCAAAAAGUGCUCAUGCACCGUUCAGGUGUAGAAGUAAAUAUGUUGUAGACUUCUGUUGAACUUCAAACCUAAAACAAUGUCUAGACACAGACAAAAACAUAAUAUGGCAUGCUUUCAAAGGGAAUCACCAGCAUUGAAGGAGAUUCUGCUCAGAUUAUACAGGUCAGGGAAACUUCAAUGCUUCUCUGCCUCUGACUAUGCUGUUCUGCCAAGAAUUGCUGAAAUUACUUAGCAUGCUUCUACUACAUUUUUUAGAUAUUAUUGUCGGAAACUGAAAGCAAUGCAGAGGUCAACAGUCCACUUAGUUCAAUAUGCAAUUUAACUCAUUAAAUGAGUUGAGCUUUUCUUAAUCUUCUGUUGCAAAAGUUUUAAAGUUCUUAUUCAUGAUAAGCGGUCAUAUUUGGUUUGAGGCAGAGCUGAAAAGCCCUUGGAGUUUGAUCACCACUUGUAUGAAUUUGGAUCAGUGGAAUAUCAUGUUCAGGUACAGUUAAUGAACAGUCUUCAGGUUUCUUCAGUUUCAGUGUCUAUUGACCUGUGAAAGUUUGAUGCAUUUUAUUAGUUUCAUCUAAAGCAUGUGAAGACUUUGAUUACUAAAGAUACAUCAUGAGUAAAAAAUUCAUAAGAGUCAUCCUAGUAGUGUUGUAUAUUGUCCUUAUCUUCUACCAAUAAUGUCCACAAGUUCAGUUCUUGUAGGUCAUUGGUGGUUUUCCAGAUAUAUGGCAUUGUUGUAAUAUUCUUUACCUAAUGCUGUUCUAGAUUACCUUGCUUUCCCUCUUCUCGUAAACAUUUCCCUUCCUUUUCAGCCUAUCCCCUUCCUACAGUUCUUUUUAAUAUCAUCUUCGGACCUUUAAAGCACUUAGGGUUUAGUCUCAAACCUAUAUUAUGAUAUGCUAAAAUGAAAUAUUAAACCUUUCAUAGGCAGGCUAACGUGUAACUUUUGCAUGAUCAUGUACACAUUAUUGCAUCUCAGAAUAAAAAUUCUUACAGUUGUUUGAUGUUAUUUAGGCUUCUGCAUCAAUUCCAGAUAACACCUAUUUGUCUAUAGCAACGCCACUCCUGUAUCAAGACUUCAUUCUCUCAUCUGGGCUACCACGUUAUACAUUAGAGAUGGUGAAGGGAAUCAGCCCUGAUGUCAUUGAGAUAAUUGAACCUCCAAAAGAAGGAUAUAAGUUGACAUUGAGACUCAAGUACUCAAGGAUUCCACGCAAUAAAGGUCAGUAAUUUGUCUCCAAAACCAGCAGUUUGCACUUUGCACAGAAGGCCUAUCCUCUUGUGCUGAAACCGUUGCCAAUGCUUAUACAGUUCAACCAUGUCAUUGGUGCCAUUUGUUUCUAACCUGUUUAUUCAUCAUGAAGACAUAAAAAAGUUCCCUAAGCGGUUGCCUAAAAGAGGAUACAAACAAUAGUUACAUGAUUGAACAAGACUUUCUACUGCCCCUAAUUUCAUGCCAGGAAUACUUCGACAACAGCAAACAAUCUGUGCAGAGCUGCUACUAAGACAAGUGAUAUGUGCAAACGCUAAGUGAAAACUCAAAAAUAUAGGAGGUGGAAAUAUAUAAAAUGUUGGAAUAAGUAAUUUUGAUGUACGUGCUAUUAGAUUAGUCGUGCAGAAUUUCUAGGAUUUCUGCUAAUUAAUAGGAUUACCAUAUAUCCAACUUAUUGUUCUGUUUCAACUAAAACAAAGAUAGAGCAUGAGGAAGUAUGUAGCUACCUUCAAGAUGUUGAUUUGUGAACACUUAGUGAACAAACAUUUGGAUAAGGAAUGAAACUGUAAGACAAGUUGACCACAUAGAAUGAUAUUGUACUGGAAAUGAGGGGGAAAAGGAGAAGGUUACCCCUCUCUUGGUUAGGUUUUCCACCUAGCCGAAACCAUUCAUUUACUUCUAUCGGAUUCAGACAUUUUUAAGUCUAGAGGAGAUUUGGCUAGUCACAAUCAAGAAUACAUCUUACAGCUUCUACUCUCAGUUAGUGGUGAGGUGCUCAGUAGCCUAAAGACUCACCUGAGGAUACAACCAACCAUCCAAUAGGUGACCGCUGCAAUCAGUUCAUUAGGAAAACAUGCGCCUUACUCAAAAGAAAGGGGGAAAAAAUGCACCUCACGGGCUAUUAAAACAUCUACCUCUUAUGAUGUAGGUACAUGAUUUAACCCUCUUUUCACUUCUAGCCAGUGCUACGCAUGUGAUAAAGUUAUUGACAUUCAUUCUAUGAAUAAAAGUAAAUGCGCUCAUCAAAUUUGCAUGACAUAUGCUUUUCAGGUGGGGUGAAAAUGAUUGCAAGCAUUUCCUCUGUACAAGGUGUCAUCCUAAGCUCUCAGCUCAAAGAUAUGUUAAUGAAUGUCAAUUCACUAGAAGUCUCUCAAGGGAUGUACAGACCAGUCAAACUCAUUUAUCACCCAAGGGAACCUUUCUUUGUCAUCAAACAGGUAAAUUCAUAAGUUCUACUGAUUAUUGUAUGAAUUUAACACCAAAGACAUCUAAAGCAGAAGCAAAAAAUAGACUAUCAAAUGCAAUUGAACAUGACGGAGAAUUGGAAAAUUAAAGACCAUAUUCCAUAUUCAAUUUUAAAAAUGAAUACUUCUAUAGCUCAUGUAUACAUCCUCACCAUUGUUUCUUUUAACAGCCAGAAAAAAUCACUGCAGUAUUCCCUAUGCGCUUUAAAGAAGAUACAGAUGUAAUCAUAGCAACAGCUUUCUUUCAGGUAAAACCAAAAACUUUUAUCAAUGAUGGAAUAAUAUUCUUCUUGAAACCAUGUUUUGUAAACAAUAUUUGAAGAAGCUUGAAACAUUAACCACAGGAACUCAUGGAUAUUGGAAGCUCAAAAGCAUUUGUCAAAGCACCUCAUUGCAUCUGGUCUCCAAUCCCACCAGCUGAGUUGAGAGGAGAGCCCAUUGAAGAUCUGAGCACCAAUGGAGGAUUUGUCUCUUUUGGUAUUAGCUACACACCUUGUACUUCUUUUAUUCUGCGACAAGAAUACUAGUACAUGAUCUUACUUGAUUACAUCACAGAUAUCACUGGGCGUCAUGUUGAAGGCAAGAGGCUUGACAAAACUGUUUGGAACCUACUUAACUUUUAUGCAUUUGUGAAAUAUCAUGUAAAGGUAAGAACAAGAUUAUGUUCUUUAGCUAGAUUACUGAACUUCUCUCACCUGCUGAGGCUAAAACAAAGUUCGAACAGAGCACUCGAGGCUUCAUUCAAAGAAGGAUGAGAACACGAUUAGAGAGCUUAGUUGAGGUAACUUGAAUUGCACCUACAAGCCUCUUUACAAAGUCCAGAAUGAUGUCUAACAUCAUUUUCUUAUCUCACCAUAUACAAUCUGGUUUCUGAAGCUCAUUGAAACCUUAAAUUCGUAAGAAAAACAAGGACAUCUAAUGAGUCCUCUAUUCCUGACAACUCGCAGGUAUUGUACAAUGCUGGAAUAAAAGAUGAACAUCAUAUUAAGAAGAAGAAUCGAGGUAUGGUUGGCUAGUAUAGAACUAGAGAAAAUCAUCAUUUAAAUAGAAAGCUGUAGUUUGCCAUAAUAUAAGCCAUGAAAUCAAGAGUCAUGAAGAGUUCUGCAAUGUUACACUGCACUACUUGUAUAACAACCAACAGCACAUGGGUUUAGCCCUGUCAUCUGGGCCUUUUAGGCUAAUGAUGGGCCCAUAUAAAAAGUCACAGCUUUUAGUCUGGGCAACUGCCCAUUUGGGCUAAAAAUAUCAAGGCACAAGAAUGACCCUAUAAGUAUAUUAGGCUUGUAGGCUCAACAUCCCCUGGUCCAGACUCAUGGUUUUCGUUCUUCUUGUUCUUUAAAAGAAAUGUUUUACUAACAAAUGGUAUUAGUAGUGAAUUAUAAAUCAUAAUUUUAAGUAUUGAAAACAAGAAUAAUUCUAACUAAUAUCACAAGAAUUUUAACUAAUAGAAACCAUCUUUUUUAUAAAGAUUUAAGGUGGGUAAAAUAAUCAUAAAUUUACAUUUCAUAGCUAGGAGAUAUCAGGUCUUUAUUGGGUCAAGCGCAUCAUUCAAUGGCCACAACAUUACCCAUUUUAAAUUGCAUUUAAUACUCAAGCCCAAACCUCACCUAGCCUAAUUUCAUGUGAAAUUUGGCCCUAUUUUUGGUGGCUGAAUGAACCAUUUACUCGUUGUCCUAUAUGGUUUUUCUGGCAGUCUUGCUUAGUUUUUGCCCAUCAAUGUCUUCUAUCUAUUAUAUUCACUUUUCAAAUUAACCUUCUUGAUGAAUAUUAUUUUUUAAUGCAGGACCUAAAGGAGUUAGGAAAUUGCUAAACUUCUCCAAAUCCAAGCUACUCAAGAAAAGAUACAAUUUCAUCAAUAAGAUCAAAAGAAUUCGAUCUAGAAUUAAAAUUCAUUGGUUCAGUCGUUUCCGCAAGCGAUGGUUGAAUUUUUCCAGAUUUUCUUCUGUAACAAGAUAUGAAAAACUAAACUAGUAUAAGUGCAACUUCACAAUAGCAAUAAUUGUACUUCAAUAACUUCUCCUACAACAUAUUGUUGAGGGUAAAUGUACUUGGACAAAAGGUGCCUGGUCUGUGUAUCUUUUUCCUUUUCUUUUACAAACUUUGUACUCAUCAAAACAGCAUUGGUGAGCAGAUUAUUUCAUUUGUCGACUCAUGAAAUGCUAGUAAUGCAGAAGGCAUAAAACAGUUUAGACUUCACCAUUGUCACAGCUAGUUAGUCAUUUCACUGUAAUUAGAGCCCACAUGGAGAAAGAACUUGAAUACCAAUUUUCUUGUGGAUUAGUGAAUUGUAAUUUCACUAUUGACAAAAGGUCUGAUGAUUUGUGAACUAAGCAUCCAGCAUUCCUAUAUGUGUCAAAAGAUGUGCAAAAAAAAAAAAGGAAGAGAAUGUAUUUUACAUUUAUCAUGUUCAAGAUCUUUAUCUGGUACUUGGCAAAAUAAAAAACUUGCAUAAGUCUUUGCACGAAUAUACCAGUCAGAGGCCAUGUUUUUGACAGAUAAACUGAAAUGCAGCGGUAAAGUUGAGAAAGAUUCUGGAGCCAUGAAGUUUCAGCAGUUGCAUGUUUCAAUUCCUGAAGGAGAUAUAAGCUGAAUGCAGACAUAAAAGUACAAAAACAAGAAGCUUGGUGGAUGGACCAGUUUAAUGUGUGACUUAAUCUUGAAAGAAUAGAAAAGAGGUGCCUACUGCCACUAACAACUGAAAUGAUCUGGUUUAAGAAUUUAAGAGAUAAAUUACCUCAAAAAUUAUCUGAUGCCGGAGAGCCAUUAUUGAGCUACUCAUGGAUGACCCCCAGAAAUUGACAUUGUAAAUGUCCUGAUUUAAGUAUGUAAUGGAAACUAGUAUUGCAGAUAGUCUGAUACCUAAUUCUUCAGAAUCCUCAAGUCACUCACCAAGUAGGCGAAUAAAAUCCAAUUUUCUGAUUCUCAGACUGAAAGAGAUAUCGAGUUCAAGAGUCUCUUUUCUCCUCCCCCCCCCCCCUCCUCUCUCUCUCCCAGUAAUCACAUAGUUACUUCUGCAGACCAUUUUGUAGAAAAGUUACAACCAUUGCUGUAUCCCAAUUUAUCCAAUUUAUUGGAUACAAGCUUUUGGAAGGUUAUGUAAACAAUCUAAAAGAGGCAGGCAUGGAACACUUGAAAUUCAUUGCAAGAGUUAAGAACAAGAAACAAAAUGUUGUUCAGUUAAGUUUCAGUUCAAAGAACCAUUGCAGUAUCCUAGGGACUAUCGUGUUAUCUAUGUCCCACUAAGUUAGAGUUACUUUGAGGAAUGAAUAUUAAGCAACUAGAUCUCAAAAUUACUUUUAGACAAAUAGAUUCUUUAUCAUCUUUACAGUGUUAUUCUAAUAUCACCACUGAUAAAAGAUCAUAAUUUCAGUUUUUCUUUUAAAUUUUUUCUAGCAAGGGAGGGGUGGGAUUUAAGAAACAGGGAGGGGGACAUGGGGAUUAGAAACCAGGACCUCUAACUCCUGAGGUAUCAACCUUAACCACUCAUAAAAGAUCAUAAUUUCAUAAAAGAUCAUAAUUUCAGUUUCUUUAAGAUAUAAUCAACCUUAAUGAAUUUCAAAUCCAUGAACGUCAGUCUAGUUUUAUUUUGGCACUCCACUAAGCUUUGAUCAUUGAUCCAAGAACUAUUUCUCAUUUCAUGCUUUGGCCUGCAACAUAUUGCUCUUUGUGGAUUAUGUUUGUACAACUGUGAACUGUGGAAUAAGAAAGGCAGACAGUUUCAUCCCAACAUAUCACAAGAGAGGUACAUACUGAUUCCAGAAAACUUUCUAAGUCUGACAACGAAUACAGGUGAAUAAUUGGUUUUAUCUAGUAGUCCACCAUUCCAGUUGAGCUAUUCAAUUCAAUAACCAAACGUAAGAAUUUCUGCAUGUUUUCCACCAUGAAGGCAUGAAACAGAGAAUUCUAAUCAAAGUAAAGAGUAAGCAGGAUCAAAUAUCAAAUUACUAGACCUCUUUUUUCUGGGUACAGUACAAAUUUCUGUCAUCUACAGGAGUUUCGCGUAAAGCCUUGCGCAGGUAUAAGUUAAAGACGUCCCUUUUGUUCUCUAUUGAUACAAUAGAAGUAAGUUGCUCAGUUGGCAGUUGAUUUUUAACAAGACUGACUAUCCUUUAUGUUAAUUCUUUUAUCUUAACAUCUUUUUACAUACUGAAACAUGCAUAAAACAGAGGUAACGAAAAAGAUGAGAGCAAAAGUACUCUCAUGAAAGCAGUAGUGUAUCAAAAGCAGUAAGGAUUUUUUGCACUUUGCCCUGUUCAAAGUGGCAACUGGUUAGAAGUUAUAGAGUCCUAAUUAUACAAAAUUGUGCUCAUUAUCUACUAGUAACUUUUUUAUAGAGUACAUUGCGAAAAUACACAAUUGCGGAGAUGUAAGCAUAAUACAUGGUUAAAUAUCCAAUCAAUCUUUAGCCAAAUUUUCAAAAGUAAUUUAUAUACUGAUGACUAUGAGAUAUAUUCAAAAACGUAUACACAUACAUGAGUAUAUAAACAUGAAACCAAUGACAAUAAAGAACACUGACAACUCAUUUCAUUGAAGCAUAAGUCAAGUACAAAAUUCUGUAUAGCAGCAAUGUUUGCUGAGAAAAAUGUCAAAGUAUACCUGUCUGUAGAGAACAAGGAAUAAUUUUUUGCCAGAUUUUCAACUCAAAGUUCCUACCUAAACUUGUUUACCAGUAAAAUCCUCAUUCUAUCUCAAAUAUAGGGAGUGGAUUCAUCACAAUACCCUCUGAUGAUCCAAUCUGAGAUAGCAAUGGUCCCGUUACCUCCCGAGACCUGUUACUCCUAUGUCGAUGCAACAAUCCAAGCAAUGAGAAGCUCAUGAACAAAACCAGUGCGGUAUGCACAACGAACAGCAAAUUUGUCAAUGCCACACCCCUCAACUUGUCCUCUUCAAGCUCACACUUAACAUCAAUCUCCCUAUUUCCCCGACUCACUGCCAUCUUCUCACACCCUUUUAGACUAAAUGCAUCAGUAUACAAAGACAUUCCCACUUGCAGAACCCAAACAGCCUUCAGAACAAGCCCAGACGACAGCAAAAAAUCAGCGAAAAAUGCCGAUGGGCUGAUGGACAAAUACAAGCAACAAGCAGCACAAACAAGUGCUAAUCCACCUAAAAGCUCAUAAGCAACUCCACCAAGUCCCAAAAUCCCUUGCCCGUUCAUGUAAUACUCAAUCACAAAAGCAAUGCCACAAAGUAUAAACACAAAACUCUCAGGAAUUACAUAAAGAUCCAAACUUUCUUUCAAACUUAUAAGAACUAAGAGGGCCCAGAAGAUGAAGAUCAACAAAGAUUGUGCCAAGAAUGAGAAUCUGUAAUUGGGGUGGCCUGAAAUUGCAAAAAAUAAAUAAAUGUGGGAAAAUGAGGCAAUUGGGAGGGCUAAAAGAAGAGCGUACAUGUCCCCAUUUUUCCACUUGGGUCCUGAAAAAUACCAUGCUUUUGAUGUAAAUUGAGAUGGGUUUUGGAGAUACAGUGACAGUGAGAAUAUAAGACGGCGAAUGCCGACUGGGAAAAGGAAAAGGAACGCCAGAAAAUGGGUUGCAAACAAUACCAUUCUUGAUUCUUGCAGAGUAAUAGGACUGAUUUCUUGUUUUUGUGUUUUUUCAAGGAUUUCUUUGAGAAUUUUGUGGAUUGAAUUUGUAGAAUCUGCAAACGAAAUUAAAUCAAAUAGGGAAGAAUUAUGUAAGCUACCUUGAUGAUGGAGAGGUGUGGCUUGACAAUGGAUGGAGAGCUUGGUCAGCAACGGAAGAGGGAGAGCAGCAGAGUCAAAACUCAAGAGUAGACCUUCAAGUUUCAAUAUUUAAUUUGACCCCAUCAUUUUUUUUUCAAUUCAUCUCUAUCCCAUGAAACUUUUGAGUUCUUGCACAUGGCCUUCAAGGUGAUUCACUCGCUAGAACUAAUACAGUAUAUAUUUCAUCUGUGUUGUCAUUUUGUCAUUUGUGUGUUUUGCAUUUUUUUUUUUUUGACUUGUUUUCAAUUUUUGUGACGUGUGUGACCAUGUAGCCUUAAGCAUAUCUCCAACUUGGACUAAUUCAUCAGAGUUAAAGAUAAAUAUUUUUGUUUUUUGGAGUCAAAAUUUGUGUGCAUAUUGAACUCAAAUCAAUGCUUAAGUGGAGAUUUUACCCUAAACUUCUUUGUGAAAACAUUUUGUCUCUAACUGAGCACCUUUUUAACCAAUAAUAAUGACAAAGCUUUCAUGGAUGCAGAUUCAAAGAAUGAAAUGAAAGGGAGAUUACAAGAAUGGCACCCCAGUGACUGUAACUAAGCCAAGCUUUCAUGGAUUGGAGAUUCCAAGAAUGGCAUCCAGUGACUGUAACCAAAUAGUUCCAACAUUUUAAAAACAAAUGCAUUCUUUUACCAGUUGAAAGAAUUUUCCAAAACAAAUUCAAAUGCUCUCUUAUUUCUUCAAGUAAUUAAAAGGGAAUGCAGUUCGUUUUUACUUUAUCCCAAGCUAGGACUUGAUGGUUACCUUAGCAACUUUUCUGUGGAUAAAGACUUGAUCCGAGAUUAAUUAGUAACAAAAGAGUGUAAUUGUUACAAACUUGUUUAAUUACUUGAAAUCUAAUGUUAAACGAGGGAAAAAAUUUAUUGAGGAAUCUUUUGUUUUGCCUGGAUGAUAAAGAGAAGAAGAACAUGAACGCUUGAUGAAUAUGAGCAUUGUAGUCUAAUCAUCUCAAUCGUCAAUUGUAAACAAAGUCAUUUCCUUCCCCUUUUUUUUUGUUUUCUUCUGUUCGAUGAGCUUUUGAAUUCAAUUAAGUUCGAUGAGCUUUUGAACCUCAAAUAUUAAAUUCUAGUUCGAUUCGUUAAAUAAUUCAGACGGCUCGAACUUGAUCUCAAAUUCGAUCAACAUGAGUUUGAGUUCGAAUUUUAAUUGAAUAAGAUUAUAAACUACUCGAUUAAACUCGAUUCGUUUACACCUCAACUAAAACAACCAAACAAAAUAUGAAAAAGAACUUCAGGACUUGAAUCACAUUAUAUUGAAUUCCCCUCUUCAUCUAUUCCUUUCCUUCCAAGUUCCAGGCUUCCAGCCAGUAAACCAAAACAAAUGGUCUCCAUACGAAACACAAACAACAGUCUACUCUUUUUUCAUGCUGCAACUCAAUGUCCAUGAAUUUGAAAAGUUUUGGUCAAGUUUGACCUUUAAAUUCAUGAAUCUUGAUGUCCUCAUUAUUGUACCAAACGAGCAAGAAGACACGUUUCAACGAUACAAAUAUGAAAACUAUUUCAAUCAAAGUUUACUUCGUAUCUUGUUUUCCUACCACACUUUGAACUUUCAAAAUCAUUGUUUACAACCAAAGUUAUGAAUCUUCUGGUUGCCAAGCACUUUCUUCCGACAUAAACAUUUACGGCCAGAAAUUGAUUCAAAGCCACUAAAUUUGUGGUUAGCCGACCCACACUUAGCGGCUUAGGCUGCCAUGAGCAAAAAUAAUGUUCACAUUCAUGAAGAAAAAAAAGAAAGAAAAUACGCAAGUUUGAGAAUAGCAUUUUUUUGUGAACACGACAACAAUCCUGUACGUUGAUUUAUAAAUUGUUUCUUGUAAUUUUCCAUAGUUAAUCAGGUCCUAAUAAAUGGGAUUUCCUUCUUCUUCUUCUUUUUUUUUUCAAUUCCCUUUUGCAGUUCUUGAUAAAUGGAUCCUUUUCUUCUUCGAAUACAUUUUUUUCCUAUAGUUUCUGAAGCUUUUGAGAAAUUCACCUGACGAAUAAAAGUGCCAAUUAAAUACUACCAGGUGAAACUUUGUCUCUUGACAGCAUCAUAAAACCGCAUAAAAUUUGUGUUGGUAAUAUAGAAAAUGAAGCAAAGGAAAUGAAAAAUUUUGAAAAUGAAGAACUCACCCAAAAAAUUUUGUUCCCAUUUUUCAUAUAUUUCAUUAUUUGCUUCCGAGUUAUGGUCAUGGACUUCAAAAAAAUUAUGGAGGGCUCCACAAGAAUGGGAAAGAACCACAGAAAUAGCAGAAAAAGAUCCUCGAGCUCGAGGGGAAAGGAUUCUAUUCAAGUAAAAAUACAGGCAAAAAUCCAAGCCACCUGCCACCAGCAUGCAUGCGUGGCUCUUAAUAUCUCCUCACAUUUCUCCAACUCUUCUAUCCAAUAAAAACCACAGGCUCUCAUACUUACACCUCUUCAUCAUCACAUCUUCUCACGACAACAGGACAGCAUCAAAACUUCCGAAGACCGCAACGUAGAUUAAAAGAAAAGUAAAACAAGAAAACCUCUGUGCUUAGAUUUCUUAAUUAAGAGGAAAUCUUUCAAGUUAGGUCUACUUGUGAUUUUUCAAUGGCUGCAGCAGUUUGUGCGACUGGGUUUAAAGGGGGUUUAUCAUCUUCUUUUCAUGGAAGUUGGGGAAAAUCAGUGGGUGGGGAAGAUUAUCCCAUGCUAGCCAAGACUGUUCCUAGCCAUGUUCGAGUGGGGAAGCCGGUCAGAUUACAGCCGAUGAUGGGAAAUAUUAAUGAAGGAAAGGGACUGUUUGCUCCUCUUGUUAUUGUUGCACGUAACAUAAUUGGCAAAAAGCGAUUCAAUCAGUUCAGGGGAAAGGCCAUUUCUUUACACUCACAGGUACCAAGCUGAGCCACCUCCAAUAUUAAUUUUUCUUAGUGAUUUUCUUUGCUAAUUGACAUAUUUCUUCCAUGAGAAACAAUUAUUGGAGUUUGAACAUAAUAUUUCCAUGAGAAACAAUAGUUGGAUGAUUAUUUUAGGUUUUUAAAACUUGCAAGAUAUUAUGUAGGGUGGUUUCUUGUGAAAGUUUUUAGCUUUAUUUAAGGGAUUUUAAGUGACAUUUUAAUUGAAAAAUAUUGCCUGGCCACAAAAAAGGCUGGUACUAGCAUUUUAGCCUUUCUUGUUUUUAUACAUACAACCUUGGACGGAUGAUGCAAUUGUGUUAUCUUCAAUAUUUUCUGCCGAUGAACUUGUUAUGUUCUCCGAGCAAUUUUCCUCUUUCUCUGCUUUUGGAUUUCAAGUUCGUUCAACAAAUUUCUGUUAAUUAUUAUUGAAUCAAAUAUUCUAAAAUGAAUCCUGAGUAAUUUAGAUAAUUUUUUGAAAAAAAUACUUAAUACUUUUUUGAUGUGAUGUAUAUAAUAAAAUUAAAAAAUGUGUUUGUGAGGCAAAUGAAUAAAAUUUGGCGAACAAUUACUAUCCAUACGAACCCAUCUCGAUAUCCUUGAUAUUAUCUAGGUAACUAGAAUAACUAGAUGUAAAAGAAUGCCUCUACUAUUCUUUUGUUUGGAUAUGAAUUUUUUUCAAAUAUUAUUUAACUUAUAUCAUAAACACAUUUUCAACAACUUUUUAUACUCUUAAUUACCUUUUUAUCUCACAUACAUCAUAUAAAAAAAUAUUAUAAUAUUAAUCCCAAUAAUUUUCUAUCCAAAGCAUUUCAUACUGAGACUACUAUUAUGUGCCAGUUUUCGCUUAUGUAACUUAUGAGUAACAGGACUCGCAAUUUCAGGUAAUAAAUGAAUUCUGCAAACAAAUAGGAGCAGAUUCAAAACAAAGGCAAGGGCUGAUUCGAUUAGCCAAGAAGAAUGGAGAAAAACUUGGAUUCCUUGCUUGAUAUGGUACAUUCUCCUCACCACCAUGGACACAGGAUUAUCAAUGCUUGAGAGAUUGUGUAAACUGCCACUGCAAUAUCUGAUGUUCUUCUGAUACCCAGAACAUAAUUCACAUUGUCAUCUCAUUUAUAGUACACAUCUUCACAAAGGCUCCACGGUUAACCACAAAGUGUACGCAGGCAUAUAGGUUGCUUAGAUUGCAUUUUCUGAAGUGUUUUUGAUAAAGAAAUUACUGUAACACUUUUAGAACAUAAUGUAUGUAAAAUGAAAAAAUGAUCGAUAAAUGUUUAAAAUAAAUGUUCACAGAAAAUGAAACAAAAUUUUUGACAAAAAUAGAAAUCCAAACAGUACCAAAAAGCAAUCCGGAAUUCUAGUAACUGUUUAUAAGUACGGAGAAUUCCAAUAUCCAGUCAAAACUCAGUCAAAUUGCGUAAAACCCCUUUGCUUGAAGACAAUUAGCAACUCACACAAAGGGAAGAAAGGCAACAAUCUCAGUAUUACUAGAAUCAAAACUGGCAUCUGACAACGUUACAUUGAAACAAUAUAUAUUUUUUUUAAAAAACACCUAGAUUGCAAAGGUCAAAACUGGCGCAUGAUAAUGUUACAUCAAAAUUAAAGCGCAAAGCAAUAUCUUCUACAUCAAUUUGCAGUGACACAAGUGGUGGGGUGUUCCUGAUUGUCGUCAUUAACCGCAUCUCUACUUAAAUGCCACACACACAUAAUUUUGAGUAUAAUCAGGUGCCUGUUAACACUGUCGAUUUCAAGUGCAUAUUCACACACUAUAUCGAUUUUUUGCUGAUCUUUCCCUUUUAGAAUCAUCCUGCCAUAUACAAAACGAGCUUGAGAAAGAAAAAAAUAUAUAUCAUGACAUGAGAAACUUAAUAACCCAAAUAAAACUUACAUGAAAACUGUAAGAGAUCUUAUCUGUGACGUCAAGGAUUUCCUUCCAUUUCCUUCCAAUGCUCAUCUGGAUCACAAAAACCAGGCCUAAAUUAUUAUUCUUCUUAAUGAGCAGACAGAAGAAAUCAAGAAGUUCCAAUGAGACGCUUAGGGAAAUAUUCAAUUUGUAACUUAUGAGUAACAACAGGAGUCGCAAUUUUCAGGUAAUAAAUGAAUUCUGCAAACAAAUAGGAGCAGAUUCAAAACAAAGGCAAGGGCUGAUUCGAUUAGCCAAGAAGAAUGGAGAAAAACUUGGAUUCCUUGCUUGAUAUGGUACAUUCUCCUCACCACCAUGGACACAGGAUUUUCAAUGUUUGAGAGAUUGUGUCAACUGCCACUGCAAUAUCUGAUGCUCUUCUGAUACUCACAACAUAAUUCACAUUGUCAUCUCAUUUAUAGUGCACAUCUUCACAAAGGCUCCAUGGUUAACCACAAAGUGUACGCAUGCAUAUUGGUUGCUUAGAUUGCAUUUUCUGAAGUGUUUUUGAUAAAGAAAUUACUGUAACACUUUUAGUAUGUAAAAUGAAAAAAUGAUCGAUAAAUGUUUAAAAUAAAUGUUCACAGAAAAUGAAACAAAAUUUUUGACAAAAAUAGAAAUCCAAACAGUACCUUUAAAGCAAUCCGGAAUUCUAGUAACUGUUUCUAAGUACGGAGAAUUCCUAUAUCCAGCCACAACUCAGUCAAAUUGCGUAAAACCCCUUUGGUUGAAGACAAUUAGCAACUCACAGUAAGGGAAGAAAGGCAACAAUCUCAGUAUUACUAGAAUCAAAACUGGCAUCUGACAACGUUACAUUGAAACAAUAUAUAUUUUUUUAAAAAAAAAAAACACCUAGAUUGCAAAGGUCAAAACUGGCGCAUGAUAAUGUUACAUCAAAAUUAAAGCGCAAAGCAAUAUCUUCUACAUCAAUUUGCAGUGGCACAAGUGGUGGGGUGUUCCUGAUUGUCGUCAUUAACCGCAUCUCUACUUCAAAUGCAACACACACAUAAUUUUGAGUAUAAUCAGGUGCCUGUUAACACUGUCGAUUUCAAGUGCAUAUUCACACACUAUAUCGAUUUUUUGCUGAUCUUUCCCUUUUAGAAUCAUCCUGCCACACACAAAACGAGCUUGAGAAAGAAACAAAAAUUUAUCAUGACAUGAGAAACUUAAUAACCCAAAUAAAACUUACAUGAAAACUGUAAGAGAUCUUAUCUGUGACGUCAAGGAUUUCCUUCCAUUUCCUUCCAAUGCUCAUCUG
Molecule: long non-coding RNA, 97334 nt
Filed under: Coffea arabica (coffee)
Lineage: Eukaryota; Viridiplantae; Streptophyta; Magnoliopsida; Gentianales; Rubiaceae
Description: long non-coding RNA (CARA_LNC002430)
Source: RNAcentral